Molecule: long non-coding RNA, 99755 nt
Filed under: Triticum aestivum (bread wheat)
Lineage: Eukaryota; Viridiplantae; Streptophyta; Magnoliopsida; Poales; Poaceae
Description: long non-coding RNA (TAES_LNC024598)
Source: RNAcentral
UUUUUUUUUGUCUGUUUUCUGAAUUAUCCUUGCAAUAAAAAUACCCCAAAAAUAAAAGUUCUCCAAAUGUCCUGAAAAUGAAAGAUGAUUUUUUGUAGAAUAUUUAAGAAUUUCUGGCACUAAGAACACACCAGGAGGCCCCACCAUUUGGCCACGAGGGCACAGGCGCGCCCACCCCUGGGGGGCGCCCCUGCCUCGUGGGCCCCAUGUGGACCCCCUCCACUUAUUCCGGCACCCACUCACUUCGUCUUCCUCCAGAAAAUAUCCUCCCAUAGCUCAAACCCGUGUUCUAGCUUGCUUUGCUGCCAUUUUCAAUCUCCUUGCUCAAAGCUCCAUUCACAAAACUGUUUUGGGGGAUUGUUCUUCGGUAUGUGACUCCUCCCAUGGUCCAAUUAGUUUUUGUCCUAGUGCUUUAUUUAUUGCAAACUUUUGCUGCUAAGGUGACCCUGUUCUUGAGCUUGCAUGUCAAAUUUAUAUGGUAAAAAGUAGUUUUAAUGCCUGAUAUAGCUUCUAGGCACUUGUGGGAGUAGUUGCUAUCAAUCUUGUCGAGUUUGGUUCACUUUUAUCUUGAGUCACUAAAAUUUCAGAAAUUUUUCAGAGAAAGAAAAAUGCAUAGGAAAAUGUACCAAGGUGGUUCCUCAAGGAAGCAAGGACCAAGACUCGCGAUACAUGAGCCGGACUAUGUACCACCGAGGGAAGCUCAAGUGCGGCCUUGUGAAUGGCCGUCAGAGGAGUUUAUGGUCUAGGCAGGCAUCAAGGAUGAAUUUGACGCGUAUGUGCGUAAUGCUGAUCUUGAGGACUUCGUGUCAGAUAAGUGCCUACAGUACCACUACCUAACUGAUUCCCUUGUGAGGAGGUUUAAAUUUACAUCCUCGCGCAAUUCUCACACUGUUUUAUGUGAUCUUUAUGAUAAAUCAUAUACCAUGGACCUAGAAGAUUUUAAUACUGCUUGUAAACUCCUGCAGCGGGGCAAUGUUAGUGAACCUCGCAAAUCUGAAUAUAAAGACUUUCUUGCUAGUAUCACUAUGGGGGAAUCUAGAGAAAUCACACAAGCUACCAUAGGGAGCAUCCAUUUCCCUUCCAUACAUUAUUUUGCUCUCUUUAUAGGUAGAUGCAUUAACGGUAAAGAUGAGGCUUGUCAGAUGUGCGCUCCAGAUCUUAGUGUCCUCAAGAGUGUGGUAUUAGGUGAUAAACAAUAUAACUUGGGGGACAUUGUUGCACGAAGGUUGCAUCUGGCAAGUGGAGAUUUGUUUGGUGGAAUUUAUGCAACUCGUGUAGCUAAUUAUCUUGGUGUACCCAUACACGUAAAUGAUAUGGAGUUGCCACCUGCUUAUCUAGAUUAUAGUGCUAUGUUUCGUCAUCAGUUUCUUGAGAGGAAUGAACAGUUCCUCCAGUACCGACUAAUCUUUGACAGACAGCGUACUGUCCAUGUUGCCCUCCCUGUUCCUACUUUCUUUAACUUUCAGGAAAAAAGGAGAUAUGUUAUAACCAGGGAGGAGGUGAACGAGUAUGAGAGGAGGACGGAGGCAGCUCGCCUCUGAGCUGCAGCUCUUUAGGCAGUAGCUUCUGCAUCUCAGUACAACCGCAGCUACAAUUUUGGAUAUCUGCCAGGCCAGCAGUGGCCAUAGACCAACUUAGGCCAAAAGCCUAAGCUUGGGGGAGUACGUAUUUCUCACCGACAUUACAUUCAUGUUCACACACUCAUUCUAGUUGUCGGUGCUCAUACUUUUUCAUUGUACUAUCCAUGCUAGUUUAUUUUCUUUUCUAAGCCUUCUUCUUGUGCAUUUGAAAAACCUUAAGAAAAACCAAAAAAAUAGUUAUAGCUUUUAGCUAGUUUACUUUCCAUGCUUGUAGUAGUAGUAACUAAAAGAAAACCCAAAAAAAUUUGUUCUUCUUUUGCUUGUUGGGAGCUUUCCCGUGUAAAUACUUUUAUUUCUUUUCUUUUCUUUGGGGUUCGAGAGGAGAAGACCAUGAUGAAAUGUUGAGGGGCUCUCAUAUGCAUUAUUGUUGAUUUAACCAAGAGCCCAUAUUACCUUGUCUUCUCCCUUGUAUUAAAUGCUUGCAGAUUCCAGCUUAGUCCAAUGCACGUGCACUAUUAUUAUUAUCCACACUGUUCGGUCGUGCGAGUGAAAGGCAAUAAUGACGAUAUAUGAUGGACUGAUUGAGAUGAGAGAAGCUGGUAUGAACUCGACCUAUCUUGUUUUUGUAAAUAUGAUUAGUUCAUCGUUCCUGAUUCAGCCUAUUAUGAAUGAAACAUGUUUGCAAUGACAAUUAGAGAUUAUAGUUGCUCAUGCCAUGCUUAAUCAGCUAGGAGUUUAUAAUGGUUUACCUUGCGUGCCAACAUGCUAUUGAAAUGGUUGUGAUGUGGUAUGAUAGGGUGGUAUCCUCCUUUGAACGAUUUGAGUGGCUUGACUUAGCACAUGUUCACGCAUGUAGUUGAAACAAAAUCAACAUAGCCUCCAUGAUAUUUAUGUUCAUGGUGAUUUAUAUCCUACUCAUGCUUGCACUCAUUGUUGAUUAAUCUUAAUGCAUGUUCAUGACGGUUGUCGCUCUCUAGUUGGUCGCUUCCCAGUCUCUUUCUAGCCUUCACUUGUACUAAGCGGGAAUACUGCUUGUGCAUCCACUUCCAUAAACCCCAAAGUUAUUCCAUAUAAGUCCACCAUACCUUCCUAUAUGCGGUAUUUACAUGUUGUUCCAAGUAAAUUUGUAUGUGCUAAACUCUAAACCUUCAAAUGAAAUUCUGUUUUGUAUGCUCGAAUAACUCAUGUAUCAACUAGGGCUGUCUAUAUCUUCCAUGCUAGGUGGGUUAUUCUCACGAUGAGUGGACUCCGCUCAUCAUUCAUGAGAAAAUGGCCGGUAACCGGGAUGCCCAGUCCCAUGCUCAAAUCAAAUCAAAAUAAUUGCAAACAAAACUCCCCCAGGACUGUUGUUGGUAUGGACAGUACCCGUUGUUUCGGACGAGCCGUGGAGUGUGCUUGUUGGUGGUGGGGGAGUAUAAACUUUACCAUUCUGUUUGGGAACCGCCUAUAAUGUGUGUAGCAUGGAAGAUAUCGAGAUCUCUUGGUUGUUUUGUUGACAAUGAAAGUAUGCCACCCAAAAUAUUAUUUAUCUUUGUUUCAAAACUCGAGCUUUGGGACCUCUGCAAAUCCCUGCUUCCCUCUGCGAAGGGCCUAUCUAUUUACUUAUAUGUUGAGUCAUCAUGCUCUUAUUAAAAAGCACCAGUUGGAGAGCACCGCUAUCAUUUGCAUGCAUUGCUAUUAAUUUACAUUGAGUAUGACUGUGACUGGAUCUCUUUUACCAUGAAUUACAAUGUCUAGUCAGUCCUUGAUCUUUAGGGGUGCUCUGCAUUUAUGUUUUGCGGUCUCAGAAAGGGCUAGCGAGAUACCAUCUUCUUAUAUCAUGUUAUGAUUGUUUUGAGAAAGUGUUUUCAUCCGAGAUUUAUUAUUAUUGCUCGCUAGUUGAUUAUGCCAUUGAUAUGAGUAAACAUGAGACCUAAAUGUUAUUGUGAAUAUGGUUAGUUCAUAAUCUUUGCUGAAAACUUGAAUGUUGGCUUUACAUAUUUGCAACAACAAGAGCAAACAGAGUUUGUAAAAGUUUUUCUUUAUCACUUUUAGUUUGUCAACUGAAUUGCUUGAGGACAAGCAAAGGUUUAAGCUUGGGGGAGUUGAUACGUCUCCAACAUAUCUACUUUUCCAAACACUUUUGCCCUUGUUUUGGACUCUAACUUGCAUGAUUUGAAUGGAACUAACCCGGGCUGACGCUAUUUUCAGCAGAACUGACAUGGUGUUAUUUUUGUGCAAAAAUAAAAGUUCUCGGAAUGACCUCAAAAUCCACGGAGACAAGUUUUGGAAUUAAUGAAAAAUAUUGGCGAAAGAAUCAGCAUCAGGGGGCCCAUACCCUGUCCACGAGGGUGCAGGGCGCGCCUCCCCCCUGGGGCGCGCCCCCUGCCUCGUGGGCCCCCUGGGACUCCACCGACCUCAACCCCAACUCCAUAUAUUCACUUUCGGGGAGAAAAAAAUAAGAGAGAAGGAUUCAUCGCGUUUUACGAUACGGAGCCACCUCCAAGCCCUAAUCUUCCUCGGGAGGGCUGAUCUGGAGUCCGUUCGGGGCUCCGGAGAGGGGAAUCCAUCGCCAUCGUCAUCAUCAACCAUCCUCCAUCACCAAUUUCAUGAUGCUCACCGCCGUGCGUGAGUAAUCCCAUUGUAGGCUUGCUAGACGGUGAUGGGUUGGAUGAGAUUUACCAUGUAAUUGACUUAGUUUUGUUAGGGUUUGAUCCCUAGUAUCCAUUAUGUUCUAAGAUUGAUGUUGCUAUGACUUUGCUAUGCUUAAUGCUUGUCACUAGGGCCCGAGUGCCAUGAUUUCAGAUCUGAACCUAUUAUGUUUUCAUGAAUAUAUGUGAGUUCUUGAUCCUAUCUUACAAGUCAAUAGUCACCUACUAUGUGUUAUGAUCCGGCAACCCCGAAGUGACAAUAAUCGGGACCACUCCCGGUGAUGACCAUAGUUUGAGGAGUUCAUGUAUUCACUAAGUGUUAAUGCCUUGGUCCGGUACUCUAUUAAAAGGAGGCCUUAAUAUCCCUUAGUUUCCAAUAGGACCCCGCUGCCACGGGAGGGUAGGACAAAAGAUGUUAUGCAAGUUCUUUUCCAUAAGCACGUAUGACUAUAUUCGGAAUACAUGCCUACAUUACAUUGAUGAACUGGAGCUAGUUCUGUGUCACCCUAUGUUAUAACUGUUGCAUGAGGAAUCGCAUCCGACAUAAUUAUCCAUCAUUGAUCCAUUGCCUACGAGCUUUUCACAUACUGAUCUUUGCUUAGUUACUUUUCCGUUGCCACUGUUACGAUUGCUACAAAAACUGCUAUUGUUACUUUUGCCACCUAUACCGUUACUUCCAUACUACUUUGCUACUAAAUACUUUGGUAUAGAUAUUAAGUCUUUCAGGUGUGGUUGAAUUGACAACUCAACUGCUAAUACUUGAGAAUAUUCUUUGGCUCCCCUUGUGUCGAAUCAAUAUAUUUUGGUUGAAUACUCUACCCUCGAAAACGGUUGCGAUCCCCUAUACUUGUGGGUUAUCAAUCUCCAAGAGACCAUUGUAUUGAGAAUCAAACGAGAGAUAGGAAGACAUCUAGCUACUAACUACGGACCCGUAGGUCUACAAAGAACUACUCACGCAUCAUCGGAGAGGCACCAAUAGACAUGAUGCACCCCUCCGUGAUGAUGUCUAGAUUGGAUCUGGUGGUUCUGGACUCUACGGCGGCUGGAAUUGAUUUUCGUCGACUCCCCUAUGGUUUCUGGAAUAUUGGGGUAUUUAUAGAGCAAAGAGGCGGUUCAGGGGGCACCCGAGGUGGGCACAACCCACCUGGGCGCGCCUGGGCCCCCAGGCGCUCCCUGGUGGGUUGUGCUCCCCUCGGAGCACCCCCCAGGUGCUUCUCCUGCCCACUGGAUGUCUUCUGGUCCAAAAAAAUCCAAAAAAGUUCCACUACGUUUGAACUCUGUUUGGUAUUGAUUUCCUGCGAUGUAAAAAACAUGCGGAAAACAGCAACUGGCACUUGGCACUAUGUCAAUAGGUUAGUACCAAAAAGUGAUAUAAAAUGAUUGUAAAACAUCCAAGAAUGAUAAUAUAACAGCAUGGAACAAUAAAAAAUUAUAGAUACGUUGGAGACGUAUCAGGGUUGUGCCCACCUCGGUGGCCUUCCGCACCGCAUGUUUGCUCUAUAAAUACCCCAAUAUUCCAGAAACCCUAGGGGAGUCGACAAAAAUCAAUUCCAGCCGCCGCAAGUUCCAAAACCACCAGAUCCAAUCUAGACACCAUCACGGAGGGGUUCAUCAUCCUCAUUGGUGCCUCGCCGAUGAUGCGUGAGUAGUUCAUUGUAGACCUAUGGAUCCGUAGUUAGUAGCUAGAUGGCUUCCUCUCUCUCUUUUGAUCCUCAAUACAAUGGUCUCUUGAAGAUCUAUUCGAUGUAACUCUUUUUGUGGUGUGUUUGUUGGGAUCUCAUGAACUUUGAGUUUAUGAUCAGAUCUAUGUUUUUAUCCAUGAAAGUUAUUUGAGUCUUUUGAUCUCUUAUAUGCAUGAUUACUUAUAGCCUCAUAUUUCUUCUUUGAAUCUUUGGUUUAGUUAGGCCAACUAGAUCGAUUUUUCUUGCCAUGGGAAGAGGUGCUUUGUGAUGGGUUCGAUCUUACGGUGCUUGAUCCCAGUGACAAAAGGGGAACCGACACGUAUGUAUCGUUUCUAUUAAGGAUAACAAGAUGGGGUCUAUUUCUACAUAAAUAGAUCUUGUCUACAUCAUGUCAUCGUUCUUAUUGCAUUACUCCUUUUCUCCAUGAACUUACACUGGAUGCAUGAUGGAUAGCGGUCGAUGUGUGGAGUAAUAGUAGUACGUAGAUGCAGGCAGGAGUCGGACUACUAAUCUUGGACAUGAUGCCUAUAUAAUGAUCAUUGCCUGGAUAUCGUCAUGAUUAUUUGAAGUUCUAUCAAUUGCCCAACAGUAAUUUGUUUACCCACCGUAUGCUAUUUUUCUCGAGAGAAGCCACUAGUGAAAUCUAAGGCCCCCGGGUCUCUUCUUUAUUAUAUUUGCCUUCACGAUCUAUUUUUAUUUGCUUUUAUUUUCAGAUCUUUUAAUCCAAAAACACAAAAAUACCUUGCUGCUAUUUUUAUUUAUUUAUUUUAUCUCACGUUCCCGCGAGAUCUAUUUAUCCAAUCUACUACAAUUUUACCUAUCUUCUUACCCGUGAGGGAUUGACAACCCCUCUCUUACGUCGGGUUGAAAGUAUUUGUUCUUUGUGUGCAGGAGUUGUUUACGUGGUGUUGCGUGGUUCUCCUACUGGUUUGAUAACCUUGGUCUCAUCACUGAGGGAAAUACCUACCGUAGUUGUGCUGCAUCAUCCCUUCCUCUUUGGGGAAAUACCGACGUAGUUCAAGCCGCAUCAAAAGGAAUUUCUGGUGCCACUGCCGGGGAGACAUCAUCAACAUCUACCAGGUUCCUGAUCAAAAAUCUCAUCUCCUUGCAAUUUACAUUAUUUUCCAUAUACAUCUUGUUUUCCUCUCCCCCACUUCACAAACAUUUGCCGUUUUAUUCGCCCUCUUUUUCGUUCGCCGUUUUUCUCGUCAGAUCUGUUUUGUGUGCAACUCUAUUUUUCAUCUUUUGUCGUUAUGGAUAGUUCUUCCUCUAUUGCGUGCACCCCCAGAACGAAGUUCUUAAUUUCAAGCAAAGGGGAGGGGAGAAUCUAAAAGAUGCUUGGUACAGGAUUUGCAAUGCUCAUAAUAGAUCUAUUCGCAAGCAAUCUACCGUUGUUCUUCUUCGUUGUUUUCAUGUGGGCAUAACCACUUGGUAUAGAUUCAUCCUUGAUACGGCAGUGGAAAUUUCUUGAUGUGUCACUCUCUUGAUGCUUUUAAUGCUAUGGGAAAUUUAGUGGGUUCACCACCUCUUAUGAUCAAUGAAACAACUUUGACUCUCGAGCAUGUUAUGGAAACACUAGAUGCUAUUGGAAAGAAAAUGCUUACCGAAGAACAUUUUGAAAAUUAGGAUAAAAAGAUGCAUAAUUUUGCUACUAAAUUUGGGUCAAAAUGGGAGAAGUUUUUAAGUUGUUAAAAGAAAAGGGGACCGUAAUUCAUGAAAGAAUUGAAGAAAGCCCGUCUCGGAUUGAUAAACUGGAAGAAAUCUUUAGUAAUCUAAGUACGGACUUUUCUUCCGCUAAAACUAUCAAGAAAACUCCAGUAAAAAAUAGCAAGAUUACUCAAGUUACUAAGAACAAGGGUGCAACUUCUAGUAAUAAUAAAGGAGAUCUUAAAAUGAUUAGUAUUCACCCGAAUUUUGUUGAAGUUGUAAGACAUCCCAUUGAUAAGAAUGAAUUCCUCAAUUUUAUGCCUAGAAGUUUUGCUAUUUUACUUGCUAAUUCUUCAAAGAAAUCUGAUUGUGUGAUUGAAGAGUUGAAGACUAAAGAUGACAACAUUUAGAUCUUUCUAUUAUGCCUAGCUAGGGGCAUAAAACGAUAGCACUUGUUGGGAGGCAACCCAAUGAAUAAAAUUUAUUUUUGUCUUUUUCUUUCUGUUCUUGAGUGUUUGCACAAUUAUGCUACUGUUAUGAUUGUGUUUUUUGUGUUUUAAUUAGUGUUUGUGCCAAGCAAAGCCUUUGGGAUCAUGUUGGGUGAUAGUUGAUUUGAUCUUGUUGAAAAACAAAAACUUUUGCGCUCAGAAAAAUAAUUUUCAUAAAUCACAGAAACGUGCUUUUAAUCUGAAUGUUUUACACAAUAUUUAUAUACAAAUUUCCCACGUUGUCCUAAUUUUUCAGAAUUUUUGGAGUUACACAAGUAUACGAAGUUCCCUGAUUGCUACAGACUGUUAUGUUUUUGACAGAUUCUGUUUUCUUCAUGUUGUGUGCUUGUUUUGAUGAUUCUAUGGUUUCCUUUGAAGAGUUUUUGCCAUAGAAAAGUUGGAAUACAGUAGAUAAUAUGCAAAAAUAAAAUAUGAAUGGGUUUGCAACAGUACUUAUAGUAGUGAUUUGUUUUCUUAUACUAACGGAUCUCACGAAGGUUUUGUUGAGUUUUGUGUGAUUGAAGUUUUCAAGUUUUGGGUGAGAUCGCGAUGGAUGAAGGAAUAAGGAUUAGCAAAAGGCUAAGCUUGGGGAUGCCCGAGGCACCCCAAGAUAAUAUUCAAGAAGCAUCAAGCAACUAAGCUUGGGGAUGCCCCCGAGUGGCAUCCCCUCUUUCUUCUUACAACCAUCGGUAUUUUACUUGGAACUAUAUUUUUAUUCGUCACAUAUUAUGAGUUUUGCUUGGAGUGUCUUGUAUGAUAUGAGUCUUUGCAUGUUUACUUUUUAUUUUAAGUCAUGAAUCCUUGCAGCACACACCUAUUUGAGAGAGCCAAAAUUAUGCUAUGACUUUUUAGAAUUGCUCCUAUGCUUCACCUAAUUUUUUAGAGCCUUGGAAUUGCUCCAGUGCUUCACUUAUAUCUUUUUGAGCACGGUGUGCUUUGUUAUCUUUGAAGAAAUGCUAUCAUGCUUCACUUAGAUUAAUGUGAGAGAAAGAAAUAUAAUUCUCAUGUUCUUGACUUAUAUUUUUUUGAGCUUAUAACAAAAAAAUCAACAUAUGAAACUAGUUCCAAAGUGAUAGAUAUCCAAGGAGGGUACAAUAAAAACUUCAUGAAGAUCAUUGGAGAAAAUAAACUUGAUUCUUUGUAAUAGUUUUGAGAUAUGAUGAUAGUGAUAUGUGAGUCAUGUUGAUGAAUAAUUAUUCUUUAGUAAGAAUUUUGGUGUUAAGGUUUGUGAUUCCCUGUGCAAGCACGAAAGUCAAUACACUAAAAAAAAGACACAUCCAUGACAUUUUGGGCCGAACGAAAAAAAAUUCUGUCAUACAUAUGACACUUCUAUGACGAUAAUUGUGACAAAACCCGGUAUCAUCAUAGAUGUGGUGGGCUCCUACUUCUAUGACAAAAAAUCAUGACAGAAAAUGGGCUUUUCGUCCAGGGCGGGCCGGAGACGCAGCUGCAUGACAUUCUUUGGGCCGUCCAUGAUGGAAAAAACCAUGGUAUAAGCGAGGGCGAGGAAAAUUUCGGUGAGUUCCCGGUUACGGUGGGAGGUUGAGGGCUGAGCGAUGCGCGUUUCUCUCGUACACGUCCGCGCGUGUGUGCGAGGCGUUGGCUCUAAUUGAACUCGAGCGAGGCGUUGGGCUCUAACUGAACCCGAGCGAUUGCACUGCAGGCUACGCAUUACUGAACCCGAGCGAUCGAUUGAUGGCUGUUAACUGAACACGAUCGAGCGAUUCCUUCGCUACUGCUGCUAACUGAAGCCGAUCGAUGCUGCCUCUGGGAUGAACAGUGAGCGUUGCGGGGGGGUUUGGAUGAACAGUGAGCGGUGGCGUUGCCUCUGGAUGAACAGGACCCCGUGGUGUGGUGGAGGGCUGGAUGAACAGUAGACAGUGGAGGGGUGGUUGAACAUGACCCCGUGGUGUGGAGGGCUGGAUGAACAGUAGACGGUGGAGGGGUGGUUGAACAGUAGCCGGUGGAGUAGCGCGCGGUGGAGGCUGGAUAAACAGGAGCCCGUGGAGGCUAGAGGAGGUCGACGGUAGCCCGUGGAGGCUGGAGGAGGUCGACGGUGGAGAUGAACAGUAUCCCGUGGAGUCCCGUUUUGCGGUACGCCACACCCCUCCCGAUGAACAGGACCCCCGUUUCGACCGUAGGAGGUCCGUUUCGUCCGUUUUGCGGUACGCCACACCCCUCCCGAUCAACAGGACCCCCGUUUCGACCGUAGGAGGUCUGUUUCCUCCGUUCUGCGGUACGCCAGGCCUCGUUUCCAUCGCCUGUUCCGUCCAAGCCCUCCCGAUGAACACGACCACGCAUUCCGUUCCGACCCAGCCGGUUGGCUUCCACGCGUUCCGUUGCCUCCCGAUGAACNNNNNNNNNNNNNNNNNNNNNNNNNNNNNNNNNNNNNNNNNNNNNNNNNNNNNNNNNNNNNNNNNNNNNNNNNNNNNNNNNNNNNNNNNNNNNNNNNNNNNNNNNNNNNNNNNNNNNNNNNNNNNNNNNNNNNNAGGACCCCCGUUUCGACCGUAGGAGGUCCGUUUCCUCCGUUUUGCGGUACGCCACACCCCUCCCGAUCAACAGGACCCCCGUUUCAACCGUAGGAGGUUCGUUUCCUCCGUUUUGCGGUACGCCACACUCCUCCCGAUCAACAGGACCCCCGUUUCGACCGUAGGAGGUCCGUUUCCUCCGUUUUGCGGUACGCCACACCCCUCCCCAUGAACACGACGCAUUCCGUUGCCUCCCCAUGAACACGACGACGAUGCUGUUUCUCCGUUCUGACCCAGCCAUGUACACGAGCCCUGGCCAUACGUAUGCGCGAGUAGGCGUUCGAGACCCCGCCCGUAUGGACACAUACGUGGCCGUAUUUUCUUUCUUGCACCCUGGCCGCUGUACGUACGUGUACAUGCUACGUGCGCGCCUCUACUACGACACGUACGCGCCUCUACUACGACACGUGCGUGCCUCUACAUCCACCAGUAUAUAUGUACGUACACGUUCGCGACCAGAAUGACAACACUACGUACGCUUCGACCAGGUGGGUCCCGACUGUCAGGCACUUCCUUGCCUGCGAAGAUGUAGCUGGUGGGUCCCAGCAGUCAGGGGGGCGAAUCAUUUUUUUUUUGCCCGGACGCACUUCCUUGCGUGCGAAGAUGUAGCUGGUGGGUCCCAGCAGUUAGGGGCAAACAUUUUUUUCAUGAAAUACGGUGGCCCGUCCGAUGGGUCCCCGCUGUCAGGUGGAGGAAUAAUUAUUUUGCACGUAAUAAGGAGGCACUUCCUUGCUGCGGCCGUGGACCCAGCUGUCAGCCUCUCCACGUAGAGUCCACAUCCGAUGGAAGCCGUUCCUUGAUCACGUUGACCACGCCACGCUGAGAGCACCAGGGCGGUGGACGACGGCGAGGCCUAGCAAGGGGACGACGCGGAGCGGAGGAAGACGCGGCAAUGGAUGCCCACGCGUAGAGGAGUACGAGGGUUCACUGGUUUGCUGCGGUGUGAGGCUGCCGUCGCCGCAGAAUAACAGGGGGUGUGGGUGAGUAGAGGGAUGGCCUGGCCAGCGGUGGCAGUAGUAGGGGCAGUGAGGCCUCCGCCGCAUCGCAGCCGGCCACGGGAGGCAGGAGCACGAGGCACGACCAGCGCUGGUUUGGGCGGCUGGAGCAAGAAGACCAGAGGUUGAAGAAGCACUACGGUCGUUGGAUGGACAUCGUACGAUCACUGGAGCUAGAAUCGUGCAUAUUGACUAAGUUGACAAAGCCCUCCGUCCCCGUCAACUUAGUAGGCCCACAAGUCAGCCUGCCACUAUACUGGGUCCCAGCUAACAGGGGGGGUAUUCAUUUUUUUGUGUGUAAUAAGGAGGCACUUCCUUGCGUGCGAAGAUAUAGCUGGUGGGUCCGAGCUGUCAGUGGCGGUAACGUUUUUUUCGCGAAAUACAGAGGCCCUUUUGGUGGGUCCCUGAUGUCAGGUGGAGGGAUCAUUAUUUUGCGCGUAAUAAGGAGGCAUUUCCUUGCGUGCGGCCUUGGACCCAGCUGUCGGCCUCUCCACAUACAGUCCACUUCAGAUGCAUGUCGGUCGUUGACCACGUUGACCAGGCCGCACCGAGAGCACCAGGGCGGUGGACGACGGCGAGGCCUAGGAAGGGAACGACACGGAGGCAGGGAAGACUCGGCAGUUGUUUCCCACGCGGAGGGGAGUACGACUGUACGAGGGUUUACUGGUUCGUCUGCCGUCGCCGGAGAAUAACAGCAGGUGUGGGUGAGUAGAGGGAUGGCUAGGCCAGCGAUGGGAGUACGGUGGGGCGGUGAGGCCUGCGCAGCAGCAGAGCCGGCCGCGAGGAGGAGGGAGCAGGCAGUCCCGCCGGCGCUUGUUUGAGCGGCUGGAUCAGGAAGAGCAGAGAUUGAAGAAGCACGACGGUCAUUGGAUGGCCAUCCAACAGUCACUGCUUGUGCGUCAACCUUUUUUUAGGAAAGCCUCAAGUCUGUGGAAAACAACAUACAGCCCAUCUGCCAUUAUUUCUAAUAAUUUACAGCCCAUUUGCUAAUUAUUAAGGUUUUUUUGGAGCCCAUAUUCUUUUUGUUAGCAUUACAGCCCAUAUUGUGGCCACGGAUAAAAAAUUAUAGGAAAUUUUGCAUAUUUCGGUGCGGUCCGAACUGUUUUUAAUCCCGAAAUUUCGACUCACAUUCAAACUGAUUUUAAAAAUAAAUGUAUAUCAAUAUAAAAUCCAACAAAUUUUCCACGCAUAAAAAUUAAUGUAAUUUAAAAUCUCAAAAUGAAAAAAAAAGAUAUUUGAAACUAAUUGCCGGUUUGAUGUGUUUUAAAAAUGUACAUCCCAUUUCUCACUACUGAUGGGCCAUUUUCUCGGCUAGUCGAAUGAAAGCUCUCCUCGUCUUGAAAGAUUUGCAGCCCAACAGGCCUGACAAAGCGACUUACUUGGCAAAUCACAAAAAAACUGGGCUGUGGCCGUGGACCCAGCUGUCAGCCUCUCCAUGUACAGUACUCUUCUGAUGGAAGUCAUUCCUUGACCACGUUGACCACGCCGCGCGGAGAGCACCACGGCGGUGGAUGAUGGCGAGGCCUAGGAAGGGGACGACGCGGACCCGGGGAAGACGCGGCAGUGGAAGCCCGCGCGGAGAGGAGUACGAGGGUUCACUGGUUCGGCUGCGGUGUGAGGCUAUCGUCGCCGCAGGGCCUGGCCAGCGGUGGGAAUAGUAGGGGGCGGUGAGGCCUCCGCGGCAGCACAGCCGGCCACGGGAGGCAGGAGCAUGCGGCAUGACCGGCGCUGCUUUGGGCGGCUGGAGCAAGAAGACCAGAGGUUGAAGAAGCACUACGGCCGUUGGAUGGACAUCGUACGGUCACUGGAGCUAGAAUCGUUCAUAUUGACUAAGUUGACAAAGCCCUUCGUCCCCGUCAACUUAGUAGGCCCACAAGUCAGCCUCCCACCAAGGUGGGUCCCAACUAGCCGGGGAGUAUUCAUUUUUUUGUGCGUAAUAAGGAGGCACUUCCGAUGGGUCCGAGCUGACAGCGGGGGGAACGUUUUUUUUUGCAAAAUACGGUGGCCCGUCAGGUGGGUCCCAGCAGUCAGGGGGCAAACGUUUUUUCACAAAAUACGGUGGCCCGUCCAGUGGGUCCCUGCUGUCAGUUGGAGGAAUCAUUAUUUUCCGCGUAAUAAGGAGGCACUUACUUGCUGCGGCCGUGGACCCAGCUGAGACUCUCCACGUACAGUAUACUUCCGAUGGAAGUCGUUCCUUGACCACGUUGACCUCGCAGCGUUCAGUUGCAUGCAUGCGUCCAUGGGCGUGGUGCGUCCCCACUGUCAGCCUCUCACGUACAGUCAUCUUCCGAUGACUCUCGGUUGUUGACCACGUUGACCACACCGUGCCGAGCGCACCCAGACUGGAAUGACCCGGAGAUGGGGAAGACGGGGCAGUGGAGUCGCAGAUGGAGAGGAGUGGGAAACUUCACUGGUUCGGGUGCGCGGCAGCACAGCCGCGGUGCCGCCCACGGGAGACAGGAGCAAGAACAAGGUUGAAGAAGGAGCACGGCUGUUGGAUUAACAUCCAACGGUCCAGCUGCUAGAAUCAUUUGUUGAUUAAGUUGACAAAGCUGUGCGUACACGUCCGCUUAGUAGGCCCACAAGUCAGUCACCAAAUCUGACGGGUCCCAGCUGUCAACGAGAUGAAUAUUUUUUUUCACAAAACAAGGAGGCACUUCCUUCCGUGCGAAGAUACAACCAGUGGGUCCCAGCUGUCAGGUGGAGAAAUAAUUUUUUUCGCAAAACAAGGAGGUCCCUCCUGUAGCUGGUUCGAAUCCAAACCUAGACUAUGACUAUAUAUGGUGCUAUGCUACUCUGCAAGUAAUGAAACUGGCAUAUCCAAUGUUCGCUUCUCCUCUUCUCUACUUACCCUGCCUAGCAUCAGAAGCUCUGGCCGCAGCAACCAUGUUCGCUGGCUGCUCGUCCACCUGCUCUUGAGCAGGCAACAACCAGAUAUGCGCCAAGUCGCCACCCGUACCAUCGCAUGUGGGUCUCAUCACACCCCCGCUGGCACGCGCACCGCAGCCGAUUGCUCAUCGCAACCCGCUGCCAUUGGUGUGGUGCCACUGCUGCAAAUCACGCAGAGUCAUCCGUCGCGUCUCAACCACAAUCCGCAACCCUGGCCGAGUCUUCUACAAAUGCCCGAAUCAUGGGGUAAUAAUAUGUUUAAGUGUUAUUCUACUGCUUUCAGUUGCUGAUUUUUUUAAUAGUUUGGUUGAUGAUCUUCCAAUUUGAUUCGUGCAGAAAAGGGAAGAUUUGUGUGAUUUGUAUUUCUGGGAAGUUGCUGAUGUGGGGGAAUGCAACUACGCUGAUUAUUUGGUUAGCCGAGGAAUCCCAAUACCAGCAGGUUGGGGUGUUGGACAAGUAACUGAAGGAAUGGCAGAAGAGGAAGAUGCAGAGCAGAAGGUUAAAGAUGCAGUUCCUCUGAUCAUGGCCAAGCAACAGCUGCUGAACGGCCUUGACAGCAAUGAGGAGAUGAAAGAGCUUGUGAAGAUAAUGGGCAAAAUCAAUGUGCUCUGUAGGAUGAUUGUCUGUUUAUUUGCAGUGUAUGUAGCACUCGUGAUGUAUUCAGUGGCUACGACAUGAGCACUUUGCUGAAACUAGUAAUGAAUGAAACCUGUGUAGCAGGUUGGGCGUAGUGUUGUGAACAUCUAAUGAUUUCUAUUAACGGAAAUCAGGGGGUAUCCCCUUUUGCUCAUAUAAAUAAAUAAAUACCAGAGGCCCUGUCGGGUCAGCUUUGUUCUCAUUCGAAGAAGUCGAGCAAAUUGCAGUCCAACAGCAAACUAUGUCAUCAAAUUCAAGUUUCACAGCCAAAUAUGAGUACAACUAAACAACAAUGUCAUCAUGUUUUAGUUGUCAUACAAUCACCAAACACAAAUCAGCAUACAGAACAAGUGAUGUUCUCACAGCAAAAUAUUAAACAACAUGUUCAUCAGGUUUCAGUUGUCAUAGCAAACACAAUUUCACAUAGUAGAUAAAAACGUCUUCUGACAGGCAAAUACGACAAAAGCAAUGUAAUCAUCAUCCGCAGCAGCAGCGUCAACAUCUUCGCCAUGUGUAUCAGUCUGAAUCGUAAUCCCCCAUGGUGUCAUCUUCUUCUUCGUCCUCGAACGUUGGCUUCUUCUUGAUCAACUCUUGUAUGUCCACAGCACGACAGGCAAUCUUUUUGCCAGCGUCAUUGACGUGAUGGUUCUCAAAGAUAUUAGGAACAUCUGUGUUAUCUUGUACAUCAGGAGCAGUGUAAGCAUCAUCUUGUUGUGCAACUUCAUUAAACGAAUUCCUCUGCUCAAACCUUUGCAAUACUCUCCAGUCAUUGCUACGUGCAAAUGUGUCUUCCAAGAAAAAUAUCUUUGUUGCUUGAUUUGCCAAAAUAAAAGGCUCGUUGGUCUGGUACGCCGCCUUGACAUUGAUGGAUUUGAAAUAAUCAUCAGCUCUGGGUUUGUGAUCCUGGAAAACAGGUUAUACCAACGACAGCACAACAGAACCACACACCGAUGAUCCUCGAAACUGGAGAUAUACUACAACUGAACAAUGUCUGUUAUGUUAGCAUACAUUUCAGUUGUCUCUUUGUCAUACGUAUCCGUGCUCAUGAUGGCACUGUUUUGUGUCUUCCUGCCUUCGUCUCGUGCAAGGGUGUUGUAGCGCACAUCUCCAACAAUGCUAGAUUCAUAAUGUCUUACCCGAGUAUCAGGACCCAUUGCUAGUGAGUAAAGGGCAUCAUCAACUGCCUGCCCAUCCUCCCGCAUCUUCUUAACCUAUGGUUAGAAAAUAGACAAGCUGAUCAUCUUAUGUACUCAAUAUAUUAAAAAAAACUGACAGUGCACUUCAAAAGCUUACAUGGUUCUUGAACCAUUUCGCAAAUCCUGCCAUAACCAGUUUGUCAAUGUUUCUUGGAUUUUGCGGCAGUAACUCCUCUUUGUAGAUGCUGCACAACAUAGUGAUCGCGUCAAACAUCUAAAUAUAUAAGAAUGUGCUGCAACUUUAGUAGAUUACGAUGUAUAAGUUGCAGUACUGCACUUACUUGAUAUAAGGUAGUAUCUCAGGACAGUUAUUCAACACAUACCAAACCAUUUUCUCCAAAUCUUUAGGUUUGUCCUCUUGUCGACUCUUCCCUGUAACUCAAACAGAAUAAUCGAAAACAUUGAGCCCGGGAUUGUCUUCACCCACCUCUUUGCUAAGCUGAUCAGCUGUUUCAAUGUAUUUUGAGCAGAAUGUCAACGCUUCUGCAGCAAGGUAGGCCUCUGCAAUGGAACCCUCGGGUCUAGCUCUAUUCCUAACAUAGCCCUUGAAAGUGCCUAGCCGCCUUUCAAUAGGGUACAUCCAGCCAUACUGUACUGGACCUCUAAGUAGUGCCUCAUCAGGUAGAUGAACAGCCAAAUGCACCAUCACAUCAAAGAAGGCUGGAGGAUAUAUCUUCUCAAGGUCGCAUAGGAUAGUUGGUAUCUUGUCUCUAAGACCCUCCAAAGCAUCUAUCCUGAUAUUCGUACUGCAGAGUUCCCUAAAGAAUUGUCCAACUCUGCAACUGCUCUGUAUAAGUCAGGGCGGCCCAAUCCUCUAAGGAUAACAGGUAAAACCCUUUGAAGUAGGACGUGGCAGUCAUGAGUUUUCAACCCUUGUACCUUGUUUCCAUCUGCACUGACUCUCCUUUCAGGGUUGGAAGCAAAUCCAUGUGGGAAUCUCACACGUGACAGGACCUCGCAGAAUUCGUUUCUUUUUACCUUGUCCAAGACGUACACAGCUGGUGCCAUAUCCCGUGGUUUACCUUCAUCUUGCACCUGCAAAUCCUUUCUGAUACCCAGGUGUGUCAAAUCAAUCCUAGAUUUGAAGGUAUCUUUCGUCUUGCCUUCAAUAUUAAGAAGUGUGCCAAUAAUGAUGUCACAUAUAUUUUUCUCGAUGUGCAUCACAUCAAGAUUAUGCCACAGAUCCAAAUCUUUCAAUACUCCAAGUCCCACAAAGUGGACCUGCGGGUAAACAAUAAUCUCUCUUCUACCCUGCCAUGCUUCCUUUUCCUGCUACCAUUACCAGGAUGGUUUCCUGGUGUAAUAUGCCUGACCUUCUCUAAUUCCACUUGCAACUCAUCUGCGGUGAGCCUCUUUGGCGCAUCACGGUUUUCAUGCUUUGCAUUGAACACAUGUCUUCGGUAUUUUCUAGGAUGCGGCUUGUCCUUGGAAAGGAAACGACGGUGUCCAAUGUAACAGAUCUUGCUAAGUAUUGCGUAUGACAGCGGAUUCCUGUCACAGCGAACACAUGCAUUGUAACCAUGUGUCAUUCGCCCUGACAUAGUGCCCAAAGCCGGAUAAUCAUGGAUGCACCAAAUUAUAAUAGCACGCAGAAAGAAAUCAGCUGGUGGGCUGCUAUAUAGGUCUCGAGUGAGAACACCCUUCCAUAGCUGUUGAAAUUCCUCCACAAGAGGCUCCAUGAACAAAUCAAAAUCCUUUCCAGGACUUUUUGGACCUGGGAUGAGCAAGGCCAUCAUGUAGUUUGAUUCUUUGGUGCAGACAUUUGGAGGCAUGUUGUAAGGGAUAACAAGCACUGGCCACAUGCUAUAUGUGGCGCUCUGGUGGCCAAAUGGGUUAAAUCCAUCUGAAGCUAAGCCAAGUCUAAUGUGUCUCGAGUUAGCGGCAAACUCUUUGUGUUUACCAUUGAAGCUUUUCCACUCACUACCAUGAGAUGGAUGGCUCAUUACAUUCUGAUCUCUGUUCUCCUGGUUCCUAGAAUGCCACAGUACAUCCUCUCUUGUUUCAGCAUCAUGAAACAACCUCUGCAAUCUUGGUAUAAUUGGAAAAUGUCUCAGAACAUUAUGAGGAAUCCUCUUCACAGCAUCACCAUCUUUCCAUCUUGAUGAUUUGCAUUUCGGGCAUUCACUUAAGUUGGCAUAAUCCUUCCGGAACAGAACACAAUUAUUCUUACAAACAUGGAUCAUAUCAUAUCCAAUUCCAACUGCACGAAGGAAAUUCUUCAUUUUACUGUAGGUGUGUGGCAGCUCAGACGCAUCUGGGAAAGAUUCGCGGAAAGCAGCCAACAUCACAUCGAAUGAUUUGUUGGUCAUCCGCUCAGAUGUCUUCACCUGAAGAAAGGUGACCAUAGCUGAGAAUACUGACAGCUUAUUUCCUGGGGUGACAGCAACGUUGCAUUGUUCCAACAUGCGGGCCCACCGUUUUUCUUCUGCAGGUGAAAGUUCACGGAAUGCACGAGCAUUUCGUAGCAUUGUUUCAAUGUUGGUCAAACUCACUGGCUCCGCCACCACCACCUCCUCCUCCUCUUCCACCUGAGCAUCAGGCAGAUCAAGAUGGUGAUCUGCUGCUUCCACGUAGUCAAUAACAUUGAUGUUCACAGCUUCACCAUGAUGAACCCACCUAGUAUAUGUGACCGACAUCCCAUACAAGUGUAGAUGAUUUUGCACAGUUGACUGGGGUCUUGUAACUGAAUUCAUACAACUGCUACACAGGCAGAGCACAUCUGAUUUCGGACCACCGUACUAAGCUCUGAUAAAGUUCAUGAAGUUUUCAACCCCCUCGACAUAUGCAGCGGAGAAUCUUCGAGCAGAAGUUAUCCAAGUCCUGUCCAUCUGUUAGACAUACAAAUUAGUUCUUCUACUAGAUAUUACAGGAAAAACAUAUAUGCUUUUUUAUGAAGUCCAAAAAAAAAAUACCUAGGUCGAUGUCUAAAGCUAUGGCAAGAUAUUUGGACGAGCAGAUCUAAGUAACAAAAUAUAUGUAAAGCUAAUUCAGCAAACAGAUUUGAGUGCCAAAUUAUGGCAGGCUGUGCAGUCAAUGAGGCCGAGCACAUAGCCAUCAAACUAUCGAAGGCCAUCGCAGCAACAAAGAUCGAGUAUAAAACGGUGUAGAGCUAUUUCACCUAACAGAUUGGCUACUAGACCAUGGCAAUCUACGUCACAAUAAAUAUAUGGCAGGAUAUUUUAGCAACUAAUCGGCCUUGGCAUGCCAUCUCAGCUAAGCAGAUUGAGUGCAGAACAGGGCAAGGAAGCUUCUUAAGCAGAGCAUAUUGACAGUAAACUACUUCGGCAAACAGUGAAAUUAACAGUGUCUAUCAGCUAACAUUCAGCGCUACACCGACAUGAACGGGGCCUCAGUCUAGAAUGCGCGUACCGUGGGAGAAGCUGACCGCCGUGCGUCUCCACACGAACGCCGCCCGCGGUGGCGGCGCUGACCGUCGUGCGCCUCCACAAGAAUGUAGCCAGAGGUGGCGGCGCGGCUACAGGACGGCAGUCUACGAGAGCGUACUGUGGGAGCGAGAGGAUCGCCGAACCGCGGCGCCGACGUAUCGGCGCGGCGGGGAGGGCGGCUUUGGCGGAGCGAAUGGAGUGGNNNNNNNNNNNNNNNNNNNNNNNNNNNNNNNNNNNNNNNNNNNNNNNNNNNNNNNNNNNNNNNNNNNNNNNNNNNNNNNNNNNNNNNNNNNNNNNNNNNNNNNNNNNNNNNNNNNNNNNNNNNNNNNNNNNNNNNNNNNNNNNNNNNNNNNNNNNNNNNNNNNNNNNNNNNNNNNNNNNNNNNNNNNNNNNNNNNNNNNNNNNNNNNNNNNNNNNNNNNNNNNNNNNNNUUAUUGGCUAGUUGGCCGAAGGGCGAUUGAAUCGGAUUUGGGGGGAAUUUUUGGGUGUGGGGGGGGAGGAUUUUUGCGCGGUGGGCGGGGGCAGUUUGGCGCAUGGUCGGUUUCUCCAAGUGCAGUCCCACGUGUCAGUGAAGAGGCAAGCCGAAGCGCCUUCCGUUUGGGUGAGCCGUGUGCAGGACCGAACGUCUGUGGGGUGCAAUGCGACCGCGACAGGAGUGCUGUGAGUGUACCGCCUUUUUUCCUUUUAAACUAGGUGCUUCGCCCCCUCAAAAAAAAAUUAAUUGCUUCGCGCGAUCCAUCGAUACUACUACUAGUAAUCCGGUAAUCCCGAAUAAAACAGCGCGGCCGGGUCUUUUCCCGCGCGAUAUGCUGGGAGGUUUGCUUAGUUGGGUUUUUUAGGACGAGUAAUCCUACACCUACGUAAUCCUAGUUAAGUAAUUAACGUAAUGUGAAACGUGUGAGCUGUUGAUUGUAGAUUGGGGGGAGGGAGGGGCCCACCACCAUGAAAAUCAGGGGAGGAGAGAGAGAGGCAAUUUACAUUAACCGUUUCAUAGGUUCCCGUAGAUGUAGAAAGAUGUGAAAUGCGUGAAUGUGUAGUGGACGUACUAUUGGAGUGCCUAAGAUAAUUUGUGUAUGUAUAGACCCUAUGUGUUUAUUUUACUUCGCAUGUUAGAUUUGUCUUGGUUCAAUAAAAAGCAGAGUUGGUGAUGAUGGUGUGCCUGUCAUCCUGCAAUAUAGGCCGUCCGAUCUAUAUCUAACGGAUAGGAAGGAAACUAUGACAAUUUACCCGCACUCCUCCCCACAUUUGCACAUAAGGCUUUCCCUCGUUCAUCCUUUUCUCCCAUAAGAUCUUGAUCUUCCGUGCAACGCAUGGGCAUCUUGCUAGUACUCCUACAAUAUGUAUAUUAUUGUGAAAGUUCAUAUACACCGGCCGAGAUUAAUGCAAACACGGCAGAUUUUCAUUACAUUUCAAACUUUUAUAGGACAGAAAAAUAAAAGAAACCCGACCCUAAACCUAUUCUACGGCGGCGACCAACGUCCUCCAUCUGCGAUCUCUAUGUACGGGGGCGGGGUUCAAGACCCGUGAAGUGAUGGUGCGGUCUCCGGCGAAGAAGAGUAGAACACGGGAUACGGACCGGCCAGUUGGCACACCAUGCCCUGCCGCCUCCCAUGCCCUACUCAUCCUCGGAGGAGUCCCCGACCUCGGCGGUGUCGGACAUUGGAUGGCGGCAAGUAGGACGCGUGGUUGACGGUGCUCCCGUCGUCGGCCGCCAGCGUGGCCACCGCUUGUGCGGUCGCGUCCGCGUCCGGCUACGCCGCUAUUGCGUCGCGAGAGGCGACUUGAGCGAGGGCGGCGACCUCGAGCUUCAUCCCCGAAGACAAGCUCUCCCAUAGAGCGUUCGCACUUGCGGUCAUGGCGGAUGUGGUGCCAGGUAGGAGGACGAUGCGCUAUGGUGUGGAGGUUAGCUGGGCGUUGCCGCUUUAAGUAGCGCAUUCCGGUGAGGCCAAGCGUCCGGGUGCGUCAUUAAGUCGCCGGAGUUGGUUCCUCGGGCACCGAGCCUCUUAACGACGACAUACGAAUGGACGACAUGAAUGCGGGCAGCUAGCGCCGGCUGGGAACGCACCGCGCGACGGCGCGAGGGACGAUGGUUUUGGUGUGCCAGGGUAGUCAGCUGCGGUCGUGGCAACGUUGGAGAUGCCCUUUGCUCAUAUGCGAUCCCCGCAUCAUUGAAAAAGCAAGACGACCCGGCAUGGUCUCAGGUCCAAAGGAUGCAGUUGGCCGCGCUACACCACUCCGCGGACGCGUCGCGGCACCCCGUGCAUCCUCGACGAGCCGGGUGUUGGGGUGUGUUUGGAUUGUGGCCAAAGUGCACCUUACCAAAAUUUUGGUCAUGACCCAAAGAUUGGUCUUUGUUUGGAUGGUUGCCAUUUUUUUUGGCAUGCCAAUGAACUCUAGCCAACUCUAGUUCAUUUUUCUUGCCAAUGUCGGCCAAAUCAUGGGCAACCAAUACCUCAACCAAAAUUUUGGUCAUGACCCAAAUAUUGGUCUUUGUUUGGAUGGUUGCCAUUUCUUUGGCAUGCCAAUGAACUCUAGCCAACUCUAGUUCAUUUUUCUUGCCAAUGUCGGCCAAAUCAUGGGCAACCAAUACCUCAACCAAAAUUUUGGCUACCCAAUGCUUUAAUGGGGCAACCUUGGGCACAAACCAAACAUACCGUUGGUCGUGCCCCAGCACUAACGCCACCCUCGGCACACUGAAACCGACCGUGUCUAGCGACGAUAUGAGCGUGUCGCUCACCGCAGUCGCCGUGUCCAUAGGCGGUGAUGGAGUUGCGCCCCAUUGUUGGCCCCAACGACCCACAUGAAUGGUUGUCGGUGGCGAGGAGGUCGUGGGCCAGCUCCUCCAUUGGACUAGUCUGCGCUACGUCGUCCCGACGGGUGUGCCCCACAUGUCGGUUUCCCUGUUUUCCCGGCCAUAUUCGAGCGUCAGUGCUCCGCGUUGCACAUUAGGCCUUUCACUAUGUAGGCCAAGCGAGACAACUUAUUGUUUAUUUGACCCGUUCAAGUAUAAUCAUGUGGCGUUUGCUUAUUUCUCAUUCCUCUCCAACCCUCUUCUCCAUCGAUCAUGUCGCCCUCCAGUCGAGUCCAUCCUCCCGCAUGCCUCAUUUGAACAUUCCUCCGAGUAUCAUUCGCCAUGUACCCACCCUAGUCCUCUUUCAAUAGAUCUCCGGACCCCGAGAUGAAAUCGAGAGGGAACGAGUGGGGGCACGUGAUACCUAAGGCGGAUUCAAAAUUUUGAACCGGUGAUCAUAGCAUCCGCAAAUCAUAUAUAAAGGGUAUUCAAUGUUCGUUUCGUUUUUGAAUGUACAAUAUACUCCCCCUAUCCUUUCUAGUUUACAUAUAAGUUUUAUGUGUAGUCAAAGUAUCUCUACUUUGAUCAAAAAGGUAUCAACAUUCAACAACGCCCAAUCAAUAUUGUUAGAUUCGUACGUACUCCUAGAUUUGUACUCGAGAUGGUUUCCAAUUUGACUAUUGACAAGAUUAAUAGUACAUGAGAUGUAUAAUGUGAAAAUUAUAUCAUUGGAAACUCCUUUCACAUACGAAUUUGACCGUAUGCUUUGUGUAAGUUGCAUGUCAUAUAUUAUUACUCUAACAUUUGGUCAAAGUUAGCCUCGAAAACGCAUUAGACCCUGUAUGCUUUGUGUAAGUUGCAUGUCAUAUAUUAUUACUCUAACAUUUGUGUAAGUUGCAUGUCAUAUAUUAUUACUCUAACAUUUGGUCAAAGUAGUAUAGUGGAAGUGGAUACUCUGACGUAGGUAUCCCUACCUUACCCUCCCUUUCGGUCACUUACUGGCGGACCCCAUGCUUGCUAGGCCCCGCAUGUUAGUUACUCAAUGGGUUCGGCCACGUCAGGGGAUCCUCAUCCGUAGUAUACUCCCUCUAUUUUUAUUUACUCCGCAUAAAACGGAGGGAGUGCUGGUAUAAUAAAUGACGCGGGCGGGGGAGGGGGAGGGACGUUGGUUUGCUCUCAACUGCGGUCCCACAAGCAAGCGAAAACGCAAGACGAAGCGUGUUCCAUUCGGUGAGCGACGUGGAGGGUCCAGCGUGCCAGGCUGCAACACGAACGCGACAAGAGCGAUGUACAGUCAAAAUCGAUUGACCGGUCGUCACCAGAACCACUAUUCACACCAGAACCUUCGCUGCUCGGCCUACGCCAGCCACUGCCCUAAAACCACACCAAAUCUCUAGCCCAUUCCCCCACCUUUCGAUCCCCUAGCCCGCAUCAAGCGUCCCCUAGUUCGCCGGAAAGCCAUGGUGCGCCGCAAGAUCACUUACAACAAGAUGUUGACGCCGGAGCGCCGCGCAGAAAUCGCGGCGGCGGUCGGCGCCACAGACCUCCGUUCCCAAGCUCUCUUUGCGGCGGGCCAAUCCCCGAGUUCUCUGGAGCCAAGCUACGAGGAGGAGGAAGCCGAUCCAAUGUUCAUGGCGGAGGUCGCGGCGCAGAAGGCCCCCGAUGGGUAUGAGACGAUGGACGUCGACUUCGUGCCGGUGUCCGAGUCCCCCAUGGUGCAGGCGGACCAGCGGUUCAACAUGGCGAUACUAAAGGAGGACCGGGAGGCAGAGGCUCAACUCGACGCGGAGCGCGCGCAUGCCGCUGCCAUCGAGGCUCUCCUGCAGGCGGAACCGGAUGUCGUGGAUGUGAACCGGGCGGCGGAGGCUCAACUUGAGGCGGAGCGCGCGGAUGCUGCUGCCAUCGAGGCCCUCCUGCAGGCGGAACCGGACGUCCUGGACUUGAACCGGGCGGCAGAGGCUCGAUUCGACGCAGAGCGCGCGGAUGCCGCUCUCAUCGAUGCUCUCCCGCAGGCGGAAUCGGACGUCCUGGACUUGAACCGGGCGGCGGAGGCUCGACUCGACGCGGAGCGCGCGGAUGCUGCUGCCAUCGAGGCCCUCCUGCAGGCGGAACCGGACGUCCUCGACAUGAACCGGGCUGUGCUCUCGUCCGUGCAGAGCGCCCGCAUGCUCCACUUGAACGAGUAGCUGGAGGCCGAGGACAACCACGGUGCGGAGACACACGUCGGCAACGACGGCUGGUUCACGCCGGCAGCCAAAGACGACGAGGCCGUCUCGUUCCGCGAGCAGUGAUAGUUUUUCUUUAUGUUGUUGUUUUUAUGGAUCUUUUGCUGUGUAAAAGCAUAUAUUUGUUAUGCAAGUCACCUGACUUGGGUCAGUCUACCAUUGCAGGCGGUUGGAUGAAUAUCCUACGUCUCCUAACCCUUCUUUCCUUCUUCCUCACCUUUUCUUCUUCCCCAACAGACCACCGCACGGGCCGUACGGAUACUCCCCAACAUGCGGUUGGAUAAACAUACUCUAUGAACGAAAAUUAUGUGUCAGCAAUAGGAUGGCUGAGUUUGGUUUGUUCACAUGCGACAGCACGUGUCAUUGAGGGUGCGUUCCCUUGGUUGGGUUUGCGGCGUGCAGAAGCGACUGUGUGAGGGUGCGGUGCGACCGCGGCAUGCAGGAGCGACCGUGUGAGGGUGCGGUGCCACCGCGACAGCCGUGCGCAAGUGUACCUCCUUCUCAUUUUGAAAACUUUAGUCAAGCUUGGCAAAAAUGUGUGGCGAAGUUUGGCAAUGCAAGGCCUAGACCCAAACAGGAUAAGUACGUACGUAGUAGGAGUACUAGUGUUAAAAAAGAAAGGCGGGGUUUUCCUUCACGGGAUUUAAUCGAUACAAAUCCUCGUUUCAUGUGUCAAUUAAUGCGUAUUUUUUUCUCCAAAGACCAAAGAGCUAACCAUCUCACUCCUCAUCGCUUGAUUAAUGCAGCGCCAUGCAAACCAACCUUCUCACUUCCGCAUGCAUGCAGGGGAUAUUAAUGUCCUUGGUUGCUAACCCCAUCAAUUUUGCCUCGAUUAGUGUUAGUGGCCCUUUGCAAAUUGUAAUUUUGAUAUAUUGGCCUUGUGUACAAAAAAAUGGAGGUAGUAACUAUAUUUGACUUCCUUCCCCAUUGCGGUGACGUCGACGAUAUCUUUUUUUUGGUGGUUUGGCGAAGUGCGUUCGACGGAGAACACCAUUGAGGGAGACCAUGGUAAGUCGUUCGCAAGUGCCGCCUGCAAGCCGAGACAACCGCCUUAUUUGCAUCCAGGAAGUCCUUUGCUAGUACUACUAGGAGUACUAGUGCGGUGAGAUGGUUUCUCGAAGAAGACAAUGGAGAAGCGGAGUCAGCGAAGAGUGAAAUGAUGGUUGCUUCGUCCGUGCUUUUGUGAUUUGGCGCCUCACUGCUUUCUGAUUUGUGAUAGAAGGGACAGGGGAGUAGACUCUGUGCUCUAUACUGUACUACAUGCGUCCAAGCAUGGGAGAAAGAGGAGAGACGUUGCAUUUUUCUAUUCCUUCAAUCAAUCAAUCAGGGAGCUUCGGUUCCAUCUUUUUGGCUUUGGCAACACCGUCCACAAUGGUUCCCACGAUGCCAAAAGCUAUUUUCACAUUUGGCUACACAUUGUGGAUGCCCUUAACCGUACCACUUGGUUUUGUGUCACGACCGGUUUUCCAAUAAAAAUAUUUAUUGAAAGACCGAUCCCUUUUACGGACCAGUAGAGCAGAAUUACUUCUUACCGGUAGACAAAAUCUCGGUCACAGAAGAAAAAUACCAGGAGUACUGAAUAUAAUACAAAGUUGAGCGGAGACUGCCCAACAAUUUAUUACAAGCGCGCCGAUAAAACAUAACGGCAGAAAGGGUGGCAUAACUACUAACUCACGAUAAAAACGGUGGUGGAAGUAUCACAGCGAAGAGGGUGAUAUGACUCCUGAAAACUAACAGCUCUUCGGGCGUCGGAGUGAGGCUCGAGGAGACUUAUUGCGGGUGGCGGAAGCGUAUAUGGUACAAGUGACCAAUAUCCAGGAUCGCACGGGACUGACUGGGAUUCCUCUAGGCGUCGAACUCACUAUCGAACUCUUCAUCCAUGAGAUCGCCUUCGUCAACAUCUGGCCAAAUCAACAAGCCAGGUGAGUACUAUGAAAGUACUCGCAAGACAGUUCGGACAUAAGAUAUAACAAAUGUAAACAUGAUGCAUGCGAACAUAUUAACAAGUGCACUCAGACAAAGGGACUAUAAUGCGUGAGAGAUAAAAGAGAAGUCGGGCGGUAGUCCUCCUGAAAUCCCAAAGUAAAUACUGAGGGCCAAACGAGUGUCUGAAUGACUCCUCGAGAGGAAAAAUACAGGAAUAACAAUGCCGCAGUCGGGCGUCAAGGCGACACCACAUAAAGGGCUUAUAAUAGAAUAUAAAAGACAGUGCGUGCCACAGUCGGACGUCUAAGCGACAUCACUUAAAGGGCUUAUAUUGAAAGAAUAAAUAACAGUGCAUGCCACAGUCGGACGUCUGAGCGACAUCACAUAAAGGGCUUAUAUUGAAAGAAUAAAUAACAGUGCAUGCCAUAGUCGGACGUCUGAGCGACAUCACAUAAAGGGCUUAUAUUGAAAGAAUAAAUAACAGUGCAUGCCACAGUCGGACGUCUGAGCGACAUCACAUAAAGGGCUUAUAUUGAAAGAAUAAAUAACAGUGCAUGCCACAGUCGGACGUCGGAGCGACAUCACAUAAAGGGCUUAUAACUUAAUAUCUCAGUAGCUCAAGAAUUUAAAUCAUAUCAAGGGAAUAAUCAGGUAUGAGAUAACAAUAGGGGUUAGCCAUCCACAGGAAUAACGUUCAACCAAGUUUUCCACUCAAGUUUGUUCACCGGGGAUUGUACCAUGAGAACUUGACAUAGAUAUGGAUACAUGGGUCACGGUCUUUGACCAUGGAUACGAUGACCUGGAAGGAUUUGACUCUGCAGAGUUUGUACUUUAACCACAGCCAACGGAUUUCAGUAGUCACGGGGACUAGUUCCGUUUACGGUGUUUUGGAAGAAACACAUCUAACCAGUACACACCCAUUCAACAUUCCGAAGCCAGGAAUCACCCGUUCAAGAAAAACCUUGAGACGGGGAGGCUACAACCUCGCGUAGCAUGGGAUCAAAUUUAUAUACGCGCGCUCUAAGGGGUGCCCCCCUCUCGGUCCCAACCGGAAACACCCAUGCCCCCUGACCGGAUGACUGGCUUUAAUCCAGGGCCAUGGAACCCUCAUCCCGGCCCCUCUAAUUGGUGUGUACACGGAAAGAGGUUACCAACUUACUAAACCGCAUUCUGGCAGAAAACAUGUGGCAGCACGGAAGGGGGAAGAACGAUAACGUGACUCCGUCCACGUUAACGUCGGAAUUUAUCGGACAUCGUAAGGCUGGCAUGCUACAACAAUACCACCUUACUGCCUUUCAUGUCACCACAUGACUAGGCCAUCUCUCAUCAGAGAUCACAGUAACUUCGGAACACACGGGUAGUUGCCUUACAUGCAACGAAAUACUCACCGAUGCUCAUAUGCCAUGCACAAACCAUUCAAGCAAACAUGCAAAACACCCGUCAUAUCAAAGGUUCAAACAUGCUUGCCUGGUUCGGAGAAGUCGGAGUCUAGCUCGGCGAAGUUCGCGGCUCCGUCACCUCUUCCGGAACCUACAGUAUAGCGAAAACGUAUACUAACGUGAAAACCAACGCGUGCAUAAAAGUUGUCCCAAAUUUUUUUCAAAUAAAUACUAUAAAAAACUAGACAAAAAUAUAAGACUGUCAGAAAAAGAAUCACUCAAAAAUCACUUUUUAUUAAAAAGUUAUAAGGGUUUUUGUCCAGGGACUAAUAUGUGAUGAAACAGAAAAGAACCAGGGACUUAAUUGAGAAAACAGACGGUUCGAAGAGAAACGCGCCAGCCCACAGAGAAAACGUACUUGCCCGAAGGCGCCAACAGAAAACGCUUCGGGGGAGAGAAAGAAGAGAGGCUGACGUGGGGGUCCCACAUGUCAGGUUUAAAUCCUCGCCGGCGCCCGAAGGCUGCGGUGGUCGCCGGCGUCGAACCACGGCGAGUCAGGGAGAUCGGAGUGUACCAAGAGGUUCAGCGUGUUCUUCCGCGUUGGUGGGUGGUGGACUUGGUCGUCGGAGAGCACCACGUCAAUGGCGACACUUUCUCCGGCGGACGGCGGCUCGGGCGAUGGUGGAGAACUCCGGUGGGUGCUGCAAACUCCGAAUUGAAGCGCGGGUCAGGAGAGUGGAUGCAUAAGAGAGCUACUGGCAAGAGUUGGGGGUUAGAGGUGCACGCACGGGGAGCGAAUCGAGCUGGAUCCCGUGGCGGGUCGCGACGGCCGGAGUUGAGGAAGAAGGCUUCCUCGGGGCUCUUCCAGUGGCUAGGUGUGGUGCUGGAGGUGUGCAGAGGUGGUGUGGGUUCGAGUUGGAGCUCGGGGCCUCUAUUUAUAGGCGGUUCGAGGGGGUGGCUGUGAACGGGAUCGCUCCGGCGAGCAAUUACGGCGAGGCAAUGGCUUGGAAGGGAGCUUAGGUGGCCAGGCAGCAUCAGGGAGAUGUACUAGUGCCGUUCCCCCGCUAAUCCUGGUCGGUCUUGGCGUAAUGGCGCCGGUCCUCGAUGGGGUGGCCGUACGGGCACGGCGGCGGCAGAGAGCACGCUCCGCACCUGGCAGUUCACGACGAGGGUGGCAGCGCGCACUGGGGAGUGGAGGGCCACGCGGCGACCUCCGGUGGCUUGGGCGGCGCUGGGUGGCGCCAUCCAUGCUGUGCCUCUCUCUGGCGGCCGCAAAGCCGCCGCUGGCGUCGGUCAUGAGGCGGCGCACCUCCUCCUGCUCGUCGCCGACGCCCGCAACCUUCCAGGCGCUCGUGCGGUGCAGAGGACAAGGGGGAGGGGACAGGAAACACGGCGACGCCGGGGCACUGGCGAGAUCGACAACGGACACUGAAGAAACGACAGUAGUUUCAGACAUUGUUAACUGAACUUGACUGAACAUUAGAGAAACAGUGUCCAGUAGGUGUUCGAUCAAAUGAUUUGGCAAGAAGAAAAUUUUUCCUGGAGCUGGGAUUUGGUGAGGUGACCUCUCAAUGCACCCAGAGGCUGCCUGAUUUUUCUCAGAUUUUUAGGAGAAGGAUUUGAAUGAAUUUCAUCAAAUUUGGCAAAUCUGGUCCAAACUUGCAGCAAGUAUAGUUUGAAAAUUUUGAACUGGAGACCAGUGGAUCUUCAUGGAUCUUGGUUGAGGGUCCAAAGGACUAGCUAGUGAAAUUGGUUUGGAGACAAAACUCAAAGCAGAAAGAGUAGCUCCUUUGUAAACCUCCAAGGAUCAAGAUAGAAGGCAGAAAUUGUUUUUGAUAAGAAAUAAAUGGAAAUAAAUAUAUGGAGAGGUUCAACUUGCUGGAUUUGAGGUAUAUUAUGAUCCAAAGGUGGGGAAAGGUUUAUGGGAGUGGAUUUGCACUAAGGUCAUGGCAAGAGAGAUUUUUGAAAGGGGACACGGAUCAUUCCAAAAGCCAUAGGGCCUUUUAAAAGAAUUUUUCAAAAGACAUUUUUUUCCAAGUGAAAAGCAUUUUGGUUUGAGUCCAAAUAAAAAGGGCAAACCUCCAAGACCAAAAAUCAAGUCUUGGGUGAAUCCAAAUGAAGCACUUGCCAUAAAGGAAAGUUUUUGAGAGGGAGAGUUCUUUAGAAGCAAAUUUAAAUACCCUCCUCAAAUAAAAUAAAAGUUUUGAAAAAGCCAAAUAAAAUUUUGGGUGUCACAUUUUGCUCCUGUGUGCUAUCUAUACAAAUCUCAAUUAUAUUGAUCUAAAAAAUUAUAGAAGCAAGAUUAGUAAAAAGGAGGUGAUUUUGCCGCGCGGAUGGCGGGGGAGGUUUCUUAUUUGAGCAAUGCUACAUCCACGUAAUGGUUUACGUAAAGUUACGAACUGAUGUGAUGUGGGACUAUUUGAUCGGAUUAAAGGAGAGGAUUAGGCCCACCCCACCUGAAAAUCAGGGGGGCAUAUAUAGAUUAGAUGGAAAGUAUACGUAGCAGCUACGUAGCCCGUUGUAAGUCUAGGAUUAGGCUUCUUAUUUUUGGAGGACGUUGUCCAGGCGGUUUGCUAACAUGCGGUCCCAUGUGUCAGUGCUUUACCAAGCCGAUCCGCGUCCCACAUGAGGCAGAACAACGGCAGAAGCAACAUGUGGUUAAGUUGAAGAAGAUGAGGGAGAAGCGGAUUCAGCAACGAGUGAAAUGAUGGUUGCUUCGUCCCUCCAACUUAACUGCGGGAAAGGUGCAGCUUGUGAUUUGAUGCCUCAUUGCUCAUUACUACACCGGCGCCAUGACUGGGGUGCUUCACCCCGGCUGCUCUGCACUGUAUUCCGGUAUGGCACGUGGACCCGGUAGCUUGAUGUCCCACAUGUCGGUGAAAGGGACUAGAAGAUUUAUGAAAGUGAGCGCUCCACUCUUACGACGGAGGAGUAGACGACAUGACGGCCCAGUGAACUGUCACUUGUAGUACUGUAUAGUACUAUAGUUUUGCUAUUUCGCACGAUCCAUCGAUACAAACCCGAUUAAACAGGAAAGGGCGGGAUUUUUCCCGCGCGGUAGAUGAUACUGGCCAUACAUUUCAAAGGCAAUUUUAAUGUAUGCAAACUGAAUAAUUAUAAGUAACAAUAUGAUAUCUAGUAAAACUAAAAACACAUAUGAUUUAUUGUGUUAGAGUGUAGUAGUAGUGCUGUAUUGCAUAGUUGUUAGAUGUAACAUGCGAGAACGUGUAGAGAUGUAGUUUUGGAGGGCCUACAGAGAGAAAAGCGUAAUACGGUCACCGAACUUCAGAAUAAGCUGAUUAAGGUUACUAUAUACGUUUUGCGGUGAUUAUACGGUCACUUGCUCACAGUUCAGCAUCGGAUUGCACUCUGUUGACCGGCCAAAUAGUCUGUGUGGUGCCAUGUUGACUAGUUAAAUUGACCACGUUCCUUGUGGGUCCCACCUGUCAGUUCGCGUAGGCAAAAGGUCAGAUAAACACAAAUUUACGCAGGCGCGACAAGGCUCCAACCCGUGCGCGGGAAUCACCUAGUUGUGUAUGUGUCCGUCAGGGCCUGAUGUGUGCGCAUGCACGUGUAGGUUGAGCACUUGAACGUGAGAGUGUGUGUUGGUCGUGUGGUGUACUGGUGUGUGCAUGCAUGCGUGCGUGUGUGUGUGAGUGUUGCGUGCGUGCGUGUGAGUGUUGCGUGCGUGCGUGGCUGCGUGCGUGCGUGGGUGCAUGUGUUUGUGUGAGUGUUGCGUGGAUGCAGUUCGUGUGCAUGCGUGCGUGUGUGUGUAUAAUCACCACACCAGCUCUUGUGUGUUAAAACAGACGGCUCAGCAUACCAAUACAAGGCCACCUUGUCCGCUGUGCCCGCGGUCAUGACUUCGAACCACCGUCCAAAUAUUUUUUUGUCGUUUGUUUUCAUUCUUACUAGCAAGAUGCACGUGCGUUGCACGUAACAUCAAGAUGCAUUUGUAUGACUUGUUUAUCUUGUGAGAGAAAAGGAUGAACGAGGGAAGGCCUUAUUUGCAAAUGUGGAGAGGUGUGUGGGUACCUUUUUGCAAAAUUGCCAUAGUUUCUUUCCUAUCCGUCAGAUAUAAAUCGGACGGCCUAUAUUGCGGGAUGGCAGGCACACCAUCAUCACCAACUCUGUUUUUUAUAAGAGUGUAUUUUAUGUAUUUUAUAAGAGUGUAGAUGUAGAGUAGAUACAAGUCGACAGGUGGGCACGAUGGUAGUGAGAUAAUGUGAUGCAACACUAGAGGUGCCACGUGGAGCGUUUAACUGGUCAACUACUCAUGUCAUGAGCAAAUACAGAGUUGUACGGUGAGCCCGUGACUGCAUAAUAACCACUAAACGUAAAUGGUGACCGUAAUGAGUGGAUUCUGAAGUCCAAUGUAUGUAUCGUGCUUUCGCUUCAAAUACAAUGAUCGUCAUUGCAUAUAUCGCGAGAGAAAGAUGAAACAUGCGUGAAUUUUCUGGGGGCUUACUUUUAGAGGACCUGGAGAUAGUUUUGUGUGCAUACGUGAAAGGGGCGUACAGGGGGGGUAUGCAAUGGAGAGAGAGGUGCUCUUCGUUUCUCUUUAUUAUGACUAACUUUGUAUAUAGUAUAAAAAUAUACAAAUUCACAUUGCGGAAUAAAUAUCAUUGUUGGCACCAUGCAAUGCAAAUUAGCAUUCGUACUCCUCCAUAUAACUUUGUAAUGUUGUAUAUAUGUAGAAACUCUUAAAUAAUUUUUUGGCCACACUUUAUUCAAAAGGAAUGUUGUAUGCGAAAUAAACGUGAAGAGAGGGCUUUUUAGAUCAAUGGCGUACGUGAUGUAACAUGUGUAAAUGUGUAGUUGAUGCAUUUGGUGGGGCCUAGAGAGGUAUGUGUGUGUAUUACGUAUUCGAGAGAGGCAUGGAUAGAGGGGCCGACGGGGGGCGUGGGAGAGAUAGCACGAGAAAUGAGAGUGGUCUAGAGAGAGAGACGAAUAUGACGUCACGACAAGAGAUUCCCUUCCCUUGAGUGUGUAUAUGCAAGGGGGAGGGAAUAGAGGCACCAGGAGAAAUUUUCUGUGUGUGUGGUGUUUGUGUUGGUAUGUGUGGGUGUGAGAAGAUAAUGAGACGUGGGGGCAGAGGGUGUGUCACCGCGUGAGGGCCGGUGGGUCGAGGUGAGGCCCUUCGUUCGGUUCUGACCUGCGCCACAUUGGUCGGCCCGUGACGCAUUUAGGAAGACCCAUGGAUGACUAGUCGUACAAGACAAAGAUACCAGAAUUGUGAAGGACUCUAUGUCCACUGACAAAGCCAGCUAGGAUUUGUAACCCUAGGUUCUCGGACUAAGGUAACCCCUUUAUCUCUGAUAUUACUAUUCAUCCAACCUAACUUUAAGGGGCAUCCUACAGAAUGCUCUGCUAGAAUCAUACUCGUCGAUUAGGAAGAGAGGUGUGAGACAAUGCGUGAGAGACAGGCGUAAAGAUAAUGUGCGUACAUGAGACACGUAGGCAGGUCCAUGUAUAUAGAAAGGGUCGAUGAGGAUUGUGCGUGUGUAUGUUUGCGAGAGGAAGAGUGCUUGUGAUAAAGGUUAGUGAAAACAGUUGUAAAUGGUUACGAGAGGGAGGGAGGGUUAUAUCUAGAGCAUGUGUGCGAGAAAGACACCUCGGGAGAGAGUGUGUGAGCAUGUGUGAGAGACCACCGAUGGAGAGUGAAACUACACGUAAAAGACUGCUCUACACAUUGAUUAAAGAUAUAAAUUGUAUCCAAAUAUUAGGAUGGGAUCAUGAUAUUUGCAAUUCGCGUAAGGAGCGGUCAUUGAUCCAUCAGACAUCUAGAUUUUAUCGAAUUUGAGCAUGUCUAUGUUAUUAUUCAACACAAUUGAUCCACAUAGUUAGUAUUUUGAACUCCAGACAAUGCACCGCUUUAGCAAUCGAAUAUAAACGUGAAAGUUACACAAUGGACAUUAUAAAUAGCUACCUAUGAACUAGCAUACAUUUGAAUUCAACUUAAGGUGGUUUAAAAAAAUCGAAUUCAACAUGAAGUCCAUUCAAUUAUUUGAAUUUGAUAUCAUGGCAUUUGUAAACCAUACCUAAAUUAUGGGGGCACCAAUCUUUGCUCUGAUUUUGUACAUAAUAGCAUAUGUAGUCGUGUACAAAAUAGAUUCAAAUUUAGCUCCUCCAUUCCAAAAUAAUCGUAGUUAUAGGAUUUUCAAGUGUCAAAAUUUCAAAAAGAAGCGGAUAAUUUAAUGAGGUUUUCAAACAUACAAGGUCAAAUAUAACGUUGUCUAUUUAGGUCAAUCCUCAUAGUUCAAGAGUCCUCUAAACGUGAAUGCUUGUGUUUCAUAAUUUCGAACGAAGUGCCAAAAGAGCCUCUACUCGCCCGAAACCGCGUGAGACCAAUGUUUGGUAGUACAAGGAAAUUACUUUUCUAAUAACUCCGACCCGUGAAACCUACCGGUCCGACGUCCAAAGGUCUAAACCGGGGUAGGUUUGUAGCUUCAUCUAGACGCCACGCAACCGCAUCCGAAAAACAUUCAUACACAAUGGCCGCCUAAGCACACAUGCGCGCGGCCGAAAUCGCUCCCGCCCACUAUUUGGGACACCUGGGAUUACCAUCCUACCCCCGACCCGCAGUAGGUCCAAAAUUUAAGAGGGGGGCAAAGUUUGUACUUUCCCCAAAUUUCAAACAAGCGCGUCCAUCUUCUGUUCAAAAAAGCCAAAAACAAGCGCGUCCCAGACCGAAACAUGGUCCCCCCCCACCCGUCCGAUUCCCCAUUCGUACUCCGUGGGCGCCAAAACUACCUCUCCACCAGCCACGAAACCCCGGCGUCCUCCGUCCGCCACCCCAUCCCACCCAUCAACUGCUGCCCUCCUCCAUCACGCCGAAGCCGAUACCCCGACAUCGUCGUCCACCGCAACCUCAACCGCAACGCCCUCCACGGCUAGUAGUUGAAGCCGAGGCCGAACCGUCCAUACCCGAGCCAGUUCAACCACGUCGUCCUGCGCCUCACCGCUGCCGCUCCAACUUCGCCACCCUCCACCGCACCGGAGUUGUUCCUGCUACGCCGUCCUUCGCCGCCUCGGAUCUGCUUCCCCUCCGCCGACAUACGGCCACGGCAACACAGUCAACAAUUUGGCCAUGGGUUCGUCCAAGCCUGCACCCUCCGGAACAUCGGUUUCUCCGGUAAAAAGAAGAAGAUCGGCGCGACAUGUGGAGGUGACCACACCGGCAACCGAAAAAGGUACUCCUCUUCCCUUAUUCAUGCAAAUCUUAUGUCUCUGCUUGCACGGUAUUCAUCCACAGAAGACACUAGUUGACCGCUUCUUCUUGAUACUAGAUGUUCCUAGUAACUCGCGAUGCACAAGGUUUCUCCUCAUAUACUAUUUCACCUUAGCUAGAGGUCCGUCGCCCCCCUGAAUUUCAAUUUCUGGCCAGUUGAUUCCCAAUUAACGGAAGCAUUCCCCGGCGUAACAGGCGCUAGUACGCCUAUUACGCCGGGGAAGCAGCGCCUUGGUGUUUAUCUUAGGGGCGUGUGCAGCCUAGAGCUAUUGGCGCCCGAUCUGGAGGUCGGCCGGGAUUAAAGGGAUGGCCUGGGGGCGCUGCCAAGCACGGCGGUGGUGUGAGGUCGAUGGGAGGGCGGGGCGGCGGAGGCAGGGGUCUGGGCCAGUGGUCGCUGGCGGUUCGAGAAAGAUCGUCAACAGUGACUGGCGGGAGGUAGACGAAGGCCAUCUGCCCGUUCCUUAUAGAUCGGACGGUUCAUUAAAAAAAUCGACUGACCUAUUUAUUUUCAGUCGACUGUUAUCUUAGAUAUGACCACAUGUGGUGGUGUGCUGGAGGAGUACCUGCAUUUCCUGUGCUCAUAUAUUACAAAAUCAUACGGAGUAGAAUCUAAUUUUGUUUGCCAUGGAAUGUUGUAGAGAUAUCAUAUGUCUCCUGUCAUUUAUUUUUCAGCCACCUGCUAUCUGCUACUUUUACAGUGCACUAGUUCUGCACACACUUCACCCUUACUCUCACUAUUGUGUUUUUAUGCAAGGGUAUUUCAGACUCUGCUGCCAUGAGAGAAGCCAAAAAGAAAAGAGAGAAGUCGCUCCAGCUUUGUGUGCGGUUAGGCAAGACACAUUACAGCGCUAUAAAGGGUGCAGUGUCAGCAGAUGGAGACAGUAAACGUAACUCUGGAGUUGAUGACCUCGCUCGCAAUGAACCACCAUCCCAGGUGCUUGCUUUAACUUCGCGGUGUCAUAUGUGGUUGCAUGUACCAUAUGGUUUCUAGCUUGUAUUCGAAAGGCCGAAGUCGGUAAGAUAAGGAAAGAUAUUUUUUAACAUGAACCACCAUCCCGUGAGCACCAGAACACAAAUAGCUAGUCAGGGCACUGGCCGAGCCAGUGACAAGCCCAGCAAAGAUAGGCAUCACCUGGAAGCCAACUAAAAAGCUGCGAUGGUGGCGAAGCAGCCCGCCUCCCACCAGGCUCUCAGGUCCUAGAUGAUCAUGCUCACCACUCCAGCCGGAUGUCUAGCUUGUAUUGCUUCCAAUUUGGUUAAAUUGCAUCUGCUUAGCUUACACAUUAUACCUUUGAAUAUGACAUGCCUUUCUGUUUUUGGUACAUACUAGUACAUCUGUGUAUUAACCAUGUUCUUACAUCAAACUAAUGUUCUUAUGUAUCCCUCAUCAAUCACUUAUGACGAGGCAGGCAGGCAAGGGGACUACUCCUCAUUUAAAGAAUGCAGCGUCAGCCUCCCGACAUGAUUCUCAAGAAACAGAAAUGCUAGAUGAAGAUAGUGAACGUAGCUCUGUAGUUGAUUACAACAUUUCCCCUACACUAGCAUCGCAGGUGCUUGCUCUAACUUGGCAGCGUGAUAUGUGGUUGCAUGUUGCAUAUGGUGUCUAGAUUGUAAUUCUUCCAAUCUGGUUAAACUGCAUGUGCUAGUCUGCUUAGCUUAUACAUUAUACCUGUUAAUGUGACAUGCCUUCCUGUAUUUAGUACAUAGUACAUCUGUCUAUUAAGCAUGUCCUUACAUAAAACUAUUGUUUUUUUUGUAUCCUGCAUCAAUCAACAUGACAAGACACCUUUAGUAUAUGCAGUGCGAUAUUAGUUGCAUCUUUCAUAUGAUUUAUAGCAUGCGCUGCUUCUAAUUUGUUGAAAUUCCAUUUAUGAUGGGACGCUUUUAACUUGGCAGAGUCAUAUUGGUUGCAUCUUUCAUGUGGUGUCUAGCUUGCAUUGCUUCUUAUUUGUUGGAAUGGUUUCUGCUUAGUUUACACAAACAGUUGUGAACAUGCCAUGCCGUCCUGUUUUUCGUACAUAUUCCAUCCUGGUAUCAUGUGUUUGCCUUACAUCAAAGUAGUGAUUGUCAGUAUCAUGCAUGAAUGAGUUCUGAAGAGAGAAUUUUAUUGCUUUUUCUUGUCGGUUUUACUUGACAAUUCAAAAUCAAUAAAGCGGAAGGAAGUUAGCAAGGCAGCGGAUAAAGGUGCUCCUUCCAAACGGAGGGCCUCUACAGUUUCUACUCCUCCACACCCCCAAGAUGAUUUCCAAGACAACACAUGCAUAGACACUCAACAAAGCUGUGUUUAUGAUGAGCACGUCUCCCCUAGUGCAGCAUCACCGGUGCUCCCUCUAACUUGGCACUAUUAUAUGUGGUUGCAUGUUAUGUGUGAUGUCUAGCUUGUAUUGCUUCUAACUUUGUUGAAUUCCAUCUGCUUACUUUACACAUUAUACUUGAAUAAGACACGUGUUCCUGUUUCUAGAACAUACAAUAUAUGUCUAUCACACCAUGUUCUUACAUCAAAUUACUACUGUUGUGUAACCUGCAACAAUCACUUAUCAUAAGACACGUUUGACUUCGGAGUGUGAUAUAGGUUACAUCUCACAUUCUUUUCUAGCUUGUACUACUAAUUUGUUGAAAUGGCACAUAUGACGAGACAGUUUUAACUUGGUAGAGUGAUAUUCGUUGCAUCUUUCAUAUGGUGUCUAGCUUUCAUUGCUUCUAAUUUGUUGAAAUGCCUUCUCCUUAGUUUACACAUCAUAAGCUGUGAAUAUGCAAUGCUGUGAAUAUGCAAUGGCACUAAUGACGAGAGACCUCUAACAUGGUAGUGUGAUGUUGUUUGCAUCUUGCAUAUGAUUUAUUUCUUGUACUGCUUCACAUUUGUUUAAACGCCAUUUAUGAUGAGACACUGUUAACUUGGCAGAGCGAUAUCUGUAGCAUCUUUCAUAUGGUAUCUACCUUCCAUUGCAUUGCUUCUAAUUUGGUGAAAUGUCUUCUUCUUAGUUUACACAUCAUAGUUCUGGUUAUCUCUUCCGUCCUGUUUUUCAUACAUGUUACAUCCUCCUAUCAUGUGGUUGUCUAACAUCAAAGUUCAGUUCGUCUGCAUCACGCAUCAAUUUUUUCUGAAGAACUAAAUUGUUAUUCAUUUCUCUUGUCGGCUUGACUUAACAUGGCACAGAGAAAGAGGAAGAAACACAGAAUGGCAGGGAAUGAGAAGCGGAUGAAUCCUGCAGAUUCUGCUGGUACUGAUGGUGCAAUAGAAGGUCAAAGUCCAGCGGAAAAUUCUACAAACACGGCAUCCCAUGCUACACGAGUUGCAAAAAAAGCCAAACAGAAACAAAUAGCUGCCACCAAACAAGCAGAGACAGCCCUAGUUCUUGCAACACCUACCACAGUACUACCAGCUGCAUGACUUACUCGUGCGUCAACUGAGCUAGCAGCACGUUCCCAAGCUCCCUUACCACCUGACACUACUUCCCAAGCACUCUUGACACAAGACGAGUUGGCAAUAUCAGAUGAACCUUGUGAGCUUCAACAGCAAGAAGGUAGUUGCUGGAGUCAAGUUACAGUUGCAUGCUUCUUUAUAUGUAGUCUCACAGUUUGAUGUACACUAACACUUCCUAUGUUCGUUGUUGGACUAGCACCUAGGCGCAAGAGGAAACAAACAUCAGGGAUAAUGCUCGAUAGGUUAACUAAAUCUAGAGGAGGAAGAAUGGAGAUCCGUUUUAUGGCAGGUUUAAAAAGGCCACGUGAUGCUACAGAGUCAGCCAAGUUAGUAUCAGAGGCAGCGGUUGCCGUUAGGUGUCAUGUACGUAUCCUCCCAACAUGGAUUUAGUACAGGAAUGACAAAGACGAAACCCAGUUCAACACCUUCCUCGACCAUUUAUCUGUAAGUAUGGUUAUGUAUGGAAACUAGUAAUAUCGUCUUGCUCUGUCCCAUACUUUUUAGGUUGCUGAUAAUGAGACUCCCAUAAUUUUCAACAGAUGAGGUUCAAGUUGGAUAGCCAAGAUGAUGCAACCAGACAAGCUUGCACCCAUGUUUUCAAGUCUACUCUGCGACAGUAUCGGUAUAACUUGACGAAAACUCACUUUGAAGGCAAGGCUAACAGUGAACUUUCCCAAACAUCUCCAGUGGAAAAUAUAUCAGAUGAAGACUGGAGGGGCCUUGUUAAACACUGGUCUGAUCCAAAGUAUCAGGUACAUUAUAUAUAUGUGAUCAGAUCACAUGUUGAAGUCCUAUUUACGCAUGUGCCACACAAAUCUGUCUUCUUGUAGGUGAACUGUUCAAAGAACAAGGCCAACCAUACGAAAGUGAAAUUGCAACAGACGACAGGAUCUCGUAGCUAUAUUGAACACUGCGAGGCUCUUGUAAUUAGCUGAUGUUUCACUCUUUUCGCUGUACCAUAUUAUCAGAUCUAUAUUGACUUGUUCGAAAUGCAGAGGAAAGCCCGCAAGGACCAAAAAGUACCUGAACCAAAUGUUGUGGAAAUCUUCAAGGACUGUCACACCAGUAAGAAGAAGGGCAUGACUACACCAGUCAAAGCCGCUGUUGUAAGUCCUUAAUCCUCAUGCCUUUUAACUACUACUUACUCUGACUUGUGCCUUGAACUGCAUGGUUUGCAGCCAAUGUCUAUUACUCUUUUCAAUUUUAUACACAAUUGUCUUAGCGUAUCAUUGCACCUUACAAGGUUUAAAAGAGAGGAGUGAUGUUCCUUUGAUCUUGACCCGUAAUCUAGUUCCGUGCUGGACUUGCCCACACAACGUUACAAUUGCCUGUUUGUCUGUUCUCAGUUGUUUUGUGAUAUGAAUGAUGUCAUACUAUGCUUACCGUAUUAUAAACUUCGUCUCUUUAUCCUUAGCCCUGAAUACAAUGUGAAGAAAUAGACAAUACAUUAGCGAUGGUACUUGGUCAUAUGUUUGGAACCUGGUUUUAUUAUGUACUUUGCAAUAAAAUACAACUAAUAUUUUACAUGGGUUCACCAGAAUAAGUUCUGUAUAUAGACCAAAGCUAUUUUGUUUGGUUUUGCUGCCUCCUUAAUAUCUUCUGUUCUGGUACUACUAAUGUAAAACCUCAACUUUUCAUCAAGCUAUGGAAAAAAUGGUGGAACCGCCACCUUCUGAAGGUGGCGAGGCAACUAUAACCGCAAUGUCAGCUCUUGCUGCAGUGGGUCAGUACCUAUCCACUAACAGUGCCAAAAGCAUGUUCCUGCGUAAUACUGGGUUGGUUGUUAAGGCAAUAUCAUCCAAACUGCCUCAUGAUGAAGAUAUGCAAGCUCAAAGCAAUGUUGUAUCUGCGCUCCAGACACAAGUCCAUUCCCUAAUAGAGACCCUUUGUGAAACAAGGAGAAACAUUGCUCAAUGUCGUCAAGAUAUGCAUGGUUUUGAAACCAGACUAUCAGACAUUUGCUAUGUUGUUCAGGAGCCUAGGGGAAAUGAAGGCGAGGGUUAUGGUGCUCCAUCGGACAAUACAGCAUGAAAACGUAACAGUCAGGUCAAAUGAACUGAGCUUCUGAACUUCUGGUGGUGCAUUUAUCUGCUAGACUAUUAAGUUUUAUGCCAACCUUCCUUUUGUUAUAUAGUUGUAAUUUGUUUUGGUGCGAUACAAAAUUUAUUCUUAACGUGCAGCCACCGGCUGAAGAAAACAGCAAGCCAUUUUUGUAUAGUGUAGGGUGUUCCCUAUAUUUGCACUGGUGGCGAUCUUUGAUGCCGAGUGGAUGUAAUCUGUGCAAUCGCCUUAAUAGCCUAGCGUUAGUUUUGGCCUUAUUUAUUUCCUAGUCUUCUUUUUCCCUGGUUUGCUAGUGGCCGCAACUACCAUGGGCCAUAUAUGGGCUGUAGGAUCCAUGGGUCUCCUACGGGCCGUCGAUAAAUGGGCCUGUAAUCGGUGGGCCUCGGGCCGUCGGAUAAAUGGGUCUACAUGGGCCGUAAUCGGGCGUAAUUGGUAUCGGCCCAGCACGGUAAUAGGCCGUUAACACGCCGUAGGACAGCAAAGGCUUAAUUCUGUCACAGGCAUAACGGGUCAUUAAUGGGCUAGAAUAUAGGACGGGCUGGAAACGGCGCAACGGGUUAACAGGCCAGAAACGGGCCGACUCUUGCCAUGGGCCGAAUUUGGCCCAUUAGGGUAACAGGCCAGUAACGGGCCGACUCUUGCCAUGGGCCAAAUUUGGCCCAUUAGGGGAACAGGCCAGUAACGGGCCGACUCUUGCCAUGGGCCGAAUUUGGCCCAUUAGGGGAACGGGCCAGUAACGGGCCGUAAGUAAUCGAGGGCCGAAAAGGAGCCCAAGAACGUAUGGGUCGUCAAUAGGCCGAAAGCUAACACGGGUUGGAAACGGCCCAUGUAAAUCAUGGGCCGUUAACGGGUAUAAAGAAAAUUACUGUUCAUUAUGGGCUAGAGUCACCGUGGGCCUGUAAAAGGCCGAAAGAUACGAAGGCCUCAUAUGGGCCGAAAGACGUCGUGGGCCAUACAUGGGCCGAAAGUGAAAUGGGCUGGUGUUAUAUUCGACGGCCCACAUGACGUUGUUGGGCCGAUUUCCUUUAGGGCCUAACGGGCCGUGAGUUAACGGGCCGUAAAAUGGGCUAUUUGCGAAGAGACCGUUAACAGGCUUUUCAUGGGCUAGCCCGUUAACUUUUGACCAAGUCAAACGGGCCGGCUUUGUAAGCUAAAUGGGCCAGUGGUGGGCCGUGGCAUGUGUCGACAUAUCAUAGGCGCCUAUCUGACCCACUGACGAGCUGACACAUGUUUCGUCCGGCCAAUAAGAAUUUUACACGUGGAAAUUUCCCAUUGGUCGGGGCUAUUAACGGGUUAUCGGAUCCAAAACCCGACCCGAUAGCUUAACGCGUUCCGUUACGGUGGAUGCCACGUGUCGGUCACCCUUGACGAAAGCACUUCUGUGACGCGCGAUUUAUCGUCAUGGAAGUGGACACUUCCGUGAUGAUAAUUUUGGUAAUGUCAUGGAACACUUCUACGACAGCACAGGUAUGACUAUCUUGAUUCUGUCAUAAAAUCGUCAUGGAUGUACAUGCAUGACAAAAAACGCGACCUACUGUGACAAACACGUAUCAUCACGGAAGUGUAUUUUUUUGUAGUGAUAGUUAUGCAAUGAAAUUACAUCCUACUUAUGGUGCACUAUUCGGUGUUAGUUAUGCUUAAUGCUCUCUUAUGAGAUUUUUCGUUUCUUGGAUGGAUAGUUCUCAAUCUUUUGCUAGCCUUCAUUUGCACUAAGUAUGAUCACUACUUGUGCAUCCAAAAUCCUUUAAACCAGUCUUUGUCACAGGAGUCCACCAUACAUACCUAUAUGCGGUAUUCUUUUGCCAUUCUGAGCAAAUUUGUAUGUGCCAUCUCUAAUUUUCAAAAUAAACUUCUCUUUUGUGUGAUCAUACCGCUCAUGAAAUAGUAGGGGGUGGCUGGUAUAUUUCCAUGCUAGAUGUGUUAUUCUUAAGAUGAGUGUUUAUUCACUUGUCAUUGCACGAGAGUACGACAAAGGUAUUAGGGAUGCCCAGUCCCGAAAUGAAAAAUGAAUUUACAUUAUGUUGUCAAAUAAUAAAUUCCUUGGAAAGUGUUGGUAUGGAAGGCACCCGUGGAUACGGUUAGCCAUGGAAAGUGAAAGUAUGGUGGAAAAAGGAAUAAACUUUAUUUUCUGUUUGGGAACCGCCUAUGAUAUAUCAAGCAUGGAAAGUAUUGGAAACUACUCGAUUGUUUUUGUUGACAGGAAAAGCAUGCCACCCGAAAUGUUUUUAUCUCUACCUUUUUCUCUUUGAGCUCUGGCACCUCUACAAAUCCCUACUUCCCUCCGCGAAGGGCCUUUCUAUUUACUUUAUGCAAUUUUUAUUUUUACUUGAGUCUCCAUCUUCUCUUAUAAAGCACCAACUAAGGGGCACUAUGAUCGUACUUGAGCAUUGGGUGUAGCUAAUAUGCAAGUGUGUUUCAUGAAUGGAUCAAUGAUUGAACAUAAUGGGCUAGGGAUAACUUGCUUUAGUGUUGAUAUUUUAAAAGACAUGGUUGUUUGUUGAUAUGCUUGAGUAUUAAAGUCCUCAUGUCAAAACUAUACUAUUGCUUUGAACCAUAUAAAAGUCCAAAUGUCCAUGCUACAAAGAAAAGAAUGUGUGAUGAACAUGUUAGGCAGCAUUCCACAUCAAAAAUUCUGUUUUUUAUCAUUUAACUACUCGAGGAAGAGCAGGAAUUAAGCUUGGGGAUGCUGAUACGUCUCCAACGUAUCUAUAAUUUUUUAUUGUUCCAUGCUGUUAUAUUAUCAUUCUUGGAUGUUUUACAAUCAUUUUAUAGCAAUUUUAUAUCAUUUUUGGGACUAACCAAUUGACAUAGUGCCCAAUGCUAGUUGUUGUUUUUUGCUUGUUUUUUACAUCGCGGGAAAUCAAUAUCAAACGGAGUCCAAAUGCAGCGAAACUUAUUGUGGAUUUUUCUGGACCAGAAGACACCUGUUGUGCCAAGAAAGUACCUGAGGGGAGCUCCGAGGGGAGCACAACCCACCAGGGCGCGCCUGCGGGCCCAGGCGCGCCCAGGUGGGUUGUGCCCACCUCGGUGGCCUCCCGCACCGCCUCUUUGCUCUAUAAAUGCCCCAAUAUUCCAGAAACCCCAGGGGAGUCGACGAAAAUCAAUUCCAGCCGCCGCAAGUUCCAGAACCACCAGAUCCAAUCAAGACACCAUCACGGAGGGGUUCAUCAUCUUCAUUGGUGCCUCUCCGAUGAUGCGUGAGUAGUUCAUUGUAGACCUACGGGUCCGUAGUUAGUAGCUAGAUGGCUUCCUCUCUCUCUUUUGAUCCUUAAUACAAUGGUCUCUUGGAGAUCUAUUUGAUGUAACUCUUUUUGCGGUGUGUUUGUUGGGAUCCGAUGAACUUUGAGUUUAUGAUCAGAUCUAUGUUUUUAUCCAUGAAAGUUAUUUGAGUCUUCUGAUCUCUUAUAUGCAUGAUUACUUAUAGCCUCAUAUUUCUUCUUUGAAUCUUUGGUUUAGUUAGGCCAACUAGAUUGAUUUUUCUUGCCAUGGGAAGAGGUGCUUUGUGAUGGGUUCGAUCUUACGGUGCUUGAUCCCAGUGACAAAAGGGGAACCGACACAUAUGUAUCGUUGCUAUUAAGGAUAACAAGAUGGGGUCUAUUUCUACAUAAAUAGAUCUUGUCUACAUCAUGUCAUCGUUCUUAUUGCAUUACUCCGUUUCUCCAUGAAGUUAAUACACUAGAUGCAUGCUGGAUAGCGGUCGAUGUGUGGAGUAAUAGUAGUAGAUGCAGGCAGGAGUCAGACUACUAAUCUUGGAUGUGAUGCCUAUAUAAUGAUCAUUGCCUGGAUAUCGUCAUGGUUAUUUGAAGUUCUAUCAAUUGCCCAGCAGUAAUUUGUUUACCCACCGUAUGCUAUUUUUCUCGAGAGAAGCCACUAGUGAAAUCCACGGCCCCUGGGUCUCUUCUUUAUUAUAUUUGCCUUCACGAUCUUUUUUUAUUUGCAUUUAUUUUCAGAUCUAUUAAUCUAAAAACACAAAAAUACCUUGCAAAUUAUUUAUUUUAUCUCGCACUCCCGCAAGAUCUAUUUAUCCAAUCUACUACAAUUUUACCUAUCUUUUUACCCAUGAGGGAUUGACAACCCCUCUCUUACGUUGGGUUGCAAGUAUUUGUUCUUUGUGUGCAGGAGUUGUUUACGUGGUGUUACGUGGUUCUCCUACUGGUUCGAUAACCUUGGUCUCAUCACUCAGGGAAAUACCUACCGUAGCUGUGUGAUACGUCUCCAACGUAUCUAUUUUGGAUGUUAUCAGUUUUGGAUGUUUAAUGGGCUUUAUUAUGCACUUUUAUAUUAUUUUUGGGACUAACCUACUAACCAAAGGCCCAGUGCAAAUUGUUGUUUUUUUGCCUAUUUCAGUGUUUCGUAGAAAAGGAAUAUCAAACGGAAUGAAACCUUCGCGAGGAUCAUUUUUGGAACAAACGCAAUCCAGGAGACUUGGAGUGGACGUCAAGGAAGCAACGAGGCGGCCACGAGAUAGGGAGGCACGCCCAGGGGGUAGGCGUGCCCUCCACCCUCGUGGGCCCCUCGUAGCUCCACCGACCUACUUCUUUCGCCCAUAUAUACUCUUAUACCCUGAAAACAUCCAGGAGCACCACGAAACCCUAUUUCCACCACCGCAACCUUCUGUACCCGUGAGAUCCCAUCUUGGGGCCUUUUCCGGCGAUCUGCCAGAGGGGGAAUCGAUCAUGGAGGGCUUCUACAUCAACACCAUAGCCUCUCUGAUGAUGUGUGAGUAGUUUACCACAGACCUUCGGGUCCAUAGUUAUUAGCUAGAUGGCUUCUUCUCUCUCUUUGGAUCUCAAUACAAAGUUCUCCUCGAUCUUCUUGAUGAUCUAUUCGAUGUAAUACUUUUUGCGGUGGUUUGUCGAGAUCCAAUGAAUUGUGAGUUUAUGAUCAAGUUUAUCUAUGAACAUUAUUUGAAUCUUCUUUGAAUUCUUAUAUGCAUGAUUUUAUAUCUUUGCAAGUCUCUUCGAAUUAUCAGUUUGGCUUGGCCUACUAGAUUGAUCUUUCUUGCAAUGGGAGAAGUGCUUAGCUUUGGGUUCAAUCUUGCGGUGUCCUUUCCCAGUGACAGCAGGGGCAGCAAGGCACGUAUUGUAUUGUUAUGAUCGAGGAUAAAAAGAUGGGGUUUAUAUCAUAUUGCUUGAGUUUAUCCCUCUACAUCAUGUCAUCUUGCCUAAUGGGUUACUCUGUUCUUAUGAACUUAAUACUCUAGAUGCAUGCCGGAUAGCGGUCGAUAUGUGGAGUAAUAGUAGUAGAUGCAUAAUCGUUUCGAUCUACUUGACACGGAUGUGAUGCCUAUAUACAUGAUCAUGCCUAGAUAUUCUCAUAACUAUGCACUUUUCUAUCAAUUACUCGACAGUAAUUUGUUCACCCACCAUAAAAUAUGCUAUCUUGAGAGAAGCCACUAGUGAAACCUAUGGCCCCGGGGUCUAUCUUCCAUCAUAUUAAUCUCCCGCCAACGUGCUAUUUCUAUCGCUGUUUAUUUUGCAAUCUUUGCUUUUCAAUCUAUACAACAAAAAUACCAAAAAUAAUUAUCUUAUUAUCUCUAUCAGAUCUCACUUUUGCAAGUGGCCGUGAAGGCAUUGACAACCCCUUUAUCGCGUUGGUUGCUAGGUUCUUAAUUGUUUGUGCAGGUACUAGGGAUUUGCGUGUAAUCUCCUACUGGAUUGCUACCUUGGUUCUCAAAAACUGAGGGAAAUACUUACGCUACUUUGCUGCAUCACCCUUUCCUCUUCAAGGGAAAACCAACGCAUGCUCAAGAGGCAGCAAGAAGGAUAAUGGCGCCGUUGCCGGGGAGAUUUGCACCAAGUCAAGUCAACAGUUGAUCUCCCAGCAACUAGCCAUUUCUGGCGCCGUUGCCGGGGAGAUCUACGCACAAGUCAAGACAUACCAAGUACCCAUCACAAACUCUUAUCCCUCGCAUUACAUUAUUUGCCAUUUGCCUCUCGUUUUCCUCUCCCCCACUUCACCUUUGCCAUUUUAUUCGGCUUUUUUUGUUCGUCUCUUUUUGCUUGCUCCUUGUGUUCUUGGGUGUUUGUGUGCCUAUUUGCCCUGAUGGCUUUACCAAAAAGUGUUGAUCCUCACCUUAGAAGGUUGGAAGAGAUCGAAAACAACGUUAGAAGCUUUAUGUCUUUGAAGUUCGAGCAUAAUAAUUUCUUCAGAAAUGAGCUUAAAGAACAAAAAAGUUUUAUGGAGUGCAUUAAUAAAGAGCUUGAUGAUAUGUCUAAGGAAUUUUAUGGUUUGAAAUCUCAGUUUGCUCAGCUUGAAAAUUUGGUAGGCCGAAUUUUGGAUAAGCAGGCCACCUUAGUUAAUAAGAUGGCCGCUAAACCGGAAGAUCGAGACAUUAAUAAUGAUGAAGAUCUAAAAGUGGUUGAUGUGUCUCCUAUUAAAUAUUUGUUUCUAAUAUGAAUCUUGAUAAUGAUGGGACCGGAGAUGAGUCAACUUCAGUUAAAAGGCGUCCCAAUGAUUCGGAGUUUUUAGAUCUUGAUGCAAAAAUUGGUAAAAGUGGGAUUGAAGAGGUCAAAACUUUACAUAGCAAUGAACCCACUAUUUUGGAUUUCAAGGAAUUUAAUUAUGAUAAUUGCUCUUUGAUAGAUUGUAUUUCCUUGUUGCAAUCCGUGCUAAAUUCUCCUCAUGCUUAUAGUCAAAAUAAAGCUUUUACUAAAUAUAUUGUUGAUGCUUUAAUGCAAUCUUAUGAAGAAAAGCUUGAAUUAGAAGUUUCUAUCCCUAGAAAACUUUAUGAUGAGUGGGAACCUACUAUUAAAAUUAAUAUUAAAGAUCAUGAAUGCUAUGCUUUGUGUGAUUUGGGUGCUAGUGUUUCCACGAUUCCAAAAACUUUGUGUGAUGUGUUAGGUUUCCGCGAAUUUGAUGAUUGUUCUCUAAAUUUGCAUCUUGCGGGUUCCACCAUUAAGAAACCUAUGGGAAGGAUUAAUGAUGUUCUUAUUGUUGCAAAUAGGAAUUAUGUGCCCAUAGAUUUUAUUUUUCUUGAUAUAGAUUGCAAUCCUACAUGUCCUAUUAUUCUUGGUAGACCUUUCCUUAGAAUGAUUGGUGCAAUUAUUGAUAUGAAAGAAAGAAAUAUUAGAUUCCAACUUCCAUUAAGGAAAGGCAUGGAACACUUUCCUAGGAAGAAAAUUAAAUUACCUUAUGAAUCUAUUAUGAGAGACACUUAUGGAUUGCAUACCAAAGAUGAUGAUACCAAGAUCUAUUCUCGUUUUUAUGCCUAGCUAGGGGCGUUAAACGAUAGCGCUUGUUGGGAGGCAACCCAAUUUUAUUUUUGUUCCUUGAUUUUUGUUCCUGUUUAGUAAUAAAUAAUUCAUUUAUCCUCUGAUUAGAUUUGUUUUUAUGUUUUAAUUAGUGUUUGUGCCAAGUUAAACCUAUAGGAUCUUCUUGGAUAAUAAUUAUUUGAUCUUGCUGAAAAAGUCAGAAACUUUAUGCUCACGAAAACAAUUGUUAAAAAUCACCAGAACGUGAUAAAAUACUGAUUCCAAUUGCAGUAGAUCAAUAAACAAAUUAUCUAGGCUGUCCUAUUUUGGCAGAAUUUUUGAGUUAAAUAAGUUUGCGUUUGAUACAGAUUUCUACAGACUGUUCUGUUUUUGACAGAUUCUGUUUUUCGUGUGUCGUUUGCUUAUUUUGAUGAAUCUAUGGCUAGUAUCAGGGGGUAUGAACCAUAGAGAAGUUGGAAUACAUUAGGUUUAACACCAAUUUAAAUAAAUAAUGAGUUCAUUACACUAGUUUAUUGUGGUGGUUUGUUUUCUUGCACUAACGGAGCUCAUGAGAUUUUCUGUUGAGUUUUGUGUUGUGAAGUUUUCAAGUUUUGGGGUAAAGAUUUGAUGGAUUAUGGAAUAAGGGGUGGCAAGAGCCUAAGCUUGGGGAUUCCCAAGGCACCCCAAGGUAAAAUUCAAGGACAACCAAAAGCCUAAUCAUGGGGAUGCCCCGGAAGGCAUCCCCUCUUUCGUCUUCGUCCAUCGGUAACUUUACUUGAGGCUAUAUUUUUUUCACCAUAUGAUAUGUGUUUUGCUUGGAGCGUCUUGUAUGAUUUGAGUAUUUUCUUUUUAGUUUACCACAAUCAUCCUUGCUGUACACACAUUUUGUAGAGACACAGAUGAAUCUGAAUUUGUUAGAAUACUCUAUGUGCUUCACUUAUAUUUUUUGAGCUAGAUAAUUUUGCUCUAGUGCUUCACUUAUAUCUUUUAGAGCACGGUGGUGGUUUUAUUUUAUAGAAAUUAUUGAUCUCUCAUGCUUCACUUAUAUUAUUUUGAGAGUCCUUUAGAACAGCAUGGUAAUUUGCUUUGGCUAUAAAAUUAGUCCUAAUAUGAUAGGCAUCCAAGAUGGGUAUAAUAAAAACUUUCAUAUAGAACGCAUUGAUAUGAGAAGUUUGAUACUUGAUGAUUGUUUUGAGAUAUGAAGAUGGUGAUCUUAGAGUUGUGCUAGUUGAGUAAUUGUGAAUUUGAGAGAUACUUGUGUUAAAGUUUGUGAUUCCCGUAGCAUGCACGUAUGGAACCGUUAUCUGAUGAAGUUGGAGCAUGAUUUAUUUAUUGAUUGUCUUCCUUAUGUGUGGAGGUCGGGAUCGCGCGAUGGUUAACUCCUACCAACCCUUCCCCUAGGAGCAUGCGUGUAGUACUUUAUUUUGAUGACUUGUAGAUUUUUGCAAUAAGUAUGUGAGUUCUUUAUGAAUAAUGUUGAGUCCACGGAUUAUACGCACUCUCGCCCUUCCACCAUUGCUAGCCUCUCUUGUGCCGCACAACUCUCGCCGGUACCAUAAACCCACCAUAUACCUUCCUCAAAACAGCCACCAUACCUACCUAUUAUGGCAUUUCCAUAGCCAUUCCGAGAUAUAUUGCCAUGCAACUUUCCACUAUUCUGUUUAUUAUGACACGCUCCAUCAUUGUCAUAUUGCUUUGCAUGAUCAUGUAGUUGACAUCGUAUUUGUGGCAAAACCACCAUUCAUAAUUUUCAUACAUGUCACUCUUGAUUCAUUUCACAUCCUGGUACACCGCCGGAGGCAUUCACAUAGAGUCAUAUUUUGUGCUAAGUAUCGAGUUGUAAUUCAUGAGUUGUAAGUAAAUAAAAGUAUGAUGAUCUUCAUUAUUAGAGCAUUGUCCCAUGUGAGGAAAGGAUGAUGGAAACUAUGAUUCCCCCACAAGUCGAGAUGAGGCUUCGGACUUUAUGAAAAAUAAAAGAGGCCAAAGAAGCCCAAAUAAAAAAAGGAGGCCAAAGAAGCCCACCAAAAAUGAGAGAAAAAGACAGAAGGGACAAUGUUACUAUCCUUUUUCCACAGUUGUGCUUCAAAGUAGCACCAUGAUCUUCAUGACAGAGAGUCUCUUAUUUUGUCACUCAUAUACUAGUGGGAAUUUUUCAUUAUAGAACUUGGCUUGUAUAUUCCAAUGAUGGGCUUCCUCAAAUUGCCACAGGCCUUCGUGAGCGAGCAAGUUGGAUGCACACCCACUUAGUUUCUUUUGUUGAGCUUUCAUACACUUAUAGCUCUAGUGCAUCCGUUGCAUGGCAAUCCCUACUCACUCAAAUUGAUAUCUAUUGAUGGGCAUCUCCAUAGCCCAUUGAUACGCCUAGUUGAUGUGAGAUUAUCUUCCUCCUUUUGUCUUCUCCACAACCACCAUAUUCUAUUCCACCUAUAGUGCUAUGUCCAUGGCUCACGCUCAUGUAUUGCGUGAAAGUUGAAAAAGUUUGAGAAUACUAAAGUAUGAAACAAUUGUUUGGCUGAAACCGGGGCUGUGCAUGAUUUGAAUAUUUUGUGUGAUGAAGAUAGAGCAUAGCCAGACUAUAUGAUUUUGUAGGGAUAACUUUCUUUGGCCAUGUUAUUUUGAGAAGACAUAAUUGCUUAGUUAGUAUGCUUGAAGUAUUAUUAUUCUUAUGUCAAUAUUAAACUUUUGUCUUGAAUCUUUCGGAUUUGAACAUUCAUGCCACAAUAAAGAAAAUCACAUUGAAGAUUAUGUUAGGUAGCAUUCCACAUCAAAAAUUCUGUUUUUAUCAUUUACCUACUCGAGGACGAGCGGGAAUUAAGCGUGGGGAUGUUUGAUACGUCUCCAACGUACCUAUAUUUUUUUUAUUGUUCCAUGCUAUUAUAUUAUCUGUUUUGGAUGUUUAAUGGGCUUUAUUAUGCAAUUUUAUAUUAUUUUUGGGACUAACCUACUAACCAAAGGCCCAGUGCAAAUUGCUGUUUUUUUGCCUAUUUCGGUGUUUCGCAGAAAAGGAAUAUCAAACGGAAUCCAAACGGAAUGAAACCUUCGCGAGGAUCGUUUUUGGAACAAACGCAAUCCGGGAGACUUGGAGUGGACGUCAAGGAAGCAACGAGGCGGCCACGAGAUAGGGAGGCACGCCCAGGGGGUAGGCGCGCCCCCCACCCUCAUGGGCCCCUCGUAGCUCCACCGACCUACUUCUUUCGCCUAUAUAUACUCUUAUACCCUGAAAACAUCCAGGAGCACCAUGAAACUCUAUUUCCACCACCGCAACCUUCUGUACCCAUGAGAUCCCAUCUUGGGGCCUUUUCCGGCGCUCCGCCGGAGGGGGAAUCGAUCAUGGAGGGCUUCUACAUCAACACCCACUAGUAGAAAAAGGGGCUUUUACCCCGGUUGGUAAGGGCCUUUUGUCCCGGUUUUCGAACCGGGACUAAAGGGUCGUUACUAAAGCCCUAACCCUUUAGUCCCGGUUCUUACACGAACUGAGACAGAAGGUCCUCCACGUGGCCGCUGCUGCCAGCCCAGGCAGGGGGGCCUUUGGUCCUGGUUGGUGCCACCAAGUGGGACCAAUAGACAGGGCCUUUUGUCCCGGUUGGUGUCACCAACCGGGACCAAUAGGCUGUCAGGACCGGGUUUUCGGGAUAUUAAUUCUCCAGAAAAUGGCCCUUAUGCUCACCAGCCCCAGGAUUACUGUUAGCUGAUGAGGCACCAACUUGAUACAAGAAAUUCCAAGCAAGUACAAAAUAUGUAGUACAAGGCCAUUGUGGCCUAUGAGUACAACACUUGGUUUCUAGUGGUUGAUGGCGGAAGCGGUUUCUGGUUCAUCUGCGUCUAUGGGACUCCAUUUCCCACAAGAACAGCUGACCAGGAUAACUCAUAUCUUCGUGAGGCCGCUGGCAACACCGCGUAGGUUCCGGGGCCGUCGUCGUAACACUCUUCUCCGUGCAAGAAAUUUGGCCAAGACAAUAGCCAGGGACAAGCCAGUGAGUACGUUUGAAUGUACUCGCAAACAUCAAGAACACGGGUAUAAUAUAUCAAGGGUAAUCAUGUUCCGAAAAUAUUCUAUGAUCAUAAUGUCAGUCACGAGAUAAACAAAAUAUUCAUGAUGCACGCAUGUGGGUAAUAUAUGAAUAUGCAAUAUAGAAAUAGUAUGUAGUGAUCGAGUGUCUGAAAUGACUCCUCAAAAAGGGGUGCAAAUAAAUUAACAAUGCCGCAGUCGGGCGUCUGGGCGACACCACAUAAAGGGCUUAUAAAUAAAAGAAAUAACAGACAUGCCACAGUCGGGCGUCUAUGCGACACCACAUAAAGGGCUUAUAUAUAAAAGAAACAACAAGCAUGCCACAGUCGGGCGUCUAUGCGACACCUCAUAAAGGGCUUAUAUAUAAAAGAAACAGCAAGCAUGCCACAGUCGGGCGUCUAUGCGACACCUCAUAAAGGGCUUAUAAGGGAUAAUCACAGUGAAUAUCCAGGAGGUAGAACCGUCCCAGGGAUACUCAAUAAUACAACUAAAAUGAAUGGUUAGUCCACAAUAAUAAUGAUCAUAAUCCAUAUAUGUCACAGUUCAUAAUCAAAGUUCUGGCUUAGCAGUUUUUCCUCCGAAGACCGACACUAAGACCGACACUUGACCUAUCCCAGACUGUAGUCCUUAACCAUGGACACGGCUAUUCGAAUAGAUGUAUAAUCUCUGCAGAGGGUGUACUCUUUACCCACGGGUAACGGAUUUCUUUAGUCCAUCGGGACUAAUUCCGUCUACGGUCUUUUGAUUGAAAACACGCCUGACCUGCACACACCAGCUUAACUUACCGGUGUCUGGAAUCACCCACAACACCUGUCAAGCCAAACUCUAAGUGGGGAGGCUACAACCUCGACGUAGCAUGGGAUCAAAUUUAUAUAUGCGCGCUCUAAGGGGUGGCCCCCCUCUCGGUCCCAACCGGAAACACCCAUGCCCCCAGACCGGAUGACAGGCUUUAAUCCAUGGCCUUGGGACCCUCAUCACGGCCUCUCUGUACGGUGUGUGCUAGACAGGGGUUGACAACUUACUGAACUGUACCCUACCUAUGGCAGGGACAAGUGGUAGUACGGAACAAGUAUGGGGGUUACUGGACAAGACUCGAUCUACGGCCGACUCAGGAGGUUCAAGUAUUCUCUGCAUGAUUAGCAUAACAAAAGUAUUUCCAUUAACAGGUAAACUUACCACUCGUCAAGCCUCACCAUGCCAUACCGGACAUACUCGUCCCGACGAGGUACUAGGGACAAGCCCAUGUCUACCCAAGACCACGACUUUCCCGGUAUGCAAGGGAAGCUUACGAGGAUGAAUACCAUCACCAACAUAUCCAUUUAUCACAGCAAAGAAAACUCCACUAUGCACUCAUGCAUAUGAUUUUUAUCGUCACAUAAAAUAGCGUAUGCUCCAAGUCAAGUUGAUGUUGUAAACGUAUCGACAACAUCCAAAAAAAAUAUAAAACCAGGGUUCAGAAUGCUUGCCUUCAAGUGUAUGCAUGUGGGGGUGCACUUUUUGAAGGUUGCCUUAUUCUCCAAAAUCCUAUUUCGAAAAAUAUUCAAAUAACACACAUUUCAAAAACAGUACAAAAAUUUGUCCCAAAUAUUUUUUAAAUAAAUCUUAAAAUAAACUAGGUGAAAUUUGAGAGAGGUAGGAAAAAGAAUCAACUUAUUUGGAGUUUUAUUUUAAAAGUUAUAGCCAGUCAAAGAUCAGUCAAAGUUCUAUUUUAAUAAAACCAGAAAAAGGAAAACGCUUCGGGGGAGAAUACGCUUUCGAAGCAGAGAAGACGUACUCGGGACUCUUCGCUUUCACUUAAACAGAGAGAACGGCCGCGCGGGUCACUGACAGUGGGUCCAGGGGGCCCUCUGGUCAGGUUUGACCGUUCUUCCUCUCCCUCCUUUCUCUCUGCCCGAACGGGGUGGGGUUCCGGCGAUCGCCGUCGGUGAACGGCAGCUCCCCACGGGGUCCCGAGGACAGGGAUGGAUCCGCCAGACUGGGGCGGUCCUCCCGAUGGGUGCUAGGCGGGUGGGGACAGAGAAGGUCACCGGCGGCGAGCUUCGCGGCGGACGGUGGUUCGGGAGCAGAGUGGGUUUUGGGCUCCGGGGUUCCUUGGUCGAGGCCGAGGCGCUAGGCAGCUCCGCACGACUAUGGGGAAACUCUCGGUGGCGUUGGGUUGGCGGGGGAGGGCCUGGCUGCGGCGUAUUGCACCGGAGCUUGGCGGCGGCCGAACUGGCCGGAGACGAAGAGGAAAGCCCCUCCUCGUUGAUUGCUGGCUACGGGAGUCCUAUGGGGGUGGCCUGGGUUUGUCUGAGUGCUCGGCUGAGCUCGGGGUCCCCUUUUAUAGCGCGACGGGGCUGGCUCCGCGGCGGUGGAUAAGAUCGACGACGAGUCGCCGUUGCUGUAGCUGCAGGGCAUCGUGGCGGCGACGAGCGCGUGCCGACGAGCAUGUGGAUAAGCACGGGCUGUUCCCCGGGGGCAGCUGGCGCGCGCGGGUGGCUUGGGUGGCGCCGUCCACGGCAGAGCCUGCUGCCGACGCCGGCGUGCCGCCAAGGGAGCUCUGCCGGCGACGCAGUAGGGCGCCAGUGCGGCUUGGAGGUUUGCUGCGAGGGGGCGAGUGUAUGGCGCGGCUCUACAGGCGAGCUGGGGCCAGGGACGAGACGCGUCGAGGGUGGCAGUGCGGCGUGGCGACUCAGUGCGCGCGCGUGCAAAACGUGCGCUCUGGGCGCGCCCAGAGCACGCACGCCAGGUGCUCGACGAAAUCCCAGCGCGCUCUAGAGAGCUUGGGUGAGGCUGGUAGCUAACAGGCCAGGGUUAGGGAUAGCUAGGAGGCUAGUGGACAUGCUGGAUAGGUCAGGGGCUCAAGUCCACAAUGCAAGCUAGGAGACAUGCCCAAAACUGUUCCUGCACACAGGGUGUUCGACAGAAUGCCAUGAGCAUCUAGGCAAUUCUUGGGGUGGCCAAACUCUCCAGAUCCUAGUCUCUUUAGGAGCUAAGGAAAGUGGUAAGGUUAGUUUGGCAAAAACAGAAAGUUGAUAGUGCAAGUUUUUGAGAAAAGCAGUUUUGGGCAGAAACUAAAGGCUAUCAUUGCAUGCACCAAAAAUAUGCCAAUGGGUCCAAUCUCCUGGACUUAAGGGUUUGGAAAGGAGAACUAUAAGUAGGAAAAAGCUCAAGGGCACUAGAGCAAAAUAAAAUCGGGUUGCAGUACAAAUCACCAAACUGGACCAGAAUGAAGAUGAGGUUGAAUCACUCAAAUUUUUCAAAGAAAAUCACUGGGUUUUUGCAUGAAGUUGAAUUAUAUGCAUCUCCUGGCAUCACCAAAACACUUGGAAGAAUUUUUAGAAGAAUAUUUAAAUAGGUUGUAGUGCAAAAAGGAGCUCCAAAUUUAUGAAAGGUCAUUUUAAAAAGAAUAAAGCUCAUGGAAAAAUAAUUAUGCAAAUAAAUCUACUGAUAAAGAAUUGAUUUUAUAAAGAGGGCAUACAAGUCCAAUGAUACAUUGGGAAAGUUUCCACUAGAGGUAAAAACUCACAAUAUCAAAGAGAAGAGGGUUCUGAAAUCAAAGGAGAAAUCCAGAAAAAUAAAAAUUUUAUUUCCUGGCAAAAUUUUAAUUAAUAAAACAAGGUCAAAUUUUUGGGGCGUUACAUAGGCAUCCACGCGUCAGCAUUUCAGGGGCUGGGGUUUUUGUUUUUUUUGAAAGGGGGGGUUGGGGGUUUUGGGGGGUUAAUUUAGGUGUUUCAUAUAUUGUGUUAGCUAGCUAAUUAAUAGAGAGAAGUGUCCUCUCUUAUCUCCGUGCUUGGUCGACGCUACGUACUAUAUACGUAUGGAGAGGACUAGACAUGCUAGCUAGUAAGCAAAUGAAGGAAACAGAAGAUCGUCAUGAACAUAUGCAUACAGAGAGAAGUGAUAUCGACCACCUCUCCUUCUCCGAGAGAUUGGUCGAACAACAAGUUCUCGUAUAUCUAUCUGACACUACCGGCUACAUAUAUACAAUAAUUAUCUCUUACAAUAUAAUCUCCUAAUUAAAUUGUAAGAACACAGGGUCCACAUAGUAUUCUCCGUUUUCAGCGAUCACGUGGUCAAGGAAGAAUGCCGCCAAUUCCUCUUGAAUUGCUCGCAUACGAUCUUCUGCUAGGAGUUCAUCCCGCAUCCGAAACAUCUAAUUUGAAGAAGGGGGUCAAUACAUAUAUAUAUAUAUAUAUAUAUAUAUAUAUAUAUAUAUAUAUAUAUAUAUAUGAAUAAAUGAAACUCGACACAAAUGAUGGUAAUAAAAUAAAAUUGUGAAUAUUAUUUCUUACGCACUUCAUAUUGUUCGUCAGAGUAGCCCCGCUCACAGGUCGUGUGGCGGAUAGACUCGCAAACGUAGUAUCCACGGAAAUCAUUCCCUUGUUCCUGCCACAACCACUUUACAAGAAAUAGAGGUCAAUCUAACUGAUAAGCAAGCAUGCUAAAUGGUAUUGAUGAAACUAGCACUUGAAUCACUAGGAGAUGUGCGGAACAUGCUACUAUAGUACUUACUUUCGGGUGUCUAAAUUGCAGCUUCUUCGGCAGUCCCGGAGCUUUUGUGGUGAAUUUUCUCCAAACCCUGCCAGACAAAGAAAACAAUUACUUGAUAUCAGGAAAUGAACAAAGUUGCUGAUAUGGUGGAUAAUGAUCGAUUUAACUUACUUCUCGAGCAUUUGAGUAAUGUCCGCAUAGUCCUGGGGAUCUUUUCGUCUCGAGUCUAAGAAGGUUACUACUCCCUGCUCAAGCUUAAUCUCUAGGAGAAUAUAGUGGAAGCUGCGCAUGCAUGCAUAAGUCAUCAAUUACAUUACCAUAACCUGGACUAAUAAGGGAAACCGAAUAUGCACAAGACAGUAACACUCACUUGAAGUUGUAAGGAAAGAGUAUUAUAUCUUUGUUUUGAUUUAAUACCAACGAUCGUAGCAAGUUGGCCUCGGCUUCUUUGGCAUGUUUUUCAACCGUAUAUGCAUCUAUGAGAUUUGUGUUAAUGAACCCAAUAUCACCGAUUUGUCUUUUCUUCAAUUCGGCAAUCUUCAAUCUGCAUAAUAUAGUGAGGAUAAUUAUAAAUACAUGCAAUGAAAGAGCUGACCUAUAUAGAGAGACUUAAUGACAGAAGUAGUACUACUUACAGACAGUAGCAAUUGAUCGUUGAUUUAUCGAGGGCCUUUUGAUUGAAAAACUGGAAGAACUCCUCAAAUGGAACAUUCAGCAGUUCAAUUCCAACGAGGUCAUGCUCCGGUUUAACUCUCAGCGUCAAAGUAUUCAUCCCAUCAGACUCUCUGCAGUUUUUCAUGUACCAAUCAUGUAAUCUUCGCAUCAUCGUUGUUAGAGAUCUUUCAUCUUUGACGAGAGGCUUCCCGUAAUGGUAUUUGUGUUCGUCCACCUCCAUGAUUUCAUAAUGUACAUCGUCGGGCAGGUAAUCUCCAAGAUUGCUAUAACCGGCCACCAUCCUCGGAUCAUUAGCGACGAUGUCUUUAGACACCUUGAGCGGGGGGCACGAUUGGUUCGCUUGUUCGCCGAGCUGGGCAAUUUUUUUCCCAGCUCGUCGUUCUUUUAACCUUUGAUCACUGACAGUACUUCCUGACCGCUCUGCUUCGACAAAUGUCUUUGCAAUAAUGCGCUCAUAGUUGCCUUUCGGCAGAGACUUUGGUGGUUUUGUCAGGGCAUCCAGAGUGCGCUUCGCUUUCACCGGAUCUACCUUCUCCUCCGGAGGUGGAUGUUUCUUUGCUUUCACCCCUUCAAAGAAGUUCUUCACUUCGGCUCGCACGAUCUUCGCGUUCUCCUCCUCGGUCCUCUCGUAUGGUAACUUCUCUGGAGUCUUCAGAGAAGGACCGAAUCUGUAUUGCCUCGCGCCUCUGGCAGCUGUACUGCUAGACGCCGGCAGAGCAGACGGAGCGGUUGCGGCUGUCUUCUUUCCUUGCUUACGAGGCGGAGGAGAAGGACUACAACGCGCUGGAGCAGCCGGAGCGGCGGCGGGUCUCUUCCGCCCUUGCUGACGAGGCGGAGAAGGAGGAGGCUGGCUGCUCUGGCACGCCGGCGCAAGCGGAGAAGGAGGCGGAGUGCCGCCACACGCCGGAGAAGGAGGCUGAGUGCCCUGAUCACUCGCCGGAGGAGGAGGCGGAGAAGGAGGCUGAGUGCCUCCACGCGCCGGAGAAGGAGGCUGAGUGCCCUGAUCAUUCGCUGGAGGAGAAGGCGGCGGCAGAGUGCCCUUACUCGCCGGAGGCGUCUAGUUCGGAAGGUUAAUGAGCUCCUUCCGCCAUAGGCACGGAGUCUUCAGAGCUAAACCCAGCCGAGUCUCCCCUUCACCGGUAGGGUGGUCAAGCUGGAGAUCCUCAAAUCCCUCCGUUAUUUCAUCCACCAUCACCCUAGCAUAUCCUUCUGGAAUUGGCCGGCAGUGGUAGGUUGCGCCGGGUUCAAGAGGUAAAACAGAGCCAACAGCUGCCUUGACUUUGAAGUUCUGCCAUUGCGCCAUAAGGUGGCAAUGUUGAGACUCCGUGAUAGCAUCCACGGGGUAGCUAGCAGGAGCCGUCAAGACAUGCUCCGGCUGAAGCAGCUCGGUGGAAGCCACGCUGCUUCUCCACUGAGAUGGCGGGGUAGCUUCGGGGGUAGUUUCGGCAUGUCGAUUGCCAUCUCGUUCCUCUAGCGCUUGAACCCUUUCGUGCAGCUUCUGAAUUUGGGUCUGCUCCAUAUUUUUCCUCCUCUCCUGGCUUUUGUAACCGCCUGCGUCCGGAAAACCAGCCUUCCAAGGAACGGAGCCUGGCGUGCCUCGUGUCCGUCCAGGGUGCUCAGGAUUCCCGAGGGCCAUUGUGAGCUCGUCGUUCUCUCUGUCUGGAACGAACAUCCUUUCCUGCGCUGCAUCGAUAUAUUGCUGAAUCUUCUUGACUGGUAUUCUCAAAAGCUCGUUCGUCCAAACGCACCUCCCUGAUACAGGGUCCAAGGUUCCGCCAGCCCCGAAGAACCAAGUCCGGCAACGGUCUGUCCAAUUCAUUGUCUGUGGUUCGGUCCCUUUUUCAAGCAGAUCAUUCUCAGCCUUGGCCCACUUAGGCCGGGCUUUGAGGUAGCCACCAGACCCCGUGCAAUGGUGAAGCUUCUUCUUCGCAGCAUUCUUCUUGUUUGUUGCUGACAUCUUCUUACUCUUUUCCGAUGUCUUGUGGGCCACAAAUGCGGGCCAGUGAUCUCUGAUCUUCUCAUACCGGCCGAUGAAUUCUGGUGUCUCUUCUUUGUCGACAAACAUUUUCAGCUCAUUCUUCCACCUCCUGAAUAGGUCGGCCAUCUUCUUAAGAGCAUGAGACUUGAUUAAUUGCUCUUUAACUGGCUUCUCCGGAUCCUCCUCUGGCGGUAGGGUGAAAUUUGCCUUCAGCUCAGUCCAAAGAUCAUCUUUCUGCAUAUCAUUGACAUAAGACACCUCAGGGUCUUCCUUCUUAGGCUUAUACCAUUGGUGGAUGCUGAUCGGGAUCUUGUCCCUAACUAGAACCCUGCACUGAGCAGCAAAUGCAUCCUUUGUCCGGAUGGGUUCAAUCGGUUAGCCAUCGCGCGCGAUUGCUGUGAUCUCAAACCUUUCAUCCGAGCGCAACUUUCUCUUCGGGCGUCGUCUCUUUACCGAAGUUGUGCUCGAUCCGGAGGGCUAGAAAAAAUAAAAAAGACGAGUGUUAAUUAAUAUGUGUACAUACCAAAACAAUGAAUGCAUCAAUUAGCUAGUCAGCACAGGCUUAACUAAUAUAUUUACCUGGCCGGACUCUGUUCGGUCACCGGAGCCGUCACCACGGGCUCCUUCUUGCACCAGCAUUGGGUCACCGGAGCCAUCAUAAUCAUGUCUUUCCUCCUCCACUCUUCGAUCACCGUAGCCUGCUUCUUCACCCUGUUCUUCCAGACCAUCAUUGUCGUUAAGAUACGACAAGAUAUCACCUCCGGCUAAGAUUAUGUCCCCCAACACCUCUUCUGCUUGCUCGUCUCGUCCGUGCUCCAUUGUUUCUGCAAAUAUUACAACAUGGCAAUUAUUACACAAACAUGACAGCAGGUGGAUAUAUUAGUGCAAACAUGGACCUAGCUUAUUCCGGGUUUGGGGUGGCCUCGGCAACGCUUCAAGGGUAGGGGCGCGGCGGGAGGGGGUAGGAGAUCGACAUCGUUUUUUUCUAGGGUUUGGGUGUCCUCGAGAGUUUUGGUCGAGCGAGAGGGCCGGGGGGGUGCUCCCGUGGUAUAAGUUAUCACGGUCGAGAGGGGGUAUAAAUAUCGACCGUCCAUCAUGUCGAAGUUAUCUGGGAGGGAGUUAUAUAUAUCGACAAUGACGACAUACAUACAUGGGAAAAUAAUGUUAUCGGGGAGGGGGUAUAUCGACCCCCCCCCCCACGUGUUGAAGUUAUCGGGAGGGGGUUAUAUCGACAAUGAUGACAUACGUACAUGGGAAAAUAAUAUUAUCGGGGAGGGGGUAUAUCGACCCCCCCUCGUGUUGAAGUUAUCGGGAGAGGGGUAUAUCGACGACGACAGACCCGAUAAAACAUAAGAAAACGAAGAAGAAACAAAAAGAGGAGAAGAAGAAAGGAAUAGAGGAGAAGAUCGAAGAAAAAAAAAAGGAGAAGAAGAAAGGAAUAGAGGAUAGAAGAAGAAAAAAUAGAAUUUUUUCUAUUUUUUCUUCUUCUCUUCUAUUCCUUUCUUCUUCUCCUCUUCUUUUUCUUCUUUUUUCCUCUUCUUAUUUAUUUCUCCUCUUCUUCCUCUCCUCUUCUUCUCCUUUCUUCCUCUUCUUAUUUUCCUUUUUCCUCUCAUUCAUAAAAAAUGUUCAAAUAGAAAAUUUUGAAAAAAAGUAAAGGUUUUGCCUAAUGCAUUGUUCAUAUGAAUAUACAANNNNNNNNNNNNNNNNNNNNNNNNNNNNNNNNNNNNNNNNNNNNNNNNNNNNNNNNNNNNNNNNNNNNNNNNNNNNNNNNNNNNNNNNNNNNNNNNNNNNNNNNNNNNNNNNNNNNNNNNNNNNNNNNNNNNNNNNNNNNNNNNNNNNNNNNNNNNNNNNNNNNNNNNNNNNNNNNNNNNNNNNNNNNNNNNNNNNNNNNNNNNNNNNNNNNNNNNNNNNNNNNNNNNNNNNNNNNNNNNNNNNNNNNNNNNNNNNNNNNNNNNNNNNNNNNNNNNNNNNNNNNNNNNNNNNNNNNNNNNNNNNNNNNNNNNNNNNNNNNNNNNNNNNNNNNNNNNNNNNNNNNNNNNNNNNNNNNNNNNNNNNNNNNNNNNNNNNNNNNNNNNNNNNNNNNNNNNNNNNNNNNNNNNNNNNNNNNNNNNNNNNNNNNNNNNNNNNNNNNNNNNNNNNNNNNNNNNNNNNNNNNNNNNNNNNNNNNNNNNNNNNCCAACCGGGACUAAAGGGGGGGCAUUGGUCCCGGUUGGUGCCACGAACCGGGACCAAAGGGUGGCAUUGGUCCCGGUUCGUGCCACCAACCGGGACCAAUGGCCUUGCACAGCGGCGUGGUGGUGGGAGUUUAGUCCCACCUCGCUAGCUGAGAGAGAGCCGCACCAGUUUAUAAGGUGCGGUGCGCCUGAGCUGUCGAGCUCCUCUCUAAAGCAGGCUUACGGGCCUAACCUCUUUGUACAUGCAUGUGGGCCUACUGGGCCUUCUGCGGGCCUGAAUCCUGGCCCAUGGAUGGGUUUCUAGUCGUAUUCACGCCGUGGUGGCCCAGUAGGUGGCAUAAUUUUUAUUUUUUGCCUGUUUUUUUGCUUUAUUUAUUUUGUUUUGUUUCUACUUACAACAAAAAACUUAUUUAUUUUAUUUUAUUUUGUUUCUAAUUACUUAUUUAUUUUACUUUAUGAUAUUUCUUUUUGCUAUUAAAGUUUCUAACAAAAAAAGUUCUUUAUGAAAAUUAUUUUUGCUUUCAAUGAUUUUGAACAGAAAAUACUUCGAUAAUUUUAGUUGCAUCAAUUUUAUAUAAUUUUAGUUUCAAUAAUACUAGAGGUUGCUUAUAAUGUUUUGAACAGAAAAUACUUUGAUAAUUUUAGUUUCAUAAAUUUUAUUUAUGUUAUUAAAGUUUAUUUUAUUUUGUUUCUACUUAUAUAUUUUAUUAAAGUUUAUAUUAUUUUGUUUCUAAUUACUUAUUUAUUUUAUUUGUUAUUUUUCAUGCACCAUUUUUCAUGCAUUUACUGAUUAUUUUGAGCUAUAAGACCCUAAAAUUAAAAAUCAUUUCAAAUGAACUCUGAAAAGGUUGAAAGUUGGCAUGGUAUCAUCAUUUCAUCCACAUAGCAUGUGCAAGAAAGUUGAGAGGUUUACGGCAAAAACUGGAUGCACUUCGUGUACAAAACGGACAAUCUCUUUCGAAGUAUCAGGAUUUCAUACGGAAACUCGUCUGUUACAAAGGGAUUUCAUUUUUUUUAAACUUAUUUGAACUCCUGACUUUUUGUGUGUUCAAAAUGCACCAUUCAAAGCCACAUCAUCAAUUUUCAACCCUUUCUGACUUCAUUUGUUAUUUUUCAUGCAUUUACUAAUUAUUUUGAGCUAUAAGACCCUAAAAUUGAAAAGCAUUUCAAAUGAACUCUGAAAAGGUUGAAAGUUGGCAUGGUAUCAUCAUUUCAUCCACAUAGCAUGUGCAAGAAAGUUGAGAGGGUUACGGCAAAAACUAGAUGCACUUCGUGUACAAAAUGGACAAUGGUAUCAUACUCGUCUGUUACAAAGUUGGCAUGGUAUCAUCAUAAUAGUUGCGGGAGAAAGUCUUCACUUUUUCUUCGCUUGUGUCAUUUGCUUAUUGCACCGUAACCAUGGAUAAUCUUCAUCGUUUAUCAGGAUGCUUGGGUCAGCCUUGACUUUCAAGGGAGGAAUUUCAUGAAACUUUUCAUAAUCUUCAGACAUGUCUGUCUUGCCCUCCACUCCCACAAUGUCCCUUUUUCCUGAAAGAACUAUGUGGCGCUUUGGCUCAUCGUAUGAUGUAUUCGCUUCCUUAUCUUUUCGUUUUCUCGGUCUGGUAGACAUGUCCUUCACAUAGAUAACCUGUGCCACAUCAUUGGCUAGGACAAACGGUUCGUCAGUGUACCCAAGAUUGUUCAGAUCCACUGUUGUCAUUCCGUACUGUGGGUCUACCUGUACCCCGCCUCCUGACAGAUUGACCCAUUUGCACUUAAACAAAGGGACCUUAAAAUCAUGUCCGUAGUGAAGUUCCCAUAUGUCCAUUAUGUAACCAUAAUAUGUGUCCUUUCCCCUGUCGGUUGCUGCAUCAAAGCAGACACCGCUGUUUUGGUUGGUGCUCUUUUGAUCUUGGGCGAUCGUGUAAAAUGUAUUCCCAUUUAUCUCGUAUCCUUUGUAAGUCAAUACAGUCGAAGAUGGUCCCCUGGACAACGAGUACAACUCAUCACAAACAGUGGUGUCACCUAGACGUGUUUCCAACCAACUGCUGAAAGUUCUGAUGUGUUCACAUGUAAUCCAGUCGUCACACUGCUCCGGGUGUUUGGAGCGCAGACUGUUCUUGUGUUCAUCGACAUACGGGGUCACCAAGGUAGAGUUCUGUAGAACUGUGUAGUGUGCUUGAGACCAAGAAUAUCCGUCCCUGCAUAUUAUUGAGUCCCCUCCAAGCGUGCCUUUUCCAGUCAGUCUCCCCUCAUACCGCGAUUUAGGGAGACCUAUCUUCUUAAGGCCAGGAAUGAAGUCAACACAAAACCCAAUGACAUCCUCUAUUUGAUGGCCCAUGGAGAUGCUUCCUUCUGGCCUAGCGCGGUUACGGACAUAUUUCUUUAGGACUCCCAUGAACCUCUCAAAGGGGAACAUAUUGUGUAGAAAUACGGGCCCCAGAAUGACAAUCUCGUCGACUAGAUGAACUAGGACGUGCGUCAUGAUAUUGAAGAAGGAUGGUGGGAACACCAGCUCGAAACUGACAAGACAUUGCGCCACAUCACUCCUUAGCCUUGGUAUGAUUUCUGGAUCGAUUACCUUCUAAGAGAUUGCAUUGAGAAAUGCACAUAGCUUCACAAUGGCUAAUCGGACGUUUUUCGGUAGAAGCCCCCUCAAUGCAACCGGAAGCAGUUGCGUCAUAAUCACGUGGCAGUCAUGAGACUUUAGGUUCUGGAACUUUUUCUCUGGCAUAUUUAUUAUUCCCUUUAUAUUCGACGAGAAGCCAGUCGGGACCUUCAUACUGAGCAGGCAUUCAAAAAAGAUUUCUUUCUCUUCUUUCGUAAGAGCGUAGCUGGCAGGACCUUCAUACUGCUUUGGAGGCAUGUCGUCUUUUUCGUGCAAACGUUGCAGGUCCUCCCGUGCCUCAGGUGUAUCUUUUGUCUUCCCAUACACGCCCAAGAAACCUAGCAGGUUCACGCAAAGGUUCUUCGUCACGUGCAUCACGUCGAUUGAAGAGCAGACCUCUAGCUCUUUCCAGUAGGGUAGGUCCCAAAAUAUAGAUUUCUUCUUCCACAUGGGUGUGUGUCCCUCAGCGUCAUUCAGAACAGCUAGUCUGCCGGGAACCUUUCCAAAGAUUACGUGUAAAUCAUUGACCAUAGCAAGUACGUGAUCACCGGUAUGCAUGGUGGGCUUCUUCCGGUGAUCUGCCUCGCCUUUGAAAUGCUUGCCUUUCUUUCGACAUUGAUGGUUGGUCGGAAGAAAUCGACGAUGGCCCAGGUACACAUUCUUCCUGCAUUUGUCCAGGUAUAUACUUUCAGUGUCAUCUAGACAGUGCGUGCAUGCGUGGUAUCCCUUGUUUGUCUGUCCUAAAAGAUUACUGAGAGCGGGCCAAUCGUUGAUGGUUACAAACAGCAACACGUGCAGGUUAAAUUCCUCCUGUUUGUGCUCAUCCCACGUACGUACACCGUUUCCAUUCCACAGCUGUAAAAGUUCUUCAACUAAUGGCCUUAGGUACACAUCAAUGUCGUUGCCGGGUUGCUUAGGGCCUUGGAUGAGAACUGGCAUCAUAAUGAACUUCCGCUUCAUGCACAUCCAAGGAGGAAGGUUAUACAUACAUAGAGUCACGGGCCAGGUGCUGUGAUUGCUGCUCUGCUCCCCGAAAGGAUUAAUGUCAUCCGCUCUUAAACCAAACCAUUCGUUCCUUGGGUCAGCUGCAAACUCAUCCCAGUACUUUCUCUCGAUUUUUCUCCACUGCGACCCGUCAGCGGGUGCUCUCAACUUCCCGUCUUUCUUACGGUCCUCACUGUGCCAUCGCAUCAACUUGGCAUGCUCUUCGUUUCUGAACAGACAUUUCAACCAUGGUAUUAUAGGAGCAUACCACAUCACCUUCGCAGGAACCCUCUUCCUGGGGGGCUCGCCGUCAACAUCACCAGGGUCAUCUCGUCUGAUCUUAUACCGCAAUGCACCGCAUACCGGGCAUGCGUUCAGAUCCUUGUACGCACCGCGGUAGAGGAUGCAGUCAUUAGGGCAUGCAUGUGUCUUCUGCACCUCCAAUCCUAGAGGGCAUACGACCUUCUUUGCUGCGUAUGUACUGUCGGGCAAUUCAUUAUCCUUUGGAAGCUUCUUCUUCAAUAUUUUCAAUAGCUUCUCAAAUCCUUUGUCAGGCACAGCAUUCUCUGCCUUCCACUGCAGCAAUUCCAGUACGGUACCGAGCUUUGUGUUACCAUCUUCGCAAUUGGGGUACAACCCUUUUUUGUGAUCCUCUAACAUGCGAUCGAACUUCAGCUUCUCCUUUUGACUUUCGCAUUGCGUCCUUGCAUCGACAAUGACCCGGCGGAGAUCAUCAUCAUCGGGCACUGGUUCCUCUUGAUCUUCAGCAGCUUCCCCCCUUGCAGCAUCAUUGGGCACAUCGUCUGGUUCCUCUUGAUCUUCAGCAGCUUCCCCCGUUGCAGCAUCACCAUAUUCAGGGGGCACAUAGUUGUCAUCGUCCUCUUCUUCUUCGCCGUCUUCCAUCAUAACCCCUAUUUCUCCGUGCCUCGUCCAAACAUUAUAGUGUGGCAUGAAACCCUUGUAAAGCAGGUGGGUGUGAAGGAUUUUCCGGUUAGAGUAAGACUUCGUAUUCCCACAUGUAGGGCAUGACAACACAUAAAACCAUUCUGCUUGUUUGCCUCAGCCACUUCGAGAAAAUCAUGCACGCCCGUAAUGUACUCGGAGGUGUGUCUGUCACCGUACAUCCAUUGCCGGUUCAUCUGCAUGCAUUAUAUAUAAUUAAGUGUGUCAAAAACCAUUACAGAACAUCAUGAAUAGAUAAUUAAGUGACCAAAUUAAUAGAAGUUCAUCAUCACAUUAAAACCAAAGUACAUACAUAGUUCUCAUCUAACAACAUAUAUAUAGCUCUCCAGAGCAUCUAAUUAAUUAAACCAUACAUUGAAACUAUGUAAAACAUUGCAAUGCAAAAACAAAUGCGAUCAUAAUCGCAACCAAGGUAACAAUUGAUCCAACGGCAUAAUGAUACCAAGCCUCGGUAUGAAUGGCAUAUUUUCUAGUCUUUCUAAUCUUCAAGCGCAUUGCAUCCAUCUUGAUCUUGUGAUGAUCGACGACAUCCGCAACAUGCAACUCCAAUAUCAUCUUCUCCUCCUCAAUUUUUUUUAUUUUUUCCUUCAAGUAAUUGUUUUCUUCUUCAACUAAAUUUAACCUCUCGACAAUAGGGUCGGUUGGAAUUUCCGGUUCAACCACCUCCUAGAUAAAUAAAAUCUAUGUCACGUUGGUCGGCAUAUUUGUCAUAAACAAUAAAUGAACCAAAUAGUUAUAAAAAGAUAAUAUAUACCACAUCCGAAUCAUAGACAGGACGAGGGCCGACGGGGGCGGAUACCAAAACCAUCGCACUAUGUAAUAAGAAGGAAUAAUAAAAGUAACAAAAUUAGACAAGUAUCUAUCUAAAGUAAGAAUUUUUUUUCUUUCAGAAAGAAGAUAAGAACAAGAGGCUCACCACGGUGGUGCUGGCGACGAGAUCGGCGCGGGCGAUCGACGGCGGUGAAGACGGGGACGGGACAUGACGGACCGCUAAACCUAGACAAAUCUCGGGGAAAAUGGAGCUCGGAGGUCGAGUUUCGAGAGGAGAAAGAUUAACUAGUGUGGCUCAGACAUUUCAUCGAACACCACAUGUGCAUAGGAGGUGAUCUAGAGCACCCAAAUGCCCUCCCCUCGCCGGCCAGAAAAAACAGAGCACUGUGGAGUGCUCUGCUGUGGCGAUGGGGUAUAUAUAGGCAACUCAUUGGUCCCGGUUCGUGGCACCAACCGGGACUAAAGGGGGGGCAUUGGUCCCGGUUGGUGCCACGAACCGGUACGCAUGCCACCCUUUAGUCCCGGUUGGUGGCACCAACCGGGACCAAAGGCCUUGUGCUGCCCCGCGUCAAAAGUUUAGUCCCACCUCGCUAGUUGAGAGAGCUCGAGAGUGGUUUAUAAGCGCUGCUGCGCCCACCCUCUCGAGCUCCUCUCAACUGCAAGCUUUCGGGCCUAACCGUUCUCUUUGCCUGUGGGGCCUACUGGGCCUUCUGCGGGCCUGAAUCCUGGCCCAUGGAUGGGUUUCAAGUCGUAUUCAGGCCGUGGGGGCCCAGUAGGUGGCAUAAUUUUUUUCCCUGUUUUUUGUUUUCUCUUUUGCUUUAUUUAUUUUGUUUUGUUUCUACUUACAACAAAAAACUUAUUUAUUUUAUUCCAUUUUGUUUCUAAUUACUUAUGUAUUUUACUUUAUUUAUUUUAUUUUUAUUUAUUUUACUGCUGCUAUNNNNNNNNNNNNNNNNNNNNNNNNNNNNNNNNNNNNNNNNNNNNNNNNNNNNNNNNNNNNNNNNNNNNNNNNNNNNNNNNNNNNNNNNNNNNNNNNNNNNNNNNNNNNNNNNNNNNNNNNNNNNNNNNNNNNNNNNNNNNNNNNNNNNNNNNNNNNNNNNNNNNNNNNNNNNNNNNNNNNNNNNNNNNNNNNNNNNNNNNNNNNUGCUGCUAUUUUUAUUUAUUUUAUUAAGGUUUAUUUAUUUUAUUUAUUAUAGUUUAUUUUAUUUUAUUAAGGUUUAUUUAUUUUUAUUUAUUAUAGUUUAUUUUAUUUUAUUAAGGUUUAUUUAUUUUAUUUACUAUAAAAAAUGAACAUAGAUGCGCCUAUAGAGAAAAUUCAACCUAAAUUCAUAAUAAAUUUCUAUGAAAUUCAAAGAAAUUUACUCUGAAUUUAGGUCAAAUUCCCUGUAUAAGGGCAUCUAUUUUCAAUUUGAGAGGAGCUCAACAAGGCAGAGACGGACGGGCUAAUAAACCGGUGUGAGCGCCCUUCGGUUGGCGAGGUGGGACUAAACUCUGACCGCAACUAGGACCAACCCUUUAGUCCCGAUUUGUGGUAUGAACCGGGACUAAAGGGUGAGCCUCUGGUCCCGGUUCAAGCCACCAACCGGGACCAAUGGUGGUGGGCCAGGAGCGAGGCCCAUUGGUCCCGGUUUGUCCCACCAACCGGGACCAAAGGGGCCGGACAAACCGGGACCAAUGCCCCCACGAGGCCCGGCAGGCCCCUGGCCGCACGAACCGGGACCAAUGCUCACAUUAGUCCCGGUUCGUGACUGAACCGGGACUAAUGUGAAUAUUGCCCUGUGACCAAAGCCCAGUUUUCUACUAGUGACCAUAGCCUCUCCGAUGAUGUGUGAGUAGUUUACCAUAGACCUUCGGGUCCAUAGUUAUUAGCUAGAUGGCUUCUUCUCUCUCUUUGGAUCUCAAUACAAAGUUCUCCUCGAUCUUCUUGGAGAUCUAUUCGAUGUAAUACUUUUUGCGGUGUGUUUGUCGAGAUCCGAUGAAUUGUGGGUUUAUGAUCAAGUUUAGCUAUGAACAUUAUUUGAAUCUUCUCUGAAUUCUUAUAUGCAUGAUUUGAUAUCUUUGCAAGUCUCUUCGAAUUAUCAGUUCAGUUUGGCCUACUAGAUUGAUCUUUCUUGCAAUGGGAGAAGUGCUUAGCUUUGGGUUCAAUCUUGCGGUGUCCUUUCCCAGUGAUAGCAGGGGCAGCAAGGCACGCAUUGUAUUGUUGCCAUCGAGGAUAAAAAGAUGGGGUUUAUAUCAUAUUGCUUGAGUUUAUCCCUCUACAUCAUGUCAUCUUGCCUAAUGCGUUACUCUGUUCUUAUGAACUUAAUAGUCUAGAUGCCUGCUGGAUAGCGGUCGAUGUGUGGAGUAAUAGUAGUAGAUGCAGAAUUGUUUCGAUCUACAUGACACGGACGUGAUGCCUAUAUACAUGAUCAUGCCUAGAUAUUCUCAUAACUAUGCACUUUUCUAUCAAUUGCUCGACAGUAAUUUGUUCACCCACCGUAAAAUAUGCUAUCUUGAGAGAAGCCACUAGUGAAACCUAUGGCCCCCGGGUCUAUCUUCCAUCAUAUUAAUCUCCCGCAAACGUGCUAUUUCUAUCGCCAUUUAUUUUGCAAUCUUUACUUUUCAAUCUAUACAACAAAAAUACCAAAAAUAUUUAUCUUAUUAUCUCUAUCAGAUCUCACUUUUGCAAGUGGUCGUGAAGGGAUUGACAACCCCUUUAUUGCGUUGGUUGCAAGGUUCUUAAUUUUUUGUGCAGGUACUAGGGAUUUGUGUGUGGAUUGAUACCUUGGUUCUCAAAAACUGAGGGAAAUACUUACGCUAGUUUGCUGCAUCACCCUUUCCUCUUCAAGGGAAAACCAAUGCAUGCUCAACAGGUAGCACUGUGCUGCAUCAUCCCUUCCUCUUUGGGGAAAUACUGACGUAGUUCAAGCCGCAUCAGUAGUACUGCUCCUUGCUACCUCUUGAGCAUGCGUUGGUUUUCUCUUGAAGAGGAAAGGGUGAUGCAGCAAAGUAGCGUAAGUAUUUCCCUCAGUUUUUGAGAACCAAGGUAUCAAUCCAGUAGGAUAUUACACGCAAAUCCCUAGUACCUCCACAAACAAUUAAGAAACUUGCAACCAACGCGAAAAAGGGGUUGUCAAUCCCUUCACGGCCACUUGCAAAAGUGAGAUAUGAUAAAGAUAGUAAGAUAAAUAUUUUUGGUAUUUUUGUUGUAUAGAUUGAAAAGUAAAGAUUGCAAAAUAAACAGCGACAGAAAUAGCUAGUUGUUGGGAGAUUAAUAUGAUGGAAAAUAGACCCGGGGGCCAUAGGUUUCACUAGUGGCUUCUCUCAAGAUAGCAUAUAUUAUGAUGGGUGAACAAAUUACUGCCGAGCAAUUGAUAGAAAAGCGCAUAGUUAUGAGAAUAUCUAGGCAUGAUCAUGUAUAUAGGCAUCACGUCCGUGUCAAGUAGACCGAAACGAUUCUGCAUCUACUACUAUUACUCCACACAUCGACCGCUAUCCAGCAUGCAUCUAGAGUAUUAAGUUCAUGAGAACAGAGUAACGCAUUAGGCAAGAUGACAUGAUGUAGAGGGAUAAACUCAAGCAAUAUGAUAUAAACCCCAUCUUUUUAUCCUCGAUGACAACAAUACAAUACGUGCCUUGCUGCCCCUACUGUCACUGGGAAAGGACACCGCAAGAUUGAACCCAAAGCUAAGUACUUCUCCCAUUGCAAGAAAGAUCAAUCUAGUAGGCCAAACCAAACUGAUAAUUCGAAGAGACUUGCAAAGAUAUCAAAUCAUGCAUAUAAGAAUUCAGAGAAGAAUCAAAUAUUGUUCAUAGAUAAUCUUGAUCAUAAACCCACAAUUCAUCGGAUCUCGACAAACACACCGCCAAAAGUAUUACAUCGAAUAGAUCUCCAAGAAGAUCGAGGAGAACUUUGUAUUGAGAUCCAAAGAGAGAGAAGAAGCCAUCUAGCUAAUAACUAUGGACCCGAAGGUCUGUGGUAAACUACUCACACAUCAUCGGAGAGGCUAUGGUGUUGAUGUAUAAGCCCUCCGUGAUCAAUUCCCCCUCCGGCAUAGCGCCGGAGAAGGCCCCAAGAUGGGAUCUCACGGGUACAGAAGGUUGCGGCGGUGGAAAUAGGGUUUUGUGGUGCUCCUGGAUGUUUUCAGGGUAUAGGAGUAUAUAUAGGUGAAAGAAGUAGGUCGGUAGAGCUGCGAGGGGUCCACGAGGGUGGGGGCACGCCUACCCCCCUGGGGCGCGCCUCCCUGCCUCGUGGCUUCCUCGCUGCUUCCUUGACUUCCACUCCAAGUCUCCUGGAUUGGGUUUUUUCCAAAAAUGAUCCUCGCGAAGGUUUCAUUCCGUUUGAUAUUCCUUUUAUGUAAAACACUGAAAUAGGCAAAAAACAGCAAUUUUCACUAGGCCUCCGGUUAGUAGGUUAGUCCUAAAAAUAAUAUAAAAGUGCAUAUUAAAGCCCAUUAAACAUCCAAAACAGAUUAUAUAAUAGCAUGGAACAAUCAAAAUUUAUAGAUACGUUAGAGACGUAUCACUCCUCCGAGCGGUAGUACCGCUUGUGCACGACCUGAGUGCAUAACAGUUGGAUUCGGGAGGUCCUACAAAAGGGGGUCUUCUUCCCCAUUGAACCUUAUCCUCAAGCUCGUGUUCUUCCCCCAUUGUUGACCUUCUUCGAGCUUGCUAUCUCUCAAUCCCUCCAUGGAUUCUUGCUAGUUUUUUGGGGGGGGGAGGGGGGAGAGAGGAGAUCUAGAUCCACAUUUCCACCAAUCACUUUCUGAGUGAGGGGAACCCCUUGGAUCUUGGAGUUCUUGGUGUUGUCCUUCUUGUUCUUCCUCUUAUUUUCCUCCAUAGCAUUCGUUGCUUUGGUGGGAUUUGAGAGUGAGGGACUUGGGCACUCUGUGUGCCCUUGCCAUUACAUUUGGUGCAUAGGUUUGAGUUCUCUAGGGUGAUAUGUGGAAGUUACAAGUUGAGAAGCUAUUACUCUUGGGUGCUUGGUACCCUUGAGCUUGUUCCUCUUUGGUGCUUGGGCGUCCUAGACAGUUUGUGGUGCUUCAGAGCUCAAUCAUUGUGGUAUAAAGCUUCGGGCAAGCGUCGGGGUCUCCAAUUAGGUUGUGGAGAUUGCCCUGAGCAAUUUGACGGGUACCAGUGACCGCCCCCAAGGGUUGCCAAACUAUACGGGUUCGGUGACCGUCCCAAGGGUUGCCAUUUGUACGAGUUCGGUGACCGCCCUCAAGGGUCCCUUAGUGGAAUCACGGCAUCUUGCAUUGUGCGAGGGCGUGAGAAGAUUAUGGUGGCCCUAGUGGCUUGUUGGGGAGCAUUAUGCCUCCACACCGCUCCAAACGGAGAUUAGCAUCCGCAAGGGUGUGACCUUCAGGAUACAUCAUCGUCUCCGCGUGCCUCGGUUAUCUCUUACCCGAGCCCUUCACUUGUGCACUUUACUUUGUGAAAGCCAUCGUGUUUCAUGUUAUAUAUCUUGCUAUCACAUAGUUGUUUAUCUUCCUUAGCAUAAGUUGUUGGUGCACAUAGGUGAGCCUAGUUGUUGUAGGUUUUGUGCUUGACAAAUUAACCGCUAGGUUUAUUCCGCAUUUGUUCAAGCCUAAACCGUAAUUAUUUUAAAGCGCCUAUUCACCCCCCCUCUAGGCGACAUCCUCGAUCUUUCAACCAGGAGACGACGGCAGAUCAAAAGAUGGCAUAUUCUUUGUUUUCAAAUUAUACCAUGAGUAUAAAUUGUUCUCCUCUCCACAUUUUCUCAUUUUCAUGAUUACUAAAAUGGUAGGCAGCAGACUAGAAGUAUGCAUGUGCCUGUUCUUAUUAGUUCGAAUCAAUCAUCCUUAUCUUUUGGGAUCCAUUUAUUGUUAGACUAUUGAAAUAUUAUUUCAUGUGCUUGCUAAAUUAAUAAGUCGCCACACGAAGGGAGUUGUGCGUAUACUGGGUCGUAGUUGAAUUAGUUUAGUGUCAAUUCUAUGAACAAUGUCAACUAUGCCUUCCUAGAAAGAUACUUCUUUGGGUUGAUUUAUCAUACUUUCAGUAAGGGUUUCAAAUUUCCUACUUACAUUGGUUCAGUCCCUCUGACGGCUAGAGAAGGAAAUCCUGCAUGAAACUGUUUGACGGCUUUGAAGUAUUUAUAUUGAAGAUUAUGGAGAUCAUUUUGGUUGAGAACUAGAACUGAAUUAAGCUACAAAUACGCUACAACACUUGGUGUAGGAUUCAACAUAUCGGACAAAAUGGUAGAUGUUAGUUAUUUAAGGUGGAUGGUCCACUAAAAUUAGAUGAUUCAUUAUUGGCCAGCCGCAUGUUUUGUUAGUCGAUUGGGUAUAGGGGUCAUUCAAAAAAAUAGAUGAUAGAGGAAAAUCUUACCCUGUAGUAAGUUUGAGACAGUUUCUCUAAUUAUUUGCAAACAUUUGAGAUGCUUAGGGACCUUUAUGGGAUGAGCCCCUGUGAAUUUUAAAUAGUCAACAUUUUUGGUCAAUAUUUCAUAGCACAAUACCACACAGAUAAUUGGUCCUGCCUUUUCAUAUAUAAUUGGUAGUUUUUGCUUCAGCAGUGAACUUUUUGCCUUCUUACGAAUUACCGGUAUGCAAAUCUAGGCACGAUCCCCUUAUCUUGUAGCGGCUCGGCAAGGAUAAGUGGUCGUGUCUUGCAAUGUAAAAGGCUAGAGUGGCCGACGCCGAUCAGACUGCACUGGCGGGCAGUUCCAAGGCCCACCUAAGCUCCUCCUUUUGGUGAUUUUAGCCGAUGAGUUUUGUUGACCUCACUCUAUGAAACAAAUUAGUUAUGCAUGCUGCACCCUGAUACAUCCAUUUUGCAUCAUGUUUUCCUACUGUUAUUUAUAAUGUUUUAUGCAUAAUAAUGCUUUUUGGAGUAAUUCUAAUGCCUUUUCUCUCAUAAUAUGCAAGGUUCACAGAAAGAGGGAGAAUUCCGGCAGCCCAGGCAUGCCAUGGUGGGUUGUGCCCUCCUCGGCCCACCUCUAGUGCCUAUCUUCUAGUAUAUAAGUCAUUUUGACCUAGAAAAAAUCAGGAGAGGACUUUCGGGACGAAGCACCGCCAUCUUGAGGCGGAACUUGGGCAUGAGCACUUUUGCCCUCCGGUGGAGCGAUUCCGCCAGGGGAAAUUCCCUCCCGGAGGGGGAAAUCAUCAUCAUCACCAACAAAUCUCCCAUCUUGGGGAGGGCAAUCUCCUUCAACAUCUUCAACGACACCAUCUCCUCUCAAACCCUAGUUCAUCUCUUGUGUUCAAUCUUUGUACUGGAACUAUAGAUUGGUACUUGUGGGUGACUAGUAGUGUUGAUUACAUCUUGUAGUUGAUUACUAUAUGGUUUAUUUGGUGGAAGACUAUAUGUUCAGAUCCAUUAUGCUAUUUAAUACCCCUCUGAUCUUGAGCAUGAUUAUCAUUUCUGAGUAGUUACUUUUGUUUUUGAGGUCACGGGAGAAAUCUUGUUGCAAGUAAUCAUGUGAACUUGAUAUGUGUUUGAUAUUUUGAUGAUAUGUAUGUUGUGAUUCCCUUAGUGGUGUCAUGUGAACGUCGACUACAUGACACUUCACCAUAAUUGGGUCUAAGGGAAUGCAUUGUGGAGUAGUUAUUAGAUGAUGGGUUGCGAGAGUGACAGAAGCUUAAACCCUAGUUUAUGCACUAUUCCGUAAGGGACUGAUUUGGAUCCAAAAGUUUAAUGCUAUGGUUAGAUUUAUUCUUAAUACUUUUCUCAUAGUUGCGGAUGCUUGAGAGGGGGUAAUCAUAAGUAGGAGGUUUGUUCAAGUAAGAACAUCACCUAAGCACCGGUCCACCCACAUAUCAAAUUAUCAAAGUAGCGAACACAAAUGAAACCAACGUGAUGAAAGUGACUAGAUGAAAUUCUCGUGUACCCUCAAGAACGCUUUGCUUAUCAUAAGAGACCGUUUUGGCCUGUCCUUUGCCUCAAAAGGAUUGGGCUACCUUGCUGCACUUUUGUUACCGUUGACGUUACUUGCUCGUUACAAAUUACCUUGCUAUCAAACUACUCGUUACUUACAAUUUCAGUGCUUGCAAACAUUACCUUGCUGAAAACCGCUUGUCAUUUCCUUCUGCUCCUCAUUGGGUUCGACACUCUUACUUAUCGAAAGGACUACGAUUGAUCCCCUAUACUUGUGGGUCAUCACACCCGUGGAUUAGGAUAUGAAACUGAUGCUCCUACUAUGGUUUUACUUUCUGUUUUUUUCCUUUCAUCACGCCAUUAUUUCAGUUUGACUUUUAUGAACAACCAGAUUAAUAUUUUAGAUGCAGUGUGCAUAUAUAAUUAGCUCUCUAUCUUUAAUUUGAGUCUCUUCCUCCUUUUCUCCCGCUGCUCCACCCCCUUUUGUUGUAGCGCUUUGUUGGUAUCACAUUCUGCAUGUGCCAACGAAUACAUCUUUCAUCAGUAUUCACAUAUGGUUGAGAUGAAAGGUUACAUUUGAUAUUAUCUAGCUCCACUAAGAAAUUUCCGCUCCAGUAUUUUUUGUGCAAUGCUUGCAUUGCCAUAUUUUUUGUAACUAUUUUUGCCCCAAAGGUUUAUAAAUGAAAUGAUUUUCUUUCUGUUUGGAUGAGGUGGUCAGGCAUUUUGUUGUCUAUUUUAUAGCAAAAUCUCCUUGCAAAGUGUUGAUCGGGAGACAAAUUUGUUUCUUGUUCAUACAUGUACAUAAUUGUCUCGGAAAUCAGGGAAGUCAUAAGCGUGUAAUGUGCAUGUUUUUACGUACCAUAAAAAUGAUCCAAACUACUAUUGGAUCCUCUAGGGCUGGAACAUGUGUGGGGACAGGCUACACGCAACAAACCACACUUCCUGUGUGUUGAGAUGAGGUUGUAGGUUCUGUAUGUUGUUCAAUCUUUUUAAUAAGGUUGCUACUCCGAGAUGCAUCGGGUGAUAGUGCCAAUGGUAGCCCUUGCUCAGUUUGAUGUACUAGACGAAAAAGGUAACUGCAUAACUAUCUUUGCAAUUGUUCGUGCAGACAUCAGAGAUGCCUGAUUUCUACAAGGAUGGUGAAUAUGAGAGAUGUCCUGAUUGGUCUUCCCUCCAGUGGUAUCCAACUCCAUUUGCUUAACAUCCAUAUAGAUUCUUGAGAGUGCUAAUUGUGUUCUCAUGUCAGUGGUGCUUUCCUUUGAUUGCAGUUAUUAUUUCUGGUUAAUGAUAAUUAUUAUGUUCAUUGGUAAAUGCAUAUGAGCAAUGAGCUUGGGCAGAUUGUUAUUCUGGUGUUGGUUUGCUUGAUCUAAAUAUAUGAUUUAUUGAUCUGUUCUUUAGUUGAUACUACCUUUGUGUGGGUUUAUUAGUUCCCCUCGCAUUUGGGUCAAAUUUUGACCAUAGAUUUAACUAGCAAGAUAUAAUUUAUAUGUAACAAAAAUAAUAUCAUUGGAAAGUUCUUUCAAAUAAGACUCUACCAAUAUAAUUUUUAUGUCAUAUAACUUAUGUUUUUCUAAUCAAAUCAUAUGUCUGUGUUUGUGUGUGAGAGUGCUCUUCUUUCAAUCGUCUUGGCUUGCACGUUGCCGCUGGAGUCGUACAAGGUCAUGACUUACCUUACCUGGUGAGGUACUGGCUAGGAAGAGCACAAGCCGCCGCUGCCACGCACCAAAUGGUACCGUCAAGGACGUCGUCGUGUUGACUGUCGAUGAUCUACACGUCCAUCUCUCCUUCUCUUCCUCUCUCUCAAAUGUCAAGCUCGACUCCUUAUUUUGCACAAUGGGUGGACUGAAAGCCACUUGACCGGAAUCCCGUGUCUUGUGAUAUGACGGGCAUACAUUUGCUUUUCUUUGAUAUUUUUCUGCUUUGUAUUUGUUUAUGGAUAAGAAAAAAUAUGAUUAAGAUUGUUGCAUUGCAUAUGGUUGCAUUCCAUUGAUGAUAAAUGGCGAACAACUAUGGUAUUUUUCCGACUUAACUACAUAAUGUUGCCCUGUGCUGAGCUCAAAUACAUAUGUCACUCCAGCGUCUUCCUUUCUACUCCAUAUAUCGUUCUGGUAUGUAAUGAUGAGGCGGAAUAUGUAUAAAUUGUAGUCCCAGCACUAGGAGACUAGAUUGUUCUUACUUCAGAUGGAUGUUAUUUGAUUAUGUAUUUGUUGGGAAAUGUUUCUUCAACAGUCAACUGGACGUUGUUGUGCAAUCUAGCAAUCAUGUUCAUGUCAUCUUGGAUUUUCGAUCCACUUUUGUUUCUGAUCAGGCUAACCAAUGUCGCUGUCAAUGGCUUAUGAUAUAGCACUCCUGAUAGAAGCUUGAUUGUUAAUACUUUCAAAAAACUGGAUCAGGCACAAUGUUAAAAGGACUAUAAAUCUGAUGGUUCAGUUUCACAUGCAAUCGACUUCUGUAUUUGUUUUUCCUAUUUAUGCACUAUAUCACUACUAGGGAAAACCCUAGCAGUAGCGCGUGUUUAAAGCCUAUCAGUAGCGCGGGGUGCAACGCUACUAGUAAGGCGCUACAGCUAAAGGUUAGCAGUAGCGUGGGUUGGACCACGCUACUGCUAUAUCGACUUAGUAGCAGCGCUUUGUACUAUGAGCGCUACUGGUAAUUAGUAGUAGCGCUUCUCCUAGCACGCGCUACUACUAUUAUUCUGUAUUUCUUUUUUAUUUCAUGUUGUAUUCAUACACCUUUAUACAAGUUUUCAUACCCCAGCAAUUUAGAGAAUGAUUUUACAUCAUAAUGAGUUAUUACAUCACUAGGAGAAAGAAACGUGGACUAGUUUCAAGUGGAUGGACAUCCACUUGAAACUAAUCCGCGGUUCUUUCACCCAAUGAUAUAAUAUAUCAUCAUCAUCAUCAUAUCAUUAACAACUUAUCAUCAUAAUACAUCAUUGUCAUAUAACACCUCCUCAUGAUCAUCGUUUUCAUCAAUGAGACAUCACAUACAGGUUGGUCACUAGACAUAAUCACAACUACUACUCAUCAUCAUCAACUCUCAUAAACAUAUUGUACCUCACAGGACCUACUACAUUCUCUUAGGACCUACUAUAUUAUCUUAGGUAAAAUAGCAUAAAACAAGAUAGCCCCUGACUCUCCAUUAUGGAGAAUGGAGAUUAUCCUGUCUCCAAUUCUUGCCUUUCGCACAAUGUUGCUUCCAAGAACCUCCUUACGACUGUCCAUACAUUUUUUCCAUUCUUUGAUUCUCAUGUGUUCACCGGUUUUAGAAAUCCGGUAUGGACACGUGAGAUUCGUAGGACGACCUGGUUGUAUGUUCAAAACAUCAAGGCGACCAUUCUGAUACAUCAAAUGAGGCACACAAUCCAUCGGGAUUUUCUGUUGAAAAACAUAGUAAUAACUUCGUAGUUAGCAAUGUAGUUCAGUUUUAGAAGUAUGCAAAAGAUGCACGGAUGUCGUAAUAGUAAAAAAUCUUACCAGGAUAUCUCCAUGGAAGUUAUCGUGGUUCAACACGUGCACUAGUGGCACGUAUUGACCAUAAUUUGGAGGAGUUCGAUAAAGGCAUUGUAAUUCUCAAGAUCAGUACAAUAUGCGACCAGAUGACUUUUCUCCUGAUAAGUUAACUCAGAGCCAUCGGUGUAGUUGGUUCUGUCUACCAUCUUCCGCACAUUCUUUGAAGAAUGAAAGUAAGCUAUCAAUGGAAAUAAGUUGUCAACUAUUUUGAAAUAAACAAUAUAAAUUACUUAAUAACUAUGUUUGAGGAACUCACAUAGCGUUAGAAUUGGAAGCGUAUCAACAAGGACCCAAAUGUCCAAAUUGUCUUGGUCGAUGUCAGGAUCACGAACAUCCAUGGUGACAAACAUACCCUCUUGAAAAUCAUACAUCUUGCAAAGUGCUUCCCAACCCGAGCAACCAAAAUGGGAUACGCUCUCAGAAUUGUAUAGAUUUACCUCAAAAUCCAUACCAUGAUGGGUCCUUAGGUUAAUUUUCUUUGUUUCAUUCCUCUCAUGAUCUUCAAAACCCAUCCCCUCCAAGACAUAGCGUCUUACAUGGCAUGGGAUAUGCUAGUCGAAUUGUAAAAGACGAAAAUUACACGUUGAAGUAGUAGAAGUCGAGCUUAAUUACGAAAAAAAACUUUGCGUCGUAGCUUACCGCAUCACAAUCGAAGGCCUCCUCGAGCUUAAUGCUGAAGCGCCGACCUUCAUCCAGGUGAGGCCUAUCGCAGAAACCCCGGUUGUCGCCACACCAGGAGCACUCCCCGGGACCUUCUUCGUCCGACGACAUUUCCUAUGUUCAUAAUUCAAAGAUUAAACUUGUACAAUUAAAACUCUCAGCUUGUUCAUUAUUCAUCACGGGUUGACUAUCGGUCUGUCGAGUCUUUUCUUGAAAAAUCUCAGCUCACGUGGUGUAUAUAUUCGACCGUCGGUGAUGGUAGCUCCUCCUUUCGUUUCCGAGUGCAUUACACCAAAUUGUCUAGCACACGAGAACGAAGGAGAAGCUACCCCCACGACAACAGUCGGGAUUCUUCGUCCUCUCAUAUAUGGUGGAGACUCUCCCUCACUGAUUCCUCUCUGACAUUUGCGACCGCCGGUGAUGGUCGUUACUCCUCCUUCCCCUAGUGCAUAACAAAGGUCUAGCACCCGGAGAAGAAGGAGAAACGACCCCCACGACAACAGUCGGGAUUCUUAGGCCUCGACAGACUUAAAGCCAACCCGAAAUAUCGUUAAUUAUCUUUCUAGAAAAUCCAGGCCACUCGAUAUUUCCUACAUAUUCUAGCACAAGUCAUGCCAAAAUUCACGGAAAAUUCCGGCAUGACCUUUGCUAAAACAGGACAUAUCGAGCACCUGAAAUUUGCCGGAACGGAAAUUAAUCAACACUCCGGCAAAACAUAGGCCACUCGGAGGUGUAACCUGAACAUGACCGGCCACGUGGGCAACCACAUAUCCUAUUUGAGCAACACAAGAUAUACAUGUUUUUAUGUACAUCAUAUCUUAUAGGACUCAUAUUGACAUGGAGAUUUGGCUGGUCUCACCUCGAGGUCGGAGGGGAUCGGUGACGGGGACGACGGUAGGGAUGAUGGAGGGGCUCCUUGAUUUCUGCAAAAACAAAAACCGUAUAAGUUAUCACUAAUUACAUCCCGAAUAGUAUCAUACAGAUAGCAUCACUAAUACAACUAAAACCCUAGCGAUCGACGGGUAUCGACGACGAGGAUGCGGGAUAGGCAUCGUCGACGUUGAUGCGGGAAUAAUUGCUUAAACUAAAAAAAUAAAACCAAAUGUGACAUGUUCAACUAGUUCUAUUAAUUCAACUAGUUCUUACUAAAUAUAAACUUACUAUAAAUAGAAAUAAACUAGUUCUUUCUAAAAAUAAACUAGUUAUAUUAAUUUUCUUACUAAAAAUACAUUAAUUCUAUUAAUUCAACUAGUUCUUACUAAAACUAAACUAGUUCAACUAGUUUAUUAAUUUACUUACUAAUUAUUUUAAACACUUACUAAAAACAGUAAAAAAACUACAUUAUACAAUAGUAAAAAACUACAGUGAAAAACAGAAAAAAAAAGAGAUGGAGGGAGGAGGGGAAGGGAGGAGGAAGGAGAGAGGAGGAGGGGGAGGAGGCCGGUGGGAUCNNNNNNNNNNNNNNNNNNNNNNNNNNNNNNNNNNNNNNNNNNNNNNNNNNNNNNNNNNNNNNNNNNNNNNNNNNNNNNNNNNNNNNNNNNNNNNNNNNNNNNNNNNNNNNNNNNNNNNNNNNNNNNNNNNNNNNNNNNNNNNNNNNNNNNNNNNNNNNNNNNNNNNNNNNNNNNNNNNNNNNNNNNNNNNNNNNNNNNNNNNNNNNNNNNNNNNNNNNNNNNNNNNNNNNNNNNNNNNNNNNNNNNNNNNNNNNNNNNNNNNNNNNNNNNNNNNNNNNNNNNNNNNNNNNNNNNNNNNNNNNNNNNNNNNNNNNNNNNNNNNNNNNNNNNNNNNNNNNNNNNNNNNNNNNNNNNNNNNNNNNNNNNNNNNNNNGGGGGCGGACGAAGGAGGAGGAGGGAGAGGGGCGGUGGGAGAAGGGCGGCCGGAGGAGGAGGGGGAGGAGGGAGAGGAGGAGGGAGGAGGGAGUACCUCGGCGAGGAGCAGCGCGGCGGCGGCGGACGACGUACGGGUUCGGCGCGGGCGAGAGCGAGUGAGAGGGAGUGAGUGUGAGAGGGUGAACUGCUUCAGGAUAAGGUAAGUAAGUAGUAGCGCGUUUCAGAGAAACACGCUACUGCUACGGGCCGUAGCAGUAGCGCUGGUCAGUGGUACGCGUUACUGCUAAGUGGGGCUAGCCAUCUGCGCCCAGUACAAAUAUAGCAGCAGCGCGGUUUCGCAGAACACGCUGCUGCUAAAGUAGUAGCAGUAGCGCGGUCUAUUUAAAAACGCUACUACUAAGUAGCAGUAGCGCCCUAUUUUGUCCAGCGCUACUGCUAAGAUGUUGUGUAUAAGGUUUUUCCUAGUAGUGUAUAUGCUAUAUGACCUUGGCACGUGUUGUUACGAAAUGCAAGAUGGUUUGGUCAAAGGUUCACACCACAGUGACUGCAGGAGCAGGCUUCGCCUCAUGCGCUCUCCCCACCCCUUUUACAUGCUGAUGACCGCUUGCCACAUCAAUGCUGAGGGAGAGGGGGGGAUAUGGUGAGUGACAAUCUGCUCCCAUUUAAUUAUCUUUGGUUGCUCCAUUAUAGAUCUCCUACCCUUGGAAGUGGUGUUCUAUUGUUCUAUUCAUGACAAUUUACAUGAUUACAAGUAUGUUGGCUAACAUGAUAUAUCCUUAAGCAGAUUUGUGCAUCACAACACACAAGUAAAUUGGAUGGCAGGCGUCUCUAUAGAGAUAUCUAUGUAGUUUUCUACCAUAUAGUUUAAUGUUGUAUCGUAUAAAAGCAUGUUAUGUUGUGUAAAAACAGUGUACAUAAGUUAUCCAGAACCACCACUAUGGCGCCUUUUUUGUGUUGUACUGAACCUCUAUACUUUUGGUAUCAUGCUACACAUUUAUAUAAAAUGCAUCAAUGACGCGUAAUGAAUCUUCAUGCUUUGGACUUUUGCGUCAUGUGUAACAUAUAUUUUAAUUUAUCAGGUUGGAUAUGACAAAAUGAAGUUGCAUUCCUAUAAUACUAUAUCAUCUUACAUACCGCGUCUAUCAAAAGCCUGAAUAUGUUUCCGAUUUGUAUGUAAGACACGCUUCGUCUUACGCCUUUUAUAAGCGAGAAGCCUGAAUUUCUGCUUUCUUUUGGUAGACCCGGUAUGUAAUAACGAAUCACAUUGAUCUCUGUCUAAAUAGAUGAAACUUGGUACUGAGUUAUUACUUUAUUUACCUAUAAUAUGGUAUGUAAUGACAAGAAAGUUGAGAACUACGUAAUUUCUACUUCGUAUGUCUGUAUGUUGUUUAACUAUAUGUUUGUUGGCGAGUGUUUCUUAAAUAGUUAGCUGGUCCCUGCCGUGUAAUCUGGUGAGCCUUUUGAUGCUCUCUUCAAUUUUCGAUCUAUUAUUUGUGUCUGAAUGAGCUUACCGAUGCUGCUACUAAAUACUUAUGUACAUGGCAACUCUAAUAGAGUUUUUUUUGCGCGGUAACUAUAAUAGAGUUUCAACCUGGAUCAGGUGCAAUGUUAAAUGACUGUAAAUUCGAUUGUUUAAGACAACUACAUGUGCUAUUUUUAUAUUUGCAAUGCUUCAAUGACUGCAUUACCGGGUUAGAUAUGACUAUACCAGGCAGCACCGGCAAGCCGCACUCCCUACCUAGUUAUCACGUAUACGCAGCUCACGACAUGCCGAGGUCGUAGUUUUUCAAUCAUUUGGCGUGAAUGUCUAUUUUCAUCAUAGGUGUGACUAUCCGCGUCCAGUUGACCUACCCAAUGAAAUCCAUAAAUGAUUUCGGCAAAAGACUUGCCUAAGAGAAUCACAACUAAAUUUGAAACCAAAUGAAACUAGAGAAAUUUGAAAGAACUCUAUAGUCAAGAACACGGGAGAAGUAAAGUGAAUGGAGACAUUUUGGCAGUUUAGAAAAUACCUCUACAAGGGCUCCUCCUCCUCCUCCUCCUCCUCCUCCUCCAAGAAAGGAAGUUAGGGUUCGUGCCUCUCGCCGGCGCAGGCGCAGGUCCGCCUCGUCUUCGGUGGCCCUAGGGCCAUGGAGGCGCGGUGGAUCCUGGCAAGGGCCGGCGGGAGGGUUCCGUUUUUAGUCGUUUUAUUCAAUCUUGUUAGGGUUUGUGCCCUACUCAAGAAGGCGAGACGGCGGCGGCUCCCUGAAGAUGGAAUAAAGGUCUCCCCGCCUAGCCCCGUUCCGGCGGUGCGUCUAGCAUCGUUGGUGGGCGUGUGGAGGUGUGUCUCCGGCAGAUCUAUCUUUGGUGGAUUUGCUCGGAUCUCGUCAUUGUUCGUCUACGUUCGUGUGUCUUCGGUUUGGAUCCUUCCGAUCUACGUUAUUUUUAAUCAGCGGCGGUUCCUGCUCUGGGGUGCUGGUCCUAUGGGGUCUUAGCACGACGACUUCCCGACUGUCUACUACAACAAGUUGUGCCUGGCUCCGGUGAUGGAGGGGCGAUGACCGCGGCGCGCCUUCGGCUCGCUUCGGUGCUUGUAGUCGUCGCUAGGUGGUCUACGGAUCUGGAUGUAAUUUUUAUUUCUGGUGUUCGUUGUACUGCCAUGAUUGAAGAUCAAUAGAUUGGAAGUUUUUCUGAAAAAAAAAAGAACACGGGAGAAGUAACAAAAGAGCUGCUGGAAUGAGCUGCCCCUUCUUCCAAUUUUUCUUUAACGGGCUUCUUCAGUUUUAUCUCGUAAUCACGCUCCUUGUAAUGUAGAAACCAUAUAGUGAGGGGACUUUUUUUUCUUCCCAUUUUCAUAUAGCAGUUUUCAGGCAUUUUGGAAAAAGCAAAGUCGAAUAAUAAUCGGAAAAAAAAUCCCAUAAUAAAUCUCAAAAAGUUUUUUUUUUUUUGAGACAAUCAAAAAGUGGACCAAGCAAUACCACUUGCCGCUGCGCACAUGCAGCCCAUAACGAGAAACGAGGUCCAGUACGUAGUUCAACUCGGCCCGGUCCAGCACACGCAUAUCGGGUUCUCAUUCCGUCGCCGCACCGCAUCGUCUCUGAUCGCUGACCUCCCUCGCCGUCCAUCGCCGCAACUGCAAAACCCUCCUCGCCGUUACCCCCGCGACCAUCCAUGGCCACCUCGACCCGAGCACCGCUCCCGCCGUCCGACCCCGAGAAGGAGAAGCCGCUCGCCCGCUCCGCACCGGCAACCGCUCCCGCGUACCUCGCGAAUCCAGGUCCAAUCUCCGUAGCCGACGACCCCCUGGAGGCGCAGUUUCUUUCACCGUCUCUACCGUCUUUGAUUUUGGCGUCAUUGCAGGGAAGAAGACGCACCGCCGGGUGCCGAUGACGGACGAGGAGCGGGGGAGGAUCAACCGCCUGAAGGAGCUGCACGCGUCAGGGAUCGAGGAGCUGCACGAGCUGAUGGAGAUACAUAAGGAGCUGCGCGACUACCACGACGAGCUUCUGUUCCGGCGGAGGUGCCUGGCCGCACGCCUGGUCAGCCGGAUCGCCUUCCAGCGCCGCGACGCCGCCUAUAUCAGGCAUCAGCUUGGCCUUGGCCUGAAGGUGGGGGAUAAGCUGCCGGAGGAGCUCAAGCAGUCCAGGCCGCCGAUCUCGAUGGCCCUUUUCUUGUGGCAUGAAAUGGGCAGGGCCUUGUACAUCGGCAUGGAUAACUUCAUGGAUGAGUACAGCAACACCGAGGAGUACCGGAGAGGGAUGCUGGCGUUGGUGCCCGGGGCUGUCCCUGAUGAGAACGGAGCCCCGCCAGAUUGUGUUGCCCCCCAAGAGUAGGAAUUGAUCGAGUCUGUUUGCUUGGUGUGGAUGAGUACUUGUUUAAUCCUGAGAACGAAAUGUUGCUAUGUUCAGGUUCAGGGUGACUACUUGUUUGAUUCUAUUUUGUUGAGGAUGAUUUUUUUUAUGGCUCGAGUGCUUCAACAAAUCAUGUGGACUAGUCUUUUAGUUUUGAAAAUUUCAGUCAUCUUGUGCGCAGAUUGCUAUGUUCUGAACUUCUGAUCAUGAUUACGUAUUUUUUUUGCCUAGGAAACUAUAUGUAACUUGGCAUGAACAGUUAUGCAGAGAGAACCUCAAUCUGAAUAUUCCAUGGUGACUGCGCCGGCACGGAAGGAAGGUGCGGUGGACAGUAGCCAUCCUGCACCGCUGCCGCCGAGUGUGUCGCUCCUUGAUCCACUUCAGUGCUCCAAAGCUACGACCUACCUACGAGAUUUGGUCUUGGACACUAGGUAUGUGGCAGGAUGGCUUAGCAAAAAGAAAAUCUAAUUCGGGAAAUCAGUGAUCUGUGAAAAAUGAAGUAAAUCUGUAUGUUACUAGAGAGAAACAUUUCAGAGUUUAAAGUUUGAACUCAGGCAAACGAUUUCAGAUGACUUUAGUCCAACUGGCUUCAGAAACUGUGUUAAACCGAGACUACUAAUUAUGAUUUUCCAUCUUAUUCAGGACCUCUUUCAUGAUUUCAAAAGGAUAUGUAACUAUAUGUAACUUGGCAUGAUCAGUGAUGCAGAUAGAACCCCAAUCAAUCUGAAUCUUCCAUGGUGAGGAAGGAAGGUGCGGUGGACCGUAGCCAUCCUGCACUGCUGCCGCCGAGCGUGUCGCUCCUUGAUCCACUUCAGUGCUCGAAAGCUACGACCUGCCUACGAGGUUUGGUCUUGGACUGUAGAUACGUAUCUGGCAGGAUGGCUAUUGCAGCAAAAAGAAAAUCUAAUUCAGGAAAUCAGUGGAGUCUGAAAAAUGAAGUAAAUCUAUGUUACUAGAGAGAAACAUUUCAGAGUUUGAACUCAGGCAAAGCAUUUCAGAUGACUUUAGUCCAACUGGCUUCAGAAACUGUGUUAAACUGAGACUACUAAUUAUGAUUUUUCCAUCUUAUUCAGGACCUCUCUCAUGAUUUCAAAAGCAUAAUACAGAUGUGCUGACCUCCACCUUAUGUGUCUUAUGUGUUUCCCUUGAUGUUGAGCCAUUGAGCCUAAUCACAAGGCCAAUGCUAUAAAUAAACUACAUUUGGAAUCUCUGUGGUUUUGACCAGCCUGCUCUGUUAUGUCUUUAUUUGUCCUUUUUUUCGAAACAUGAAAGGACCAAUCACAAGACCAAUUGUCUUUAUUUGACCAGCCUACUCUGUAGUUUCCAUUUUGCUUCAAAACAAUGCUAUAAACAAAACAAAAUGAGGUCUACUUGCCAAUGAAUACCGAGUGAGCCUGCUGGAUCCAUACUAUCAAAGUGUUCUGGUGUACACCAAAUAACUGUGAAGCAAAUCAUCUUUGUUGUUGGCUUGUUGCCCAUUUUAUUCUUGUGAGACAAAUAGUUGAUUACUUAUCCUGAGCACUACAUAUAUGGCUCACAGGAAAAAGCCAUGAUACUGAACUCUGCAAUUGUGUGGUAUAUAUGUGUGUACAGUAGUACAGUAUAUAUGCCUCUUCUCCUGUCUCCAGCUACAUUUUCGUCUAUCUCUAGUCUACUGCAAGUCUGCAAUGCUAUGGCGCGACCGACCGACCGAUCAUGAUAUGGAGAUUGUUGUGAGGAUUGGUGAGGAUCAAGAAGAGGCCCUGUGCUCGAUUUUGACGGGCAGGCCAAGCAGCGGCGACGGCAUGGGGUUCCUCACGAAGGUGUCCUCCUUGCAGCAGAGCUUCCAUCUGAACUGCCUCACAAGGUGGUGCAUCGUCACCAGCGUCUCGAUCCUGGAGAACUCUAUCCCGGGGCAUAUCCUCGGGCCGCCCCCGAAGGCGACAAAGGAGCACGGCGGCGCCGCCGCCGACGCCCUUUGGUUCUCGGUCUCGAACCGGGACGGGUCGAACUUGGCCGGCUCAUGGAAGAUGCUCGCGUCCAUGUGCGUCACGUUUGCCGUCCAGAACACCUGAAAAACGUCAUAUCAAGAUUCAAGAGUUUGCAUCAGCUUUCUCGGCAAGCUGGUGAUGCUAUGAGCCUAUGAUUGGUGUGGGUUGACCUGCCAUCCUUUUGGGAUGAGGUAGCCAUCGAACUCGGUGUCCUCGAGUGCUCUUCUGAAGUUGCCGAAGAUCGGAGGGACGACGCGGAGUGUCUCCUGCGCGACCCGCCAUGUGAACUUCAUCUUCGACAGAUCUUCCCAGGUGAGAGCCUCGCCGUCACCUUUGUUCUUGGCAAUCUCCUCAUGCUCUGUGUCACGAAACGAAACACACAUCAUGACCAUGGCAGAGGUUGGUAGUACUUUGCUUCACCGGUCAGUCACUUGCCUUGGACCAUGGCGGCGAGGGUGGCAUCGUCGUUGGCAAGGUGGCGGACCAUGAACGUCAUGAGGAUGGACGACGUGUCGUGGCCGGCGAUGAGGGCGACCAUGGCGUUGUCCACGAUCUCCUCGUCGGUCAGCAGCCGCUCGCCAUGGCCGUCCGUCAGGCCGAGCAGGCAGGUGAUGAGGUCGCUGUUCCGCGACGCCUUGCCGUUGCCUUGCUCCUCCUCCGCCUGGCUGGCCUUCUUCUUCUCCCGCGUGAUCCCCUGGAGCACCCGGCGGGCCCUGCCGCUGGCCUUGAGGCUCCGGCUGAAGGCCGUGAACGGCAGGUUCACCGGGACGGCCCACAUGCCCUCGAUCAUGCGCACGAAGUCGCCGGCCAGGGCGUCCCGCACGGCGCCCCUCUCGAGCCCGAAGAGCAGCGCGGAGAUGAUGUCGAACGUGAGCCGCUUCAUGAGCGGCAGCACCGUGACGGUGGCGCGGCCGGCCCAGUUCUCCUCGAGGUGGCGCCGCACCUCGCCGUCGAUCCUGCCCACGUACGCCUUGAGCAUGUCCGGCCGGAGGAACUCGAGUAGGGCGCCGCGGACGCGCCGGUGGUCGGCGCCGUGGAGGUCCAGGAUGCUCUUCUCCCCGAGUAUCCGCUGCACGGACCGGGGCUGCCGGGUGGAGAGCGCGCCGCUGAAGAACAGGAACUUGUUGGCCGCCGGCCCGGCCAGCAGAACCGUCGGCUUGCCGAAGAGAGACAGCUUGGACACGGGCCCGUACCUGUCGAUCCGGUCCUGUAUCCACCGGCUGCCGCCGUCGCCGCGCAUGGCCCGGAGGAGGCCGAGGCUCUGGCCGAUCACCGGCAGGCCGAGGGAGCCCGGGGGCAGGUUGCCCGGCUGUGUCCUCCUGGCUCUAGCGAGGAGGUGGAUGGCAACGGACGAGGCGGUGACAACAACGAGUGCCACGGCUAUGGCCAAAUAAUCCAUUGGAGAGGGGUCGGUGUUAAGAUGACACUGACUGCUGCUACCUGAAGCUGGAGCUGAAGACGAGAUAUCGGAAUAUAUAGGCGAGCAUGAGCAGGUUGUUUCUGCGGGAACGAAAUUGCUGUCAGAUGGCGUAGUUCAACACGUAACCAUGAUGCACCGGAGAUUCCAAACAAGAAAGAAUCCGCCAUUUCCAACGAACUUGAAAACUCUGAGAUGCCAUCUUGGUAGAAGACAAAAAGGGUAUAUGCUCUUGAGGUAGAAGACAAGUCCUAGGAAGCGAUGACAGUGCCAUCAUCCGUCAAUGAUAAGAUGCACGCAUGAAAUUGGCAAUUCUUUUAGGGCACUACUAUGCGCCGCCGGACCGGCCAAGGGUUCGGCCGGUCGUAUCCAAACCGUCAGAUGUAAGAGCUGGUGGCCGUCAGAUUAUCCUUAUCCCUUCGCACAAAGUCAGCGGUCAGCUCUCUCCUUCCCACGCACGCACUCCUCGCCAGAAGAAAGAAGUGAAACGACGCGCCGCCUGCAGCCGGCACGCGCCACCAACCGUGCGUCUCCUGGCCAUGGCCGCAGCUCCCCUUUGCUGCGCGUCUCCGUUCAUGGCCGCAGCAUCCGUGCAACGUCGUGGCAGCUUUUGUUGCCGAUUGUGGCAGCUUCUCUCACCGGGCUGCUCCAACCGUGGCCUCCGCUCGCCACCACCGCACCUCCGCUCGCUGCCGCACCUGUCGCUGGCAAUACACACCCGUUGGUCGCAGCUUUUCAGCCGCCGCUCAGCAUCACAACAUCUCGGCUCACCAGUUCCAGCAAUUUCGAGUGCCGGUUCCAACAAAAAAUGUCUCACCGCCGAGCCACCGUAGCUCGUCGUGUUGCCGGUUGCAGCUAAUGGUGCUGGUAGUUGAAGCAAAUCGAGAUGCCGGUUGCAGCUCCGGCAACCCGUGGUUGUAGCAUCUGCCACCGCCCGUUCCUGUAUCCCCGUCGCAGUCGGUCCCAGCAACAUGGUCGGCUGUAGCAAAAACUGAUGCGGGUCGUAGCAUCUUGCAACACUAGAUGUAGCUCCGGCCAGCCGACGCUCGACCCGUUCACCGGCGGUUCCAGCAAAAAACAGAUGACGUUGUAGUAAAAAAUCCCGCUAGAUGCAGCUCCGCCACAUGUCACCGCUUGUUGUAGCAUUUGUCACCGUAUCUGUUGUAGCAAAACGCGCCAUCGGUUGAAGCUUUUUUGCUCGCUGGUUCCAUCUUUUUCCAGCGCGUGGUCACCGCGGUCACCGCCCGUCGUAGCAAAAAAUUCUACAGGUUGUAGCACUUUGGAUUGCCGGUCGUAGCAUAUUUUGGUGCCGGUUGUACCACCGCCAAAAUCACUGGGUUGCCGGCUGAUGGCGCCACGCCUUGGCCCAAUGUAGCACUUGGUUUGCCGAUUUUAGCACACCGUGAAGGUGGUUCCAGCAUCUCUAGUUACGGAUGCAGCACCGCGCCAGGCCAGUCCUAGCACCGCAGCCGGCCGGUUCCGGCAAAAAAACGAUGCUGAUAGCAGCACCGCGCGACACCGGUUCCAGCAAAUCCUGUUGCUGGUUGCAGCACUGCAUCAAAUUGGUUAUCCCUGCCCACUGGUGCUUCAGGACCAGCAAUGGCGGUGCGCGCGAAACACGAGCUGCAGCUCCUCCGGUCCUCACGUAGGGCGACGAUGUUCUUCGUUUGGGGAGCGCCCCUCGUACAAUAGCUUUAGCUAUGGCGUCUAAGAGAAAAAAAGAGCAGCGAGAGCAUCAGCCAUGGCGGGGAGGUAGAGAGGAAAAAGGGGACGGGAUAUGUGGACGGGUGUGCGGACAACAGCUCACGACAGAGGAUAAGAAGAAAAAGCGGGGGCAGUGCGCAGGACCCCUGGGAUGACGUGGUCUUGUUUUGUGAGCGCUACGCGUGACAUUAGCGAGCGGACCGGCCGAAGCAUCCGCCGGUCGACCGGGUGUAAACGUUUACCAUUCUUUUAGGAGUCCGGACAACUAUUGGCAGAGCAACACUACAAUCUGUCCCUCUUCGAGGAGCAUCGACUGGCGGAGGAGCAGAUGGAUGCGGAGUGCGAGUCCAUCGUCGUCGUCGUCGCAUACAUGGUUGCGGUGACCCUAGCUCAUCAUUGACGUCAACCGGGCGAUGCUCGUGUCUGUGCACAACGCUCACAUCAUCCACAACAUUGGCAGCUCCGCGACGAUGCGCAACCAGCUAUUCGAGGGACUGGAGGGGGAGGACGACAACGCUGCAGCAUCACAAUGAUAUUGCCAAAGAGGCAUCCUUCGGCAGCUCCGCCUCAAUCGCGUCGGCUGCCAAUGACGACGAAGUAGGUCAGUCCUACGCAGGACCGUCGACCUCACAUAUGACGCAAAGUUGUAGGGUUGGUUAUUAUCAUAAUUUUAUUAUAGGGUCCUUUUGCUAUGUACAAAUUAUUUCACAAAUAAAUGAAAAUUCGGUGUCCGCUUCUAUUUUGAUGACUCUAGUUGAUUUAUCUAUUUUUAAAACAAAGACGUAAGGAGGAUCUGACAUUAAAUUAAUAAAGCCCACCAACUAAACGGAGACACAUGGGUUCAUCAAAACGAAAAUAAAUCAGUUCAGAACGAUGGGGUACAUGGCCGAAGGCCCAUAAACAGAGCACAUGGGCUCAAAACACAACAGAGACACAGUUCCCUAAACGACCCCCAAAGGGGGAUGAGCGACGGGAGCUCCUAUACAGCGCUACAGGCGCCCGUUAACGAUCCGGCGCCUGCAGCGCUGCUAGCAUGGGCCGGCCCACUAGCAUGCUGCCCCAAGUUUUUUUCAUUUUUUUACGAAAAUAAAAAUAUGAAAUGAAGAAAGGUUUACAGAUUUAAAGAAAAAAGUUCAUCCAUUUGAAAAAAUACGUUCACAUCUUUAAAAAGGUUCAUAAAUUUUGAAAAAGUUCAUCAAUUUGAAAAAAAACUUCAUUCAAGUUAAAAAAAGUACAUCCAAUUUAGCAAAAGUUCAUAGAAAUUGAAAAAAAGUUCAUGUAUUUUUAGAAAAAGUUCAUGGAACUGAAAAAAAGUUCAUAAAUCAAAAAAAGUUCAUCCAUUUUUAAGACAAAUGUUCAUUAAAUUUCGAAAAAGUUCAUUAGUAUUCAAAAAAGUUCAUCAAUCUCAAAAAAGUUCACAGAAUCUUAAAAAAAAACGUCCAUCGGCGCUUAGAUGGGCCGGCCCAUUUACAGACGCCACAGGCGCCAGUUAACAAAUGCACGUUAACUGGCGCCUGUGGCGCCAAAUAGGAAAUGCCAUGAGCGACUUAGUCGAUGUGUUGAAGUUUUUCCAUCGUCUGCUGCAUUGCUUCAACAUCUCGACAUUUUCCGAACGGGGUCCAUUAGUGUAAAAAGAGAAGGUAUUUGAAUAUACAGUCAACCGGAUGAGAAGGGAACACAUACUCAAUGGUAGUUCCGAUUGAAUGACCGGUGGUCUGAAUACAUAGGAGAGCGAUCGACCUGAAAAACAUUCGGUCCAGCCCUGUUAUUAAUCUAGCCGACNNNNNNNNNNNNNNNNNNNNNNNNNNNNNNNNNNNNNNNNNNNNNNNNNNNNNNNNNNNNNNNNNNNNNNNNNNNNNNNNNNNNNNNNNNNNNNNNNNNNNNNNNNNNNNNNNNNNNNNNNNNNNNNNNNNNNNNNNNNNNNNNNNNNNNNNNNNNNNNNNNNNNNNNNNNNNNNNNNNNNNNNNNNNNNNNNNNNNNNNNNNNNNNNNNNNNNNNNNNNNNNNNNNNNNNNNNNNNNNNNNNNNNNNNNNNNNNNNNNNNNNNNNNNNNNNNNNNNNNNNNNNNNNNNNNNNNNNNNNNNNNNNNNNNNNNNNNNNNNNNNNNNNNNNNNNNNNNUACCCCUCCCCCCCGAGCGGGGCAACCAGGGCAGCCCUCUCUCCCCUCGCGCCCAGCCCCACCUCCCACCCCUCCUCCGGCCGCUGCCGGCGGCUGGCGCCGCCGGCGGUGGCGGCCCUCUUCCUCUUCCCGUCGCGGUUCCCCGGCUCGGACGGCGGUUUUCGGGGACGGUGCUCCUCGGCGGGUGGUGCUCCGGUGUAGAUCGGGCGCAGAUUCGGCGGCGGUGCGGCCCGGCGGUGGCGGUUGGCGGUGGGGAUGCCACAAAUGUACCACAAAUAAAAAUGAUGUUUUAGGAAGACACAAGUCAUGAAAGCUGCCAAUGACGACGAAGUAGGUCAGUUCCACGCGGGACCGUCAACCUUACAUACGACACAAAGUUGUAGAGUUGGAUUUUAUCAUUAUUUUAUUAGGAUCCUUUUGCUAUGUACAAAUUAUUUCACAAAUAAAUGAAAAUUCGGUGUCCGCUUCUAUUUUCAUGACUGUGGUUGAUUUAUUUAUUUUUUAGAACAAAGACGUAAGGAGGAUUCGACUUUAAAUUAAUAAAGCCCACCAACUAAACAGAGACACAUGGGUUCAUUGAAACGAAAAUAAAAUCAGUUCAGAAUGAUGGGGUAUAUGGCCGAAGGCCCAUAAACAGAGCACAUGGGCUCAAAACACAACAGAGACACAGUUCCCUAAACCACCCCCGAAGGGGGGAUGAGCGACGUAGUCGAUGUGUUGAAGUUUUUCCAUCGCCUGCUGCAUUGCUUCAACAUCUCGACAUUUUCCGAACGGAGUCCAUUAGUGUAAAAGUGUAAAAGAGAAGGCAUUUGAAUAUACAAUCAACCGGAUGAGAAGGGGACACGGACUCGAUGGUAAUUCCGAUUGAAUGACCGGUGCUCUGAAUACAUAGGAGAGCUAUGAUGCAUUGCGCCCGAAGCCUAACGUACAGUCAUGUUGUAGUCGCGUUAUAUUUUCAUAUAUUUACAUAAAGACACUUUGGGCGGCUUAAAAAAUUAGUUGCCUCUCCCCAGCAUAAAUGAUAAGCCGCUUUCUAAUUUUGUUGAGGCUUCUAAAUUAGUUAUCACAUAACUAGUUCGGAAACUUCAAUAAAUGACAGAGACGGCUUAUGAAAAAGUUAGAGAGGAGGCGUCUUAUUUUUUUAAGACGCCAAAACAACUGGCCUUAUUAUGGGUUGGUGGAUAUUUUUUGGAACAAACAACAUGUCAACAUUUUAGUCCAUUAGCUGAUCAAAGCCCAUCACGAGACAUGAGGUCCACUACGCAGUGUCAAGUCGGCCCCUCGAGGGAUCGUGGCAUACUGGCUUCGUCCUUGAUCGCUUUACCCCGCAAUUGCCGCCGCGGCCGCAAGGGUCACCUCAAUAAACGGGGGAUUUGAUAAUUUGCCAUCACUUUCUUUGGACUUUGAUAAUUUGCCACCCCUUACUUUGUAAUUAAUUUGAUGACAUUCUAUAUUUUGGACUUUGAUCUUUUGCCACUUUUCAACACAAAACAAACUUUGGAAAUAAUAGACAACAUAAGUGAACAAAAUAGAGGACUAGUAUGCCCUUAUACCUAUUUGACCAAACAUUACACAGGGGAAGGGAUGAACUCUUGCUGCACUCCUCUCUUGAACCUUUUUGCUGCUCCCUGCCGGCCCUUUGCUGCUCCUCGCUGACCCUUCUUGGCCUGCUGCCGCUGCCCCCUCUUGCUCCCCUCCUGCACCUUCUACCCUGCUGCCGUUGCCCCUAGUACUGCAGUCUCUCCUUCCCCUGCUGGUGACCCUAACCCUAGGGCCGGCCGCCGCGCCUGCCGGUUACCCUAACCCUAGGGCCGGCCGCCGCCGCCGCCGGGGAGAUGAGUGGGAGAGAGGGAUGGAACGGGACAGAGGAAGGGAGCGAGAGAGAGGGACUCACCGGGGCCGCCGCCGUCGAGUACCACCCGGGCCGCCGCCGCCGACCAGUAGCGCCAGAGCCUCGCGUGCGACAGAGGGGAUGAGAUCGAGCGAGCACUCCUCUGUUCCUAGUCAAUUGAGAGGUAAGGGUAAGUUUGUCUUUUGUUGUGGGACCCGUCUGACAAAGGGCAAAAUAUCAAACACCCAGAUAAAGAGUGUCACCAGAUCAAAUGCAAAGUAAAGAGUGACAAAUAGUCAAUGUACCAAGUAAGGGGUGGCAAAUAAUCAAAUUCCCCUCAAUAAACCUACAUCUAUGGCCACCUCCACCCGAUCACCGCUCCCGCCGGCCGACCCCGAGAAGGAGAAGCCGCUCGCCCGCUCCGCACCGGCGACCGCUCCUGCGGACCUCGCGAACCCAGGUCCAAAUACCCGCCCUCGAACCCUUGAAGUCAUUAAUCCUCGAGCACCCUUGGAGCCAGGCCAGGGGCAGCAGUUUCACCAUUCUGUGGUCUUUGAUUUUGGUACCGUUGCAGAGAAGAAGAUGCGCCGCCCUGUGCCGAUGACGGACGAGGAGCGGAAGAGGAUCAAGGACCUGAAGGAGCAGCACCGGUCAGGGAUGGAGGGGUUACGAGAGUACUUCCAGAUACACAAGGAGCUGCGGCACCACCACGACGAGCUUCUGUUCCGGCGGAGGUGCCUGGCCGCACGUCUGGUCAGCCGAAUCGCCUUCCAGCGCCAUGAUGCUGCCUACAUCAAGCAUCAGCGUGACCUUGGCUUGAAGCUGGGGGAUAAGUUGCCGGAGGAGCUCAAGAAGAUUGGGCCACCAAUGGGGGCGGCGCUCGUAAUGUGGGCUGAGAUGUGCAGGGCCCUGAACAUAGGCAUGGAUAACUACAUUACUGAGUGCGACAAUCCGGAGGCGUUCCGGGGGAGGAUGAGGUCGUUGGGGCUCAUUCGUGAUGAGAAGGGAGCUCCGCAGGAUUGUGUUGCCCCCCAAGAGUAGGAAUUGAGCAUGUUUGCUUGGUGUGGAUUAAGUCUGUUUGCUUGGUGUGGAUUAGUGCUUGUUUAAUCCUCGGAACGAAAUGUGUUGGGGAUGGGUUCUUGUUUAAUCCUAUUGUGCUCAGGAUGAUUUCUUUGUAGCGGGACUGCUUCAUCAAACUAAGUGGAGUAGUCUUUUGGUUUUGAAAUUUAUGAUCAUGUUGUGCGCUAAUUGUUUUGAUCUGGUUACGAGUAUGCAAUUUUUUGCCUAGUAAACUGUAUAACUUGGUGUGAACAGUCAUGCAGAUAGAACCCCAAUCUGAAUAUUCCACAGUUCGUGCACCGGCACUGAAGGGAGGAGGUUGACCAGUUCAGCCGAUGAAGUUACAAGUAGGACAGGUUUUGGUGCUGGCGACCAAUUGCUUGAUUGAAUUAAGAUUAAACUGGGUAGAACUUGUUCAGGGCGAAGUUAAACAGAGCAGGGAAAGCAUAUUCAAAUAUUUGAUUGUCGCAUCACAAAGAAGCCAUAUCCGAGCUUGCACUUCGUGCUAGCAUCAAAGGACCAUGUAAUUGCUGGGAAUAAGACAUUCUUCCUGAAUAUGAAGUUUUUUAUGAUUUUCUUUUGCCACGGCCAUGUGUUGCUGAGUAAUAGUAAAUCUACUGACGCUAAAAGAAGAGGUAUAUGCUGGAUUAGUUGUACUACAGGGAGAGAAUUAAACUGAGACUCAAAACCCAUGUACUCAGGGUUAGUCAGCUAUCCUUUACACGAGAAGGAACACAGAUAGCGAGAGCAGGCAAGAUCUGGCGACCAAAAUCCAUUGCAGGGCCGAGACAUGCACGCCACAGGCCACGCGUUGGGCAGUGAAGGGUAUUGAUCCAGCAGUAGCAUGAAACACUCGCAUCAAUCAAAGUAGACCCUCCUCGGGAACACCCAGCCACCCGAGAAGCUGAAGUCGCUCGGGUCUUUCUCUAGCAACAUCUCUUUCUGAACGUUCAUGUCCCUAGCAACAUCUCUUUCUGCACGUUCAUGUCCCCUGGCAACAUCUCGUUGUAGUUCUUGAUCCCCCAAAACAUACCCGUGUCAUCUGCAGACCACACAUUUCUUACCCACUCUUGCUUCAUAGUAUUAUACUGCUAUUUAACCCUGUCGAAGAUUGUGUGUUUCGGUGACGGAGCUUGACAGAGCUUGUUUAACAACUAAUUAUAUUUCACAUAAUUUCUCUAGGGUAGGGGGCCAUAGCCCCCCUUGAUCCUAUUCCACUGGUGUGCUUACUGAUGGCGCCAUACUCGUAGUCAGAGUGUGGCAGAAUGUCAGGUGGCUUUGCCUGAGGCACUGAGGCACCGAGGGAGAGUUUGCAUGGCCGCAGCUGCCCGAUGGACACCCGACGAUCAUGCUACAGUAGAAACUUGAGAGGGUCACGCAGCAGGACGGUGAUGGGACAUCCGUAAACGGCGAGUACAAGCAGAUGAUCUGCUAUGUCACCGCGCGACACCAAGCCAAGGAAGAGACAUCGCUCUGGCUCAACGCACGGCGCGUCAAGACAGUGGAUCGUUGGCAACAAGAAAGAAUAAAAUGCUUACGCAUAACUUGUUCGUGUUGCUGCUCAUCGACCUUGGACCUCGUUGUGGGCACAAUGGGGUGGGUUGGGUCGACCCUCGUCUGCGAUGAAGUCGGAGUCGCUUGCUCGGUGAUUUGGGAUGGCGAUGACGCCUCGUUGAGAAGUUAUGACAAUGACACCUCUAUGCUCUCUUGAUAAGGCUCUCUUUAGAGAGGUGUGUGUAUGGUAUCCUAUGUGUGCCACUUGGCAGGCUGUACCGGUUUUUACCCGGUUUUAUGAUAAUUAACUGAUAAUUCUCUUUUCUGCUUAAUUAAUGUGUCAGACAAAUCUUUUGCCUUUGUUUAAAAUAAUAUCACCACAAUAAGCAGAGAAGGAUGGCAGUAGCCAGAGAAGGCGAAAGCACACAUACCACGACUCACCCAUACACAGAGGCUGAACUGUUGAAUGUAAGUUAACUAGGCGCCCUGCAACUGACAUUUGUUUUGUGUGUACUUCUAGUUUGAUGCCAUGUUUGGAAUGCAGGAAUUACAAAAACCAGUUCCUGCAAAUAUCAAAAAUAUAUUUUGUAAUUUCUAAGCAGGCUUACUUUAGAAUAUACUGCGACAUGUGGAAAGACUCAUGUGUCAACCUCAAAUUUCACAUUUGCUUCAUACUACCAACAUACCGAGGCACACAUCUGCACGUUGAAAUAGUACUUUGAGGCUGAAAACAUACCCAAUCUGAAAUUUCUGAUCAUCUUGUGCGCUAAUUGCUUUGUUCUGGUUACGAGUAUGCAUUUCUUUUCCUAGUAUAAACUACAUAACUUGGUGUGAACACUGAACAGUCAUUUGCAGAUAGAAACCCAAUCUGAAUAUUCCACAGUUCGUGCACUGGCACAGAACGGAGGCGCGGCAAACCGUAGCCAUCCUGCCACACCGUGUUGGCGUGGCGGCUCCCUUGCUGGGUACAGUGUGGCAGGUGGCUACUGUAGUAAAUAGAACAAUCAAAUUUUGGAAAUCAGUGGAGUCUAUGGAAAAUGAAAGAAAUCUAUGUCACUAGAGCGAAACAAUUCAGACUGUGAACCCAGGCAACCAUUUCAGAGAACUUUAGUCCAAAUGGCAUCAGAAAUUGUGUUAAAUUGAGAUUACCAAUUAUGAUGUUCCAUCUUAUUCAGGACCUCUCUCGAGAUUUAGAAAGCAUAAUACUUUCGAAAUCUAGUGAAUAUAGAUAUGCUGACCUCCACCUUAUUUGUCUUCCGUGUUUCUAUAGACUUUGCAUUACUGAAACUAAACAAGAGAAUAAUGCUAUAAAGAAAUCAGAUCUGGAACUUGUGUGGUAGCUACUUGUGCGUCCUACUUCGUUAUGGCUUUAUUUGCCAUUUUUCUUUGUUUCAUUUAUAUUGUUGUUUCUCUAAAACAAAGCGCUCUUAUUCAAGCUCUCUUGUUUCACUGCUAACUAGGAUAUGACCUAGGGAAGAUCUUGCUUUCUUACUGUAAAUGUGUGGGAAGUCAUUCCUUUGUGCUCUCAUCUGGAGACUCGAUUUCAACCCAUUUUCAGCGAGAAGAUUUCUGGUUUAGUGCACCAAGGAAGGGACUUAUGGUUUUCUCGUUGCCUAGGUCAUUAGCCGGCCCUGUUUGUUUCGGAUUUUGGGACCAGAUUCAGCUUUACCAGUGAAGCCGAAUCUGGAAUCUGAAACAAACAGCUAUUUGGAAUCAGCUUUGCCAGUGAAGCUGAAUCUGCAUUUGGAUCAUUUUUAGUGCAAUUUUCUGAAGCACCUCAAAGUGUACUUCGGUGGCGGAGCUGAUUCCUAGAAUCAGCUUCGGCAUUGAAGCGAAUCCACAGGUGAUUAAAAUCCAAGCGAAGCUAGAACAAACAGUGCUGAUGUAUCAUUGCUUCAUGGAAAUAUCUUGCUUCUUGUCCUUGGCCUUUUUAUUGGUGCGGAAUUUUCUUGCACAGAUGUAAGAAAAACGACGGAGGAAGUACAUCACAGGAAACUGCAUAUAAAUUAGUCUUAAAUCCUAUGGUACACUAUCACCCGUCAUUUUCAGUUGGAUAAAUACAACGAUGAUGGAGAACAGAGUGACAUUGAAUCCAAAUGAUUUUGAUAAGGUAACUGAUGCUUGGUUUAUUUUUUUUGGUGUGGACGUAAAUGGCUAGCUAUUACCACUAAGUGAAGAAAAUACAUUGCGCAAUGACAAGCCAUUUAUCAUGAGGUUACCGUGCUGCUCUGACUUUGUUCAGACUAACAGACUAUUAUUAUGUCAUCCAGACAAAAUUGCCGUCACCUGGAUUGCAGGUCGAGGUCAUUCUGGUAGAUUACGGUGGUCCAAAACCACCGAAACAAAACCCAGCUGAUGUAUCCGCUGUUGAGAAUAUAUGAUGAUGAUUCAUGUAGGUGCACCAGCGCCAAAGAAAGCAGUGCUGCACCCGUAGAGCCCAACAAAGAAGCUGGAAGUGGUGAUAAGAGCAACUCCGACGCAGUGAUCCAAGCGGACACGGAUUUUGUUCGUUUUUUUAUCCGUUUGGGUUAUCUGUCCGUCUAGCGGACAUGCGGCAGACAUGCGAUGCACCCAACGCGAUACAUGCAGCGGACAAGCAAAAUAGCAGGCAAGCGCACAGCAGCAGCAGCACCAAGCGAGCCGGCCUCGCGCACGACAGGCAGUGCCCCGGCCCCGCGCCAGCGCCGCCGGCGGCCCGAGGGCGCUGGCUCGCCGACGUCAUCAGUCCCCCUCCACCCUUCUUCUCCACCGCAGCCACUACGAUCAAUCUGGCGCAGAGGAGCUGCUCCAAGAACCAUUUGCUUCAGGAGCUGGUGCGCGGGAGAGGCCCGACCAUGCGCCGCCGCCGACGAGAUCUGCAGUUCCCCGGGUCUUCCCGACGCCGCGCCGCCCGCGUGCAGUUCCCGGCCCCAUCGGCUCGGCUCAAAACGGGAGGCGGCAGCGGAGAUCUCCCCGUCGUCCUGGACCACGGCAUGGGAUGCAGCUUGCGCCACUGAGCGCGGCGGCGGGCCUCGAGGACGGCGGAGGAGGCGGGAAGGAGGACUGGGUGGGGAUGGCGGCGGCCUGCGCCUGUGAGCGGGACGGUGGAGAAGGUGGUGAAGGAGGAGUGGGGACGCCAGCUCGUGCGCGCUCACUGCUAAAUGGGACCAAGGGUAUGUCCGCUUCGUACCCAUUUGUUCCUAGAUUUGGGCCAAGUUUGGGCCGGGGACGGAUAGCACACGGACACGGACGUCCGUUUAGGUCGCUCCGUUAGGCAAGUUUUGUGUCCGGAUAACUCAAACAGACAAAAUGGGUCGCCCCAUUGGAGUUGCUCUAAGGAUGAUGCUAAGACGGAUCAUCCAGGGGCAGGAAGGAGAAGAGCGGUGGCCAAGGUCAGCAAAUUCAGCCAUAGCUUCUGAAACAAGCUUUUGCACAGAAGUAGCCAUCAGCAGCUGCUAGCAGAAUCGAGAACAUAUCAGCAUGAGCUAGUUAAGGCCAUUGCGCAGAUGCUCCCUCGGGUUUCUCAUUUGGAGGCGAAUAGGCCUUUCGUUUGUCAAGUGUACAGCUUCGCUCCCCUGGGACCAUGAUGGAAUGCCACUUCAAAGCAAGAGUAGCAAAGUUGAACAGAAGAACUAGUUUAUUUUUGAAAAUGUUACAACUUGACUAGUUCUGACCAGUGCAGAUGAAGAACAGGUAUAUGUUGAGAGACAGAACGUGAGAAAAUAGCUUGAGUCAGAAAGGAAGAAACAUGGGAUAGUAGUAUACUGUAGACAGCAAAGAAGGUGCUACACAAAUCACCAUAUAGAAGUGGAUUCCAAAACCACGAGUGGUCCACGAGAACAGAUCACAAGAUAAAUCUCCUAAUUUUAAUUUAUCAUUCCAGGCAUGCAGUUCAGAUAUAUAGGAACUUCAAACACAGUACUGGAUACUUGGAUGGUUUUCAGAACGACCAGACAAAUGUUCACACCACUCAUUUUAACAUAGGAGUCACAUGAUUGGCAGCUAGGCCUUGCAGGCACCCGACUGUCCAGACAACGCUCAU